RNAcentral lists this long non-coding RNA (116104 nucleotides) under Citrus maxima (pomelo). RNAcentral's name for it is "long non-coding RNA (CMAX_LNC003700)". The record is from RNAcentral. Lineage: Eukaryota; Viridiplantae; Streptophyta; Magnoliopsida; Sapindales; Rutaceae.
GCCACCAAUUUGAUCUUGUAUGAGCACAGUGACAAAUCCAGGGUCAGAAUGUGUUGCUAUGCCGAUGGACAAUUAUGGUUGAGGGCAUUCAGGGUAGUAACCAUUCCCAAUAGUCAUUUCCUCUACACAACCUAUGUCUUUCAGGUAAUUGGGGUCAAGCCCUAAAGCUUCGGAUAGAAGUUCAAACAGUGUCCCCUGUUUUCCACAUUAGGUUGUUGUAUGCGAUCAUUAUCUCUCUGCAAAUUACUAAAGACAAAAAAUAAUCACUACUAAAAGAAAGGGAGAAUGACAUUUCGACUUUUAGAAAUUAUUUUUUUAUUGGGGUAACAACUAGAUGAAAUGAGAGUAAUAAAAACUUAUUAGGAACCCAAGUGAUGCAAAAAGUUCUAAGAAAGAGGCAGGUGUUAUCCACUGUAAAAGAAAUAAAAUCUAUUGGUCAUCGUCCACAUACCUGCAAGCUUCAGGAAAAUCUUCAGGAUUUGAAAAAUCGCGACCCACAACACAACUCAAAUUAUCUUUCCAAAAGAGGGUUGGUGCACUAUACAAAUUUAAAUUUGAACAAUAUUUAAUUUUUUUGGAGUAAUCACGAGAAUAAUAUUUCUGCUUAACCUCAACAUCUUGUUGAAAAAACCAAUGGAUCCCAUCAAUGGCAUGAUCCAAAUGCUUGUUGGGAUUCCAUGAUUGAUCACUUGAAAGAAACCCCACUUCUCACGAGCACUUCUAAUUUGGUCAAUUACCUGAGAACGCAAACUUGAAUCCCUGUGUAUUCUUUUAAGGUCUAUGAUAGGGAUGCUGAUUUUGGGGUCCCUGCAGAUUGGCUUAUCAUCAAACUUAUGUUUAGUGUGAUGAUCUUGAAUGAUGAUCUGUGGAAUGGUUGUGAUCCCAGCAUCUACGAGUCCCUUAACACCAGCUUUCGUGUCAUCAAAAGCUUUCCACUCGCUAACUCUGUCACAAGUAAUGCUUCCCAUUGCUUGGUGAAUUGUCUUUUACCUGGUGAAUUAUGAAGUACAAAUGCUGACUUGCGGGUGAUUGCUUUUGGUAUAUGCCGUUUAUAUGAAUAUGAUUCCUAGCUUGCCACGUGCAACAUGUUGAAAUAUAACGAUAGCAUGAAGAUGUGGAAAUUUGUAAAAUUUGAUCCUGCGUUAUUUAUCAUGAUUAAAUUAAUUAUAAAUUAUCAAUAAUAGUCAAUUCCGGGGACCACCAACUACUGGGUGGCACAUCACAAUAAUAAAUUAUCAAUAAUAGUCAAUUCUGCAUUAUUUAAUAUUUAUGUGGAUAAAAUUUCAAUUAGCUACACUACAUUGUUGUUUGAUAGUUAACGUUUCACCUUCUCCAUUUGUAAAUAUUAUUAUGGACUUAUAGUGUGGCUUAAAAGCUAGAUCUUAAAUGAAAAGAAAGCUUUAAUGGUGAAAUAAAAAUUUAAAUAAAUGAUAAAGGGAUUAAAGGUUAACCUAAUGUUAACAAAAAUAACUGCAAAAUAUACAUGUUUUAUCAUGUUAAUUGAUGUUUUUCCAUUAUGCACAUAAAAAAGAUCUAUUUUACAAUUGUUUCUGUUGGCGUUGGGGCAGAUUUUUUUUUAGUCUAAUUAAGUAUAUCAUAAGUUAAUAAUAGUGCGUAUUUUAACUUUAAUAAAUUUGGCCACUUAGAUUUUUAAUUUUGACUCCUUCCCUAAUCAAUCAAGAAAAAGAAUGCUUUUCUCCAUAAAAAUUAAAAUAGAAAAUUCAGCAAGGACAUAACUGCGGAGAUGUUUGAUCCUGGAUUUAUAUAUCAAAGCAACAUCAAAAUUAUAAUAAUACUUCCUUGUUACCGAGAAGAGAUAUAUUCAAGAGCACUAGCCUUAUAAAGCCUUAACAAUACUAAACUACCUACAUGGAAUCUAAUGCGUACAUGCAAUGCUUUCUAAAGUGAAACUGUCGCUUGAAAAUAGAAUUCAUGUUCAGCAGCCUCCCUCUAUCCGAGCUCCAAUUUUAUAACAAGGAAGCUAAAUAAGAUGAUUUAGAUGGCAUCGGCAUCUGUAGUAUCGUUUGUCUGUAGUCCCUCAUUAUCUACGAUCUGAUCGCUCCCUAUAGUAUUGUUUGUCUGUAGUCCCUCAUUAUCUACGCUCUGAUCACUCCCUAUGUAGAGGAUCGACAAGAGAAAAUUGUAGCACACGUUCACAGCACUAAUAACUGUUAAACUCUUAUAGUACUUGUCAAUCCUACUAUAAUCCAAGGUUUCAGCAAACUCGCCUUUGUUUGCCAAAAUGAAAAAGAUGUUAAAAAUGCUUCCAAUUCCGACGAAAAAAUAACUUAUUGCUGAUCCAUGGUACUCCAUCCGUUCAGGAAAAUGAGAGCUCGAGUAUUCAUCACAUCCAUACCAAGCAAGCCCUUCCAUAAGACCUAAUAGACAGAAUUGUGGAACAAGCCAAAACAUGCUCAUAUUUUCCAAUUGUUUGAGCUUUUCCAACCUGCGAACCUCAACCUGCCAUGCCACUACACAGCAAACUGUAGUCAUCACCAUUCCAAUGAAUGUUCUCAACACUUGAGCUUGUCUCUUUUUAGUUUUUGGAACAAAAUUGGAAAUUAAAUUUUUUGACAGAUAAGAGAUCGUUGCACGAAUUAUCCCUUUAAAAGUUCGUAGAAAGAUUAAGUAUCUUUCAGAAAUCAUGUUGGCUCCCUGCUCAGGAAAAAAUGUAUUUCCUGCUGACAGAACCAAUCCAAACACAAUGAAGCUAGACCACAAUGGCAACAAUUUAAGAAGAGAUUUUGACUCCCUGACCUGGGCCACAGUGCAAAGUGUGCCUGCCUCUUCUUGUUCGUUAGAAGUACUUGAUGUCUCUAUAAUUGCCGCUUUGUCUAUCCAUCUGCAAUUCAAAGAAUUAAUUUAUUGGUAAUUUUUUAGGAAAAUAGAAAGCGACAGCUCAUGGUUUGGCAAAAUGAUCACACAGACGCGUUUAUGAAUACGCCCUUUUGGACAAAUCUUGGAGGUCGGUGUGACUAUUCCCGAACACAAAAGGGUAUUAAUGUGUCCAUAAAGAGGUUUAUAUAAUUAUUAAUAAAAAUAAGAGGGUCUCCCCGACAAUUUUGCCAGACCACGGGCCGGGUGUGGGUGUAUACAUGUUAGGCAUAUACCUGAGUAAUUUGAUUCUGGGUGACAAGUGUAAUACGUUUCCCUCAUCAUUACUGAAGAACAGCUCCGGAGAAAGAGGAUAAUUGAGAUGCUUUUUCUUCAGGGAGGUUUUAAUAACGCGGAUUAUAGCAAAACGGUCAAUAGGAGGUAUUUGUCUACUAUGAUAAAAGGGAAUACCCGACAACAAGAGGAUCAAACUGCCCCCCAUAAACAACAAUGUGAACAUGAAAGUCUUCUUCCAUGUCUUAAUAUUAUUUGCAUAGAAUGCCGCAGCUGCACCACAGCACCAGGCAAACCGCCACCACACUCUUUUCUGAGCCAUUACUUGAUCCUCAUUUGAAUUUUCUGUUCUCCCUCCUUUACCAUGUUCUCUUAAUUGAUCGGCAAGAAAUGGUCCCAAAAGAGGCGCCGCUCCAACUUCACCCACUGCUAACAGGAUAAUUCCUAUCAUGUUGAGUAGCUCAAAGUUGGUUUCUGAAAAUUCUCUGGACGCUGUACAGAACAAUAGCCCCAAUGCCUGAAACGAAAAUUGUUGGAACUAAUUCUAUAGCAUGACAUUAUGAUCCUAGAAAUGCUUUUCUUAAUCAUUAUUAUAAUCAAAGUGGAGCCAAAAUGAAUUAAUGUCACAUCAAUUGUAAUUUAACUAUUGAGAUCUCUAGCAUUAUUUUUAUAAGGGUAAAGCUCCUAAUAUCCUCUUAUUAGGUAUGUGUGUGUAUAUAUAUAUAUAUAUAUAUAUAUAUAUUUUUUUUUUUACAUGCUGUGAAAUUUAACAUUUACUGCAAAAUAAUAAAUUUUUAAUUCAGCUCAAAGUACUAUAAAGUCCUGGGUCCGCCCCUGAAUAUAUAUAUUGCUUGCAAUGAUAGACAUAUGUUUUAAUUUCGUCUCUGUUUAGAAGUUUAGCAAAUUCAAAACAUAUUAACUUACAAGGAUGUAGGAGACAGUUGAAAAAAUGAGGAUUCUGAGAGGACGAAUGGCAUAACACGAAAUCCAGGCGGCAACAAUCGUAAGAGUUGCUAAUAUUACAUCCUGAACACUCGUAAAUAUUGCAGCUUUCUGAAGUGUGAAUACUUUUGAAUAUUCGGAGUCGGAGAAGUAAGUUAUCAAGACGCCCACUAUAGCCAAGUCUACGAGUUUGCGGCUUAUCAACAAACCUGGAAUCAAAAUAAUCAUUAGAAAAAAUGUUCGUGCUCACUAAAAAAAGCUUACACAUGAGGACUGCAAGAACAACGUGAGAGAACUAUUGUCAUGUUUUUAUAAUUUAGCCCAACCUAAUCAAAGAUCUUAAGUACACCUCUCUUAACUGAAAUUAUUCUAGGGGAUUAUCUAUUUAGGAAUCUCAAAGUUCAUGAGCUCUUAAUACAUACACACAUACAUAUACAUACAUACAUCAUCAUGUUGUUAAAGUAAUGAUGUUAGUAAAAUACAAAAAAAAUAUAUGUACAUGUAUUAAAUUGUAUGGUUUAACAGUAUUAGUACAAAUAAAUAAAUUACAUGAUUUUGUAGUGCAUUGAAAAUUAAUUCUAUUAAACUAUACAAUUUACUAGUGUGUCUCCAUUAAAAAAAAUAAAGACCCUCAUAUAUAUAUAUAUAUAUAUAUGUAUACAAGUUUAUGUUCUGAAUAAAUACAUUUUUAAAAGAUAGGAUUACCUAAGGCCCCACAUGCAAAAUUACCUGACAGAAAUGCAGCAGCCUUACAAAAGCAGACGUAAUAUCGUACCCAAGUUAUGAACCUGUUUUGAAGCUUCAACAGCUGAGAAAAUGGAAACAUUGUAGUUUCUGAAACUGCUUUUAUCUGCAAAGACUUCUACUUGUGAGUUGUGAAUCCCGAGACGAUGAAGAUUUUGUAAUUAUGCCAAAGUCUUUUAGGUAGUUUAUUCAAAUUAAAAAAUAAUAAGUCGCACUUCAAGACCACCUAUUGGUCACAUCAAGACCACCAUUUGGUCACAUAAGUCUUCUUUUUUUUCUUGUGACUUUCAUCCAGCUACGGUCCAACAGGUGCACCGUGCCCCUCUUUUUGACAGCACCCCUUACUUUCUUCUGUAUUUAUAGUUUAUUAAAGUAAUUUCUUUUUCCUCUUUCUUUCACCCCUCACCUUUACAAUCUUCCAAUUUUUUCCAUUUUCAAUUAAACCUGUAAUCAACCAAUUGCAAGCAAUAAGAAAAAAGUUGGCAAGCUAUUUGCUCUAUAAUACACAAGUAAUUAGGGGUGGGCAAAAUAUCCGACCUGAUCCGACUCGAAAAAUUUUAGAUUCGAAUCGGAUCGGGUUGUUAAUAUAACCCGAUCGGAUGAAAUAUUGCAAACCCGAUCGGGUUGUGAUCGGAUCGGAUAAAACCCGAUCCGAUCCAAAAACCUGAUCGGGUUGCUAAAAAAAAAAAAAAAAAUCUAUGGCCAAACACACACACACGGCACACAGCACACCACACAUAAUCACACAAAUCAGUGAAAUCAAAUACUCAAAAGGUUACACUUUACAGUUUACACAAACACAAAACACACAAAAACAAAAAAAUCACAACACCCAACCCGUGAACCCACCCUCAAGAAGCAAGAAAACAUUCUCUCCUUCCCGCAAUCUGCUGCUGCCGUGUUGCGAGUCCGGCCAUCUGCUGCUGCGUCAGCGAUCUGCUGUUGCCGUGCUGUUGUCAUGCUGCUGCCGUGUUGCGUCCAGCCAUCUACUGUUGCGUCCACGAUCUGCUGCCGCCGUGCUGCGUCCACGAUCUGCUGCCGCCGUGCUGCGUCCAGCCAUCGCGAGGAAACUGCUGCGCGUCCAGCCAUGCGCAAGCUGCUGCUGCACGCCCACCGAUCUGCUGCCGAAAACCCAGCCGCCGAUCUGCUGCUCCAAGGCUCAAGCUCCAACCCGACCCGAGUUUCUCCCUUAGUCCCUUAUGUGUUUUGAAUUUUGAAGCUUUCAUGGUGUAUUGGUAUAUAUGUUUUGAAUUGACCCGUUUAAUUUGACCCGAAUUGGUUUAAUUUGACCCGAAUUUAAUAUGAUCCAUUUUUUAUUCGAACCGAUUCAACCCGAAUUCAACCCGAUUUUUGACCUGAUCCGAAUAUAUAUCGGAUCGGAUCGGGUCGGGUUGUAAGUUCGGGUUGUAUUCGGAUCAAUGUUUGCACAACCCGAAUAACUCGAAACCCGAUCGGGUUGACCCGAACCUGACCCGAACCCGAUUUUGCCCACCCCUACAAGUAAUAAUGAAUUGAAGUUUUUAUAUAAAAAAAUUACAUAGAUGUAAUUUUUUUACGCACACUAUUUAUCAUCUACAAUGAAAUUAACAUGUAAGUAAAUUGCUUUUUUUAUCUUUUAUUAUAUGUAUUCUUCCCCUUUCUCCCCCGUAUGUCUUUUCAUUUUCUCUUUGAAUAAUCUAACCUAAGGCUUUCUAAUAAUUGGUUUAUUGUUAUUAUUUUUAUAAGUAAACCUUCUCUUUGUUAUGUCAAUAGGUUUAUUUAAAAAAAAAAAAUUCGUAAAUGACCAAAAGUGAGAACCUUAAUAAAAAUUCAAAACCUAUCUUAGUUUUUGUUGUCUUUGUUAAUGCAUCUUGCAUGUUUGAUGUCUUAAUUAUAACUUGUGAGAGUAAGUACUGUAAUACAAUGAUGAUUAAUGAUUAUUACUAAGAGUAUUCAGAGAAAAAGAAGUUGGUGUAAAAUUUUAUAAACUUUGAGUUUUCUAAAUUUUCACUAAACAAUAGGGAUUGCAUUAUUAAUAACUAAAUAAACACAUCCAUAACCUUGAAACUACAUUUGUGUAAGUUCUUUCUCUUUGUAAUGGUUACGAAGACUGACAAUUUUCUAUUGAAGUUAUUUAUACAUGUAAUUCUUUUUCAGCAUGUAAUACAUUUAGGAAAUGAGUAAUGAUUAAGUACAAACACUUUUAGAUAAACAAUGUUGUACGAACUUAUGUGAUAUUUUUUAGAAAAAAGGAUCUGAACAUCCUUAAGAUUUUAAAAAAUGGUCAUUUAUACUUUGAGUUUUCAAUACAGAACAUCAAGACACUUUUUGACUAUAGUAUUCUUAAUAGAUAAUAACAAAAAAUAUUGAAUUUAAACAUUUUAAUAAAUAUAAAUAAAAUUUAAAUAGUUUAAUAUGUCUAGUAGACUAAUAAUAUUAGAAAUUUCUAGUAGACUAAUAAUAUUAGAACAUUUCUUAAUAUGUAAAUAAUUUUUAAAAGAUAAAUUAGUAUAUUUAUUUUAAUAAUAUAUUUUUACUUAUUAUAAAAAUUGUAAAUAAAUCUUUAGGUUAGAUAGAUUUUAAAUUUAAUAAAAUAAAUGUCAUGUACUAAUAAUAUUAAAACUAUUUUAUAUAAUAUUGAAAAUAAUUUAAAUUUUAAAUUUUAAUAUUAUCUUUCGAUUUAUUUUGAAAUUUAGUUUAAUAUAAUUUAAUGUUGUAAAGUAUUAAAAUAUUUUAAAAAUAUUGAAAUUAUUUUAAAAUGUAUAUAUUGUUACAUUUAUUUUAAUAUUAUACUUCUAUUUAUUAUAAAAUAUUAAAAAUAAUAUUUUAAUUAAAAGGGAGUUUUGGUGUCUCUUACUGAAAAAUAGAGUGUACAUAAUCAUUUUUUCAAAUUUUCAAGGGUGUACAUGUCAUUUUUCUUACUUUUUUAUAAUCAAUUGAAUAAAAAAAAAGUCAUUUGGCCACAUAAAUUAUUUCUAAUUUAUAUUUUCAAUCAACAAAUCAUAAUGUGUCAUAUCUAUUUGUAUAAGUAUUUAUGAACAUAAAAAAUUAAGUUUAGGCACUAGUCGGGUUGGAAAUCAACUCAUCCAAACCCAUGUAUAGUGCUAGUUGGGUGAGUUGGACUUAUCUCGAAGACCCAUUUUCUGUCUUUGAAAUAUCAAUAUGAAAUUAAAAUAAUUAAAAAAUAAUUUAAUUGAAACAACUAAAGAUAGAAUACAAAAUUACAAAUAAUAACUAUCCCUGAAACUUCAUUGUUAAUAAAAAUAAUUAUUUGUAUAGGAUCCUAAUUACACCAUAAAAAGUAAUAGGAUGAAUUCAAGAGUUGGGUUUGAAAAUUUUCAACACCUAGUAAAUAUAGUGCAUUUUCUCCACCCCUAUGAAAUUAGGGGUUGGCUUUCUACUUGAUUUUAAGUAGCGAAAAUGAUCAAAACUACCUUAUUGUUUGUUGAAACUAUAGGGUGAAUUUAAGAGUUGGGUUUGAAAGAUGCAAUAUGCUCAUAUGUAUAUAUGAACAUAUUGCAUCUUCACUAUCUUAUCCCCAGAAUUUUUGCACCAAAUCGUGGUAUAAGAAUAAAAAUUCGCAACUCGAAUCAACAAAGUAUAUCACUAAGUUAUUCUGCAAGCCGCCAAAUUGGAAAAUGUCCCAAAUAAUUAAUUAACCACAGCGACUUGAUAGCUUAACUUUUUCCAACGCUGAGAGUCCUUCAUUCUUCCCUAUUGAGGAUUGGUUAUUGUAAACGUCUGUUGGAGUAACAUGGGGAUAGUGCGGAUGAUUUUUUUCGGAUAGCAACUAUUUAAUUGGACCAUAUUGUCUCGAGCAACUGUUAUUCAUAUAAAAAACUUCCAAUUGAAAUCGUUGAGCCUCGCCUUCUUGACAACACUCUGUGAUAGGCACUCUUGAACGCGACACUGGUAAUCAGCUGCAUAAACAUAUAAAAGAACACUAUAAUUAAGUUAUAUGAUGGAUUCAUAAUAGUCAAAGUUGUGCAUAACAUCUACUUGCCUGCAUCAUGUAGCCUAAGUUUACAACUAGAGCCCCGGAAACUGGGGUAAUAUCAAACCAUUGAUCUUCACAAAAGACUUGGAGGCCACAAUUCGAUCUUGUAUGAGCAUAGUGACAAAUCCAGGGUCAGAACGUAUUGUUACGCCAAUUGUCAAUUUCGGAUGAGGGCUUUCUGGGUAGUGACUAUUCCUAAUAGUCAUUUCCUCUACAGAACCUGUGUCUUUCAGGUAACUGGGGCCAAACCCUAAAGCUUCAGACAAAAUUUCAAACAGAGUGAAUUAGCAAUUGACGUUGUUGGAGAAAAAUCAAUUUUUAUUUUUUUUUUAAAAAAAAAACUUUUUAGAGUCGAUCUCAUACAAUAUAUAAGAAUUCAUAAUUUAGAAAUUAUACCUUGAAAAUAUGAGAAAAUGAACAAUCUUUGCUUUUUCUACUGAAGUGAAACUAGGCUCCCAUAUCACGAUUUGUCACCACCACACCUGUUAGAUCAUAAUCUGUCACCACCACGCUUGUUAGAUCACGAACUAUCACCAAUGAUUUUCUAGAUUAUGACUCAGGUUUGAUCUGCACUUGACGUGUGGGUGCUUUUAUCACUACCAAUAGCAACUAGUAUGAGAAAAUUUUUCUCUCAAGAUUAAAGAGAAAUAUUCUUUUUCUCUUAUCUGUAUAAUGUGGCCUUAUAUCUUUUCAAGAGAAAAUAAGCCCUUUUAUAUCUUAUCUAGUGGAAAUCCUAAGCUCUAUAUUUUUUAUUUUUUAAUUCUAUUAACACAAGGCCCCUUACACAUAAGCAUAUUACAUGGAGCCUCCUACUAAAUAAUAUAUUUAGGCUUUUAACCCAAAUAGCUAAUUAUCUUACUUAUUAAUCCAGUAGCGGCGCAGUCAAUUAAAUGAGCUAACCCAAAGAUCAUUUGAGAACAUACAAUAGUGGCUACAAUAAUUAGGCAUGUAAUCAAACUAGCCCAAUUAUUUAAUUCUAAAUCUACUCCACUAAAAGAUUGGAACUGACUUCCACAAUUGUAUGCUUGAAUAAUAAUUCAUCCCAAACAACAUUGAUUUCUUUACUGCAUAAUCCUUUGUACCACAUCAUUAAUUAAAUUGAUAUCUCAACUGUCCAAUCAAUUUAACUACAUCUUGUUCCUUGAUUCUUACUGGUUUUCUCUAAUGAUCAUUUUCAACAUACUAAAUAUGUCGACACACUCUGACCAAAGAAUUCUAUGAUCAAGUGCCGAAAACCUAUCAAGAGAUGUGUUGUACAAAUUCUAUAUUGUCAAUCUAUAACUCCAAUACUCAUAAUUGGUCUCAUCAAGAUACCGGAUAAUCUUGACUACAAGUAUGUGUCGUGCCCAUUGGUAAUUCAAAUGGAAUAACAAUUAUAAUCAUGAAAUCAUAAUUAACUCAAGAUUAAGAUUGCAGUAAAAUCCACGUCUAUGAGAUUUAAUAAGUCUGACAGUAAUUACAAAGUUAAUUAAAUCUCAUAUGUUAUCUUGUUCAAUGUAGUCUUACUAUAUCAAUAAAUUCAUACAUGAAUAAGACAAAUCAUUCAAUGAAUUCAUUACAGUCUAUACCUAAAUAAAGUGCCCAACUUUAUUUAUCAACUGCGAAUUAAAUUUAUUUAAUCAUAAGAUAACUUGUAUUUAUGUCUUCUAUAAUCCACAUGGUGAUUCUUGUACAAAUUUAUUGAACUCGCAAGUGCACGAAUAUAUUGUAGAAUAGAUUAAUGGUGACAAGUGUCGAUCCCACGAGAAAGUGGAUUUUAAUUAUGUGUAAAAUUAAUUUUCUAUGAGGGUGGUUGGAUUUGUGGUGAAAAUGAUUUGGAAUAUUCUAAACAUUAAAUUAGAAUGGCAGGAAUAAAUUAAAGGAAAAUCUAUUGAAAUAAAGCACUUGGGUAUCUGGAUCUGCAUUAACAUGCACCAUGUGCUAAAUAUUCCUUAGUAAUGCCAAUUAAAUCAUGAGGGGGGUUUCUACUCCUCAUGAACCACACUCUAAUCAAUAUGGUGUUAAGGGCUUAUUGUGGCAAACAAUAAUAACCUUGUACUAGGGAGUCGGUUAAAUCAGUGCAGUAUCCAGACAAGAUUAUUACUAUUUGUCGACGAAAAGUCAAAAUAUCAACAAUAAUUAGAGGAGAAGAGAAAGUAAAUUUACUAAAUAAAGCCCAUGACACAUGUUGAGACUUCACCAACCCAAACUUGAAAGAAAAUUAGCUACUUAUAAUUGAACUAAGGGUAAAAUGAGAAUUUAUUAAAAUACAUAGAAAAUACAAGAUGGAGAAGGAAUUACAGAAAAUAGGCUCAAAAAUGAAUUCAAAAAUGCCAAAUUAGGGAGGAGCCCCCCUUUUAAUAGAUACACUGAGUAAAUCAUGGCCAUCAGAUUAAAAACAUUUUGGACGCUCAAGAUUGCGCCACGUCAUCGGUCAACAGUACGUGGUUUGACCACGUGGUUUGGUUGUAAAUAAUCUCGUGUAUAUGCAUGUACCGUACGCACUAUUUUUUAUCCACUAACAUGCUGCCACGUCACCGAUCAACAGUACAUAAGAAUUUUAGUCUAAUAAAAUCGUGACAUCUCAUCAGUCAAUACCACAUCAUCAGUCAAUGCCACGUCAUCAUUUUGUAUAUGUGAAUAGUGUCGUGAACAGUAACAUGGAUAGUAUCGUAUCUGUGAAUAGUACCGUACAUGUGAACAAUUCCAUUUUUCCUUUUAAACUCCUCCUAAGAUUUUCGACUGUCCUGAUCUCAAAAGUGAUGUCUGUUUUGCUGUAUGAUCUCUCGUUCAUUGUGAAAUGACCAUGAUGCCCCUAAAAUACAUAAAAUAUUUAAUUAUAAUAUAAUACACAUAAUUAAAUCAUAAGGAACUUAAAUACAUAAAAGUAUGAAUGUUAGUGAAACUUGAAGUGUAAAAUGACGAUUUUCUCCUUCAUAAAUAUACACUUUCUAACACUCAAAAGUGAUCACAUAAAUACAUAUAAUAUGAUUAAAUGGACUUUAAUCAAAAUAUUAAUGCAAUUAAGAUAUUUGAAUAAAAUACCUUAUUUAUUUUAUUAAUCAGAAAAAUUGUUUAUUACAAUUAAAUAAACACUUAUGCUUUUAAAGAGCAUAUUUUCCCAACAGGCGUAUCUCAUAAAGCCAACUUCGGUGGUUGGGGUAUCCUGCCGUGCAACACUGUAUCUCUUAUAGUCAACUUUUACGACUUGGACAAUUUGUAUUUUACCGAUUGUCCAUUGAAUUAAUUUGUUUUUGCUGAAAAUGAAUAUUAAAAAAAGAUUAAAAUAAAUAAAAUUAUAAAUAAUUAAAAUCACAGAUUGUCCCAGACCACCAAUAAAACCUCUAAAACUAAAAUUAUAAGCUCCUCCGUAAGAUCCACCAUUAUAUUUCUUAUUACCACUAGCAUUCUUUCAAGGAUUAAAAUGGUUUUGAGUUACAUUAGCUAACAAGUUAUGUGUGACAUCACUAGCAAUUUUACCUCUUGUCUGUUCAACUCUAUUCUCCUGAUUUAGCAGUAAAGAGUAAAAUUCAUCAAGGCUGAUCUUAUCACCUCCAGCUAACACACUGAUAACUAAAGACUCAUAAUCAGAUGAAUCUAGUCUAGUCAAAAUAUAUUGAACAAAAUCACUUAACUCAACAGAUUUUCUAGCUAAAGCCAGACUGUCAGACAAUCUCUUCAUUUUAACAAAGUAAUCAAUCAUAGACAUUGAUCUUUUUUUGAGUGUUUGAAUAUGCAUCUUAAAGGCAUUAUUCUAGCUUGAGAUUGUAAAGUAAACAUACUUGUGAGUGUAUCCAAAAGCUCUUUAGCAAUGGAGCAAUGAACGAUUGUAGCGAGUAGAUUUUGCUGAAUAGAUGACAACAUCCAACUCAAAACUAAUUGAUCUGUCUUCAUCCAGGCUGUGUAUGCUGGAUUGACCUUUCGAUUUUCAGUAAUAGUUGAGGACCAACUUCAGUGCUAGCUAGUGUGAGAAAUUACUCCGAACAAGUUUGAUCACCAUUAAUGAAAUUAUCCAGAUCGUUUCCUUUGAUGGAUGUUAAAACCUGAGUUUGUCAGACAAUGAAAUUAUUAUGAUCUAGCUUAACAGGAUUGAUAAAACUAUAGGAUCCAGAAAAUUGAUUAGAACUGACCAUUGUAGGCUCUGAGAUCAUGAUAGAAUUUGUAAUAUAUAUGUCUGGAAAGCAAGAAAAUUAAGGAGAAAAAGAUAGAAAGAAAAGAAGAAGAAUUUAGAAUAUGUUAAUUGUUCAUUACAUUACAAAUGUGAUUAUAGCCUUUGUAUUUAUAUUAAGUGAAAUGCUUAACUAUAAUUUGUUAUAACUGGAAUAGGUGCUAAACAGUUCGUUAGCUAGAAGGCUGAGAUGGCUAACUAAUUAUUCCACGUUAGCAAGAGCACUCAUGUAUGGUCCUCAUCCGUACUGUAAUUAUCAUACUCUGUAACAGUUCUUCUACAUCUUCUUGCUCUUCAGGACCAAGUGUACUUCGUGGGUCUAUAAUUGCUGCUUUGUCUAUCUAUUUGCAAUUCAAAGAAUUAAUUUAUUGGUCAUUUUUUUAGGAAAAAAGAUAACGAAACAUAGUUGUUUGGUAAAAUAGUCAUGUGAACUCUUUCUUCAAAACAUAUAUAAAAACAAACCUUGGAGAUCAGUAUUGUCUAUGUGAUAAUUUCUAAAAAUAAGAGGUCUACCUGACAAUUUUUUCAAACCAUGGGAUGUUGGUAUAUACUCUUUAAGUAUGUACCUUAGUAAUUUGAUUCUAGGUGACAAGGGUAAUUCAUUUUCAUCAUCAUUACAGGAGAAUUGAUCUGCAAAAGAAGGAAAAUUUAGAUGCCUUUUCUUCAGGGCAGCUUUAAAAAGACAGAUUAUAGCAAAACCGUGAAUAAGAGGUAAUUGUUUACUAUGGUAAAAGGGAAUACCCAACAGCAACAAGGCCAAACUGCUCCCAUAACCAAUAUUGUGAACCUCAAAGUCCUCCGUCAUGUUUCCAGAUUAUUUGCAGGGAAUGCUGCAACUACAUUACAACACCAGGCAAGCUGCAGCUAUACUUCUUUUUGAGCCUUUACUUAUUUCUCAUUUGGAUUUUUUGUUCUCCCUUCAUCACCAUGUGCUCUUAAUUGAUCGACAAGACAUGGUCCUAAAAGAGGCCCCAUUCCAAAGUCACCCACUGCUAACAAGAUCAUUCCUAUUACGUUGUGUAGUUCAAAUUUAGUUUCUAAGAAUUUACUGGACGCUGUAUAAUACAAUAGCCUUAAUGCCUCCAACAACAAUAGUCGGAACUAAUUGUAUGGCAUAACAUUAUGAUCCUAAAUAUGCUUCUUAAUCAUUACUAUAGUUAGGAGCGGAACAAAAUUGAGAUUUAGGGGGCCAAGUGUAAUUAAGGUAAUUAUUUCAGGAUUAGAGAGUAUUAGUUAUUUUCUGGGGUUAGGAGAUGGGGUUCACGUUUAUGAAGCCACCAUAUAAAGAAAAACAACUAGUUUGAAAGUUGAAAUUACAAAUUUAUAUAGUGUGAGAUUAUUUCAACCUACUAAAAUAUAUGUUAUUUUAAAGACUAAUGAGCUUGCGGCUUUGAAAAGGUUGGAAUGUUAUUUGGUUGGAGAGGGACUCGGUUUCAACUUUAACUUGUCUUACGAGUACCAAAUUCAAGCCGUCGUAGCAUCUGCAUAUCAUAUAGUUGAAUUGUUUGAGAGCCUAAAAGUCAAAUAUUGUGGAUCAUAUCAAAUGCCAAAUGUUGGAUAAUCUUUUCCAAAUGUUGGAUAACAAGAAAAGGGAUGCACACAAGACCGCUGACUGAAAAUAGAAAUAAUUGGACAAAUAAAGCCCAAACCACAACUCAUCAUAAUCUUUUUGUUACUAAUGGAAGCUAAAAGCACCUGAGUUAUCAACUAUUCACAUUUUCUAUUAGAUACUGAUGCUUGAUACAUUCAUCAUGAUAUCCAGAAACAAUAAAAUUAAGCUAGUACAAAGAUAUCUAAAUGAAGAUGAUAAUAUCAUAGGCAAGAUAUGGUCCAAUUGAUUAGGAAAAUCAAGCUAAGGUAAUUUUUUUUAAUACUAAAUGCUUAAUUAAAAAGGACAUCAUUAUAUGUUUUAUACAUGCACAAAUUGUCAUUUAUUUGAGGCAUGUCUAAUAUUUAGUAGAGUGACAAAUAUACUUGAAAAUGUAUAAAAAUUAUCAAAUAAUAUGUGAGAAAUAUAGUUAUUUUUGUUGUAAUAUUAAUGCAAUAAACUUUUAUCGUAUCAUAUCGGCAUGUUUAAAGAGGAAAAAAAAAACUCAGAGACUCAAAAAUUCCAAACUUUAAUGUGUAGCUGGCAUUUAUUUGUAGGCUCAAUUGAAGUACAGAAGUCACAAUUCCAAACAACAAACAAGCUAUCAUCACUAAUCCACCAAAUUGGAAAACAUCCUCAAUUAAAUUAACCACCGCGCCUUUCCAGCUUGAGUUUUUCCAAUGCUGAUAGUCCUUCUAUUGAGGAUUGGUUAUUGUAAAUAUCUUUUAAGGUAAUUUCAGGAUAGAGCGGAGGAUUUUCUUCGGAUAGCAACUCUUUAAUUGGACCAUAUUGUCUCGAGCAACUGUUGUUCAUAAAAAAACUUUCGAUUGAAAUUCUUGAGCCUUCCUUUUUUGAUAACACUCUGUGAUAGGCACUUUUGAACUUGUCAUUGGUGAUUAGCUGCAUAAACACACAAUAAAAAAAUCCACUAUAAUUAAGUUACAUGAUGGAUUAAUAAUAGUCAAAGUGAUGCAUAACAUGUACUUGCCUGCAUCAUGUAACCGAAGUUUACAACUAGAGCUCCGGGAACUGGGGUAAUUACGAUCUGCAGUUUUCUAAUUUAACUCAUGCACGCUCGAGGCUUUUGUUUACCCUAGUUUUCAGUAUGAAAAGAGGCGCGCAUCACAUAAUACGGCGGCAAAGAAUUAUCAUUAGAAAAAUUGGAGAGAAAAAGAAGAAGAAGAUCAUAAUUCAAGGGAACAGCUGCAACAUCAUUGAAGAAUCCAGCAGAGUUAUUUGGAUUCACUUUUUGUCGUUCUCGACUUAUACCUUUCUUCUUUCUCUAACUAAUCUAAUGUAUCUCAUGAACAAUAUGUUGCUGAUUGUUUAUCUCUUUCAGAAUAUGAACUAAACUCGCUUGUAUUUGAGUGACAAACAAUCUAAUGGGUUCUUGACUGUUCUUAUGAGUUGCUAUGUCAUUGCUGUAGCAUUUUACUCUAGUAGCUAUUAUUAUAACUUUUAUUUUGGUUGACCACCCAUUUAAUGGUUCAAGUUAAGAUAGGACCAUAAAAGGGCAUGUCUUACUGGAUAUUAUUAUAGUAAUACUUGAUCUUAAUUUAAGUUUCCUAGAUUACGUUUAUCUUGAAUCCCAUAAGGGCCAUACUUAAAGUUAAGAUUUGUGAUAAACUAGACAUAAGUAUUCACCUUGUAGGGUGGAGAGAAUGGAUGUUCAUAAUGUCAUGCCAUAGGUAAAAUAGCAACUGGCCAUUGUUAAGAUGUUUACGGGUAUGAGACUUCCAAUAUGCGACAACUGAGGAUGCAAAUUAAAUUCUGUCCAGUGCUAUAGAAAUUAUUGUAGCAACUGGUGUUAACUUGAUGAAAAGCAGUUAACCCAUAAAAAGAGUUUGAUCAUUCAACUACCUUAUUCUCAUUUGAUUCUUCGACGCAUUUUAUUUAAUUUGUUUCAUUACUACAUUGUUUAACUUUAUUCUCUCACAAUUAUCAAUUUCAAUAGUAACCAACUUUACAUUUGUUAAUUUAGGAAUCAAGUUAGAUUACACUAUCGUGAUUGCUGUAGCAUUUCUAGUAAUAUCAAUCCUUGUGAAGACGAUCUUAAAUAUUCAUCACUUUAUUACUUGUUCUGUACACUUGCACAUUGACAUAAAUAAAAUUUGAUAAAAAAUACCAACAAUGAGAUAGGGGUAAACUUCAGGAUGUGCUGCGCUUUUUAAUUGUUGUGUAGAUUCUUUUGAUUCCUAUCUCUAGUGGAGAACCAGAUGUGAUUUUGUGAGACCUUUCUCCUGAUGGUAGUUUUUCUUUGAGGACUGCUUCAAAUAUUGUGCAUUGGACAAUGCCAAGUGAUGAGGCUUUUUUUGUUAUUUGACAGCGACAUCUUUUCCUGGAUAUCUUUUUUUCUCUAGAGGUUGUGACACAAAUUCUUGACCACAGAUGAUGCCUCGUGUUCGGGGGAUUUCUGCAUAGUUUCUUAGUAUCUUUGUGGUCGGGCUUAUGAGACUUCUAGGUAUUUUCUUUCUUGGUUGCCCUCGAGUUAGGCCAGUUUGGGUCCAUUUUCUAUGUACUCUUGGUUUGCGCUAUGUUGCUUUUCUAUUCCCCCGUACUUUAUUUCUUAAUUGGUAGUGAUGUGCCCUUUCUUGGAGCCAUAUUCGAGUUCUUCUUCCUUGUUUCAUUUUGUGGCGAGUUUAGAAGGCCUGUAAUGCAUUGAAGUUUGACUCAAUGGCCUUUUUUGUUGAUGCUGUUAUUUAUUGGGCAAUGUUGGAUCUUAGGCUUGCUGGUUCUGCCUUUGGUCUUAAACCAUCCCAACUGUGAGGAGUUCUAGGUUCUCGAUUUGUAAAGUUCUUGAGAGUUGUUGUUUCAUCCAAGAGGCUGAUUCUUUUAGUUUUUUGGCAGUGGUCACCACCUGGGGCGGUGAAGCUGACUAUUGAUGGUUGCUUUAGGAGUAAUCCUAGGAUGGCUGCUUCAGAUAGUAUUUUACGUGAUGAUUAGGGUGUGGCUUUGGCUGCUUUUGGUUCCUUCCUUGGGCGCUCACUGAUCUUUCAUGCAGAAUUCAUGGCUGUUUUUUAGGGGUUAGAGUUGGUGCUCAGCUCCAUUAUUCUGUGCUUGACGUAGAGUUGGACUCAACCAUGGUGGCUUCUUGGAUUCUUUUCUAAGGCCUUGUUCAUACGGACUAUACCUAUUCUUUGCAUCGGGUGUGUAGUUUGACAUUUUCUUCUACUUCGUGGUUAGUCAUGUGCUUCAGAAGGUUACUUCUACUGCUGAUUUCUUUGGCCUGCACUCUUCAAGGUCAUUUGUGUUUCUUGGGUUCUCAGGAUAUAUUUGCUAGCUUAUCUAAUAAUCUCCGUUUGGAUAUGUGGGUAAUUUCUCGUAUCAGGCAAUAGGAUUGCUUAUUUAUGUAUUCCAUUUUUUAUCUUGUAUUUUUCUCUUUUCCAUUCUUAUGUUCUUGCAAUUGCGGUUUUGAUUUAUAUUCACCUCCUUAUGUAUUUGAUUCAUUCUAUGAUUUAUAUGAAAGAUAGGAGUUCCACCUAACCCCACCUUUUUGUGGUUAAAAAAAAAAGAUCAGGAAUUCAACCUAGAUCAUCAAGGUAAAACAUCAAAUAGGUUGUAAAUUUAACAUAUGAACGUAAAAGCUUAACAAAACAUUUGAAGUUGCUUGACAACAUAGAAAUACAAGCAAAAAGAGAUGCUAAACAACACAAAAUUUUGAUUGGGUGGGAGUAUUGUUCAUGCUAGCAUAAUAAUGAGGUGCCUGAGAAUACCUAAGACUUUCUUGAUAAAUAAUAUCAUCUAAAAGGUUAGGAAUCACAGAUAAUUGUCCACGUAUGAACAAACCUAGCUCAAAAUGUGAAAUGUGUUAAGAUUUUCAAACAUUUAAAUUAAUAGUUAAUAAUUUCAGACAAAGGAUUCUUGGAGACCUUAAAGUUCACUGAUUCUAUCUUAUGGCUCAUUGUCUCUCUCAACAAUUUAAUUUCUAGAUUAUUUGGCUCCUAUCUAUUAAAAGACAACACCGUUACUAAAAUUAUAAAUUAUAACAGUUAAACCUAAACCUACGUCGUUUAGCAAUUUACGAAAGAAAAAAAUAUAACAAAAGCCAAUUGUUGGAGUAGCAACGUGCCAACGAGAAAACCUCAAGCCAUGUAAUAUCAUGUGUCAACAACUAAAGAAGAACAAACCACCACCCUCUAGGUCGUCGCUGCACUAACGCUGGGCCCGAUUUGAAUAGUUAGAAGUUGUAACAUUAAUUAGGGAAUGAGGGCAAAAUUUUGGACUUCGAUUUAAUAAAAUUGAUUUAAAUGAGUCCCAAUAGAAAUAUGAUUAUAAAUAUAUCAAUAAAAUUAUGACAUGUUUAAAAGAAAAAAAUUAUUUUCACACAAAACAAAAAACACAACCCUUGGAUGUGGGAUGUGUCUAAAAAAUAAUAGGGUGGAAAAAUUAUCACCCUCAAAUUAGAUAUAUAAAUAUUUAAUGUUUUACUCUUAUAAUUUUAUAAUUGUUUUUUUAAAUAUUAGUAAGAGAAAGAUAGAAAUUAAUAUAUAGACAAAUCGAGUCCUUUAUUUUAUUAUUCAUAUCCAUAAAAAGUAACCACUAUGCUAGUCCCACGAACUUAGCAUAAGACGGUAAUUUAGAAAAAAGAAAAAAAAAAAGGAACGUUUUUAGACACCAAAACAAAAGCAAAACAAGCACAAAGCGAGACAUACAAACAAAUUUUAUGCUACUGCAUAGGGGUGUUCGUGGAUCGGAUUUUACGGAUUGGAUAUCAAUCCAUAUCCGAUCCAUGAUUUUGCAGAUUAUAAUUUUUCAAUCCAAUCCAAUACACAGAUUGAUAAAAUUCAAUCCAAAUCCAAUCCAUACAUCUGCGGAUCGGAUGCGGAUUUGACUCAAUCCAUAUCCAAUCCAUACGUCUGCGGAUCGGAUGCAGAUUUGACUCAAUCCAUAUGCAAUCCACCAUUUUGCGCAUUAGUUUUCGAAUUAAAAAUUUUUAGUUCUCUCCAACUAAUGAAAUAAAAAAAAUCUAAUAUAAAAAUAAUUUUGCUACUAAUUAAAUUUAAAAUUGAAUAAAAUUUAAAUAAAUUAAUUGUUUAAAUAAAGCUAAAAUAAUAUAUUUAAAGUUUUAAAAUAUAACACAUCGAGACUAAUUAUUCAAAUAAAGCUACAAUAAUACGUUCAAAGUUUCAAAAUAUAACACACAAAGCUUAAUUGUUCAAAUAAAGUUACAAUAAUACGUUAAUAUAACACCAAAAUUAAUUAUUCAAAUAAAGCCACAAUUAAUUGAAAAUGGCGAAGUUUUGGAAACCAAACACAGUUUGAUCCUUCACCAAGGCUGUUGUGCCUGUCGAAAAGUGGUGAUUACGGAGCCAUUCACGAUGGGAAUCAGGAGAAGCCGUACGGGUGGCGAUCUUGAAGGUUGUGAUUGUGAAAUUGUUCAAUUGGAACCAAUGAAUGUGAAGUGGCUCGAUGGACUUGGGAAAGAAGAUGGCUUGCUCUCGCCAGAAUCGCGCAGCCGAUGUCCUUUAAAUCCGUGUCGAGAGUGUAUCCAACCAGUAUUAAGUGUUGCUAGUGUGUAUGACGGUGGGGAAGUUUAGGGUUUUUUGUUUGUAAAUUGGUUGUAACUUUACGUUAUGUUACUUUGCUUUUGCUAGUGCGUGUGACUUUGCUUUUAUUUUGUUUUACAAUUUUUACAAGUUAUAUUUGUAUAUUUGAUUAUUUAAUUAUUUUUCAUUUUAUAUUAUUAUUAGGUAAUGGCUAAGAUAUGUUAUAAUGUUUAGUAACUAUGUAAUGUCAUAUUUAUAAUUUUUUAAUUAUAUAUAUAUAUAUAUAUAUAUAUUUUUUUUUUUUUUGCGGAUUCACAGAUUUCUGCGGAUUUACAGAAGUAAAUCCAUAUCCAAUCCAUCGACUGCGGAUUUUUAAAUUUUCAAUCCAUAUCCAAUCCACCAAUCCACGGAUCAGAUUUAUACGGAUCAGACGGAUUGAGCGGAUCGGAUUGGAUUCUGAACACCCCUACUACUGCAUUCAAGCAGAAGCCACCAAUUGUUCACGACGGCGUUUGAAAACAACCAACAUUUCAUCCUGAUUGGGAAGGUUUUCUUCAAUUAUAGGGACUUGCUUGAAAGUUCAAGCCACGCAUGCAAGCGAGGGAAUUUGUGUGAUACAAAUAUUUUAACUCCUACUACAUCUUCAAUGACUUGCAACCAAUAAACAAUUGAACCAAAUGCUAGGUCCACUAAGCCAAUAUUGUCUCCGUUGAAAAAUUUCUUCUCUCCCAAGCCAUGCUCUUCAACGUUUUGUAGCAUUUCCAAGGCUUCCUUCGCUGUGUUUUGUAGUUCUUGUCCAGUGCUACGAAACAUUUUCCAAAUGGCAACACCCUGCCACAAAUAUUUUUACAUCAGAUUUUAUCACCGACAUGAUUAAUUAAUAAUAUGUAUAUAAAAGCGAAAAAUCGUUAGACGAUAUGUACACGUGUCACAAUAUCCUUAAAUUAGAGGUUUAAUAAGUUAAUUAAGAGAGUUCAACCACUGAGUUGUAAAAUCUGUCAUUAGCUAGUAAAUUCACUUUUUCCCAAUGCUUCAAAAGUCAUCAAAAUUCCCCGUGAAGUUAAAAACGGUUGUGUUAACUUUAACUUAUUACAUCUUUUCAUAUUUUAGGAUAAAACAGUGAAGACACCAGAAAUUAACAGUUUAGAGAACGUUUAACAAAUAAAUAUGAAAAAGACCCCUGGGUGGCUGGGCUCGACUGGCUAUGAAUUCACUUUCACUUUGCGCCAUCACCCGAGUUCGAGUACAUAUAGAGAAUAAGAGUUGCUGUUUGGCGGGUGGAUUUUCUUAUCCUCGUCACCUCAUCUAGAUCUUAAAAUAAAUCAAUAAAUAAACAAAUUUGAAAAGAAUGAACUUAAUCAUAAACGUGUUUGCCAGAGUUGUGAGCGAACCUUGUCUUCAGCGAAUUUGAUCCAGAAUCGAGCAAGAGCCCUAUCAUAAGGAUUAUUUGGCAUCAAGGAGGGAUUCUGUGGCCACGUCUCUUCGAUGUAUUUGAGAAUAACCAUGGACUCACAAACUGGUUUUCCGCCAUGGACGAGCACUGGGAUCUUCUUGUGAACUGGAUUAUACUUCAAAAGCAAUGCACUUUUGUUUGAGAGAUCUUCGGAAACAAAUUCAUAUGGCACGCCUUUCAAUUUCAGAGCCCAAAUCGCCCUGUAAACAAAUGGACUCGGCAGGGCCCCAUGAAGCUUCACUGCAGCCAUGAUAAUUCUAAGAUUGAAUUUGAAUUAUCGGUUUUUCUGAUCGAUGUUGUGUAUGGCUGUUAACUCAUUACAUAUGUUUCUGAAUUUAUAGUGAUUUAUGGAAUGCACUUUCUUGAGCAGAAAGCUUCAAUUUUCCAUUAAUAAAACGAUUAAUGAUGAAUUCAAAGAACUAGUGCAAUGACUUUAAUUAAAUAUUUUUUUACGUUGUGUGCAACCGCUUUUUGAGGUUAAUAUAAAGGAUAUUAUUUUCUCCUGAUCAAAACUUUUAUAUAAAAAAAUAUAAUUAUGUAAUUGGUAGUUAUUAAGUAGAAAUAAAAUAAAAAAUAAAUUUUGACCGUAAAUAAAUAAAAGUUCAUAUAUGUUAUAAAGAUUUUUUAAAACUCAAAUAAGUGCACCCAAUUCCUAAUUUAAAACGCUAGCCAAUGAGAUCAAUAAUUUGGUCAACCAGUCAGAGAUAACCAUACAAUAAUUAAUCAAAAAUUUGCCAUUUGUUUUACAUUUAAGACCUUUGCGUCAUGCAUGAUGAUCAAUUGAUCAUGGAUCAAUUAGUCAACAAGACAUUUGCCUUUUGUGAAUGUGUUCACAUUGGACGCAAAUAUAAUUUGUUAUAAAAAAAUUGGACUAAAUUAUUUUUUAAUAUUUUUUUAAAAAUAAUACAUCUGAUCCUCGAGGGCCUGUUAUUUAGUUCGUGAAUCUUAUAACAGGACCCAUGAUUUAUUUAUUUUUUAAAUCUUAUGGGUCCCCUAUUAUUUAAUUUGUGGAAUUGACGGAGGUAACUUACAGUUUCAUUUUUGUAAUUUACAGCUUUCAAUAAAUUCAGAUAAUAUUAGGCGGUAAAAGUAGGCCAGGCUGGAGGAGUAGAUCUAUAAAAUUUGCAAGCACUUUGCACUGUCUGUUUGGUGCCCAGAAACACACAUAUUUAUCAUCCACUUUUUAUUUAACGCUGGGUUUUUUUCGACCCAUAAUAAUUUCUCUUUGCACAUCAACUUUUUAAUAAAAACUUUUAUUGUCAAUAAAUUGUUAGUAAUUACUUCACUAAUCCUCCCUUUUUUUUUUGGGCCAAUUUCUCUUUCGCAACUGACAAAAUUUAAUUCACAUCAUGUGAUAGUAUGAUUGCAAAUAAAUUUGAAGUUAUCUCUCGAAAGUUGUUCACAUAUCUUGUGUAUAGAACUAAAGAACAAUAGCAAAACCACUAUCCUCUAGCCGAUCGCUGCUAUUAGGACGGCAAAAUUAGUUGUAAAUAUGUAAAUUUGUCUAAACCCAUCUACAAAAAUCUGUCCACUGCCAAUAAUUUUGUAGGUUGCGGAUAAGUUUGAUAUUUUAAAUUUAAGUUCGUUGCAGGUUACGGAUGGAUUCAGUAUUGAAAAAAAAUUGGCGGGUAUCUGCCGACUAGCAUUUUUUUAAUUAUUUAUGUUUUUAAUUUUAAUCACAAAGAUUGUCUUAAAAAAAUUUAAUCAAAAAAUAUAGUAGUUAAAGUUAUUACUCUAAUCUUCCAAAUUCCUAAACCUAACCUAACUCAUGACAGUUGCACACCCUACUCCUUCAAGUAUGUAUGUAUGUAAAUGUAUACACAUGCACACACACACAAAAUAAGCUUUUAAUAAGUAGAUUUAGUAUUUUUCAAGUUUAAUAUUAAUGAUAUGUUAAGUUAAUUUAAUUACUUUUGUUUGUUUCUCUUUAAUGACUUGAACUUAGUGAUUGCUGGCUAAGAUUUGAUUUUUAUUUAUCUAAUUAAUGGUCAAUAGUUGUCCAAAAUAUAUUUGUUAUUAUUAUUGACAAUACUUAUAUAUUGACUAAAAGAUAGAGUAAGGCAUUAAUUUUAGUAAUAAUUAUUUGCCUACAACAAAAAUAUUUUGUGUUAGAAUGAUAUAUUUUGUGUAUUUGUUUUAAUAUUGAAACUUUAAUUUCUCUUUUACAUUGAUGAAAUCUAAAGUUGAGUAGUUUAUGUAGAUUUUUUAGUCUGUUACUAUAAAGUUAUAUUUUGAAUUAUAUAAUUUAAAUUAUUAAAUAUAAUUUUUUAAUAUUUAUGAUUUUAAAUAUAAAAAUUUAUUAAAAAAAACUACUACAUGUUAUGGGUGGAUUUGCUAAUUAUUAAAAAUUAUAGCGAACGAACUAAAAAAAAAAGAAGCAACCGGUUACGGGCGAAUUUAAUAAUGGCAAACUCAUAAUAAGCGAUACCAUUACCAUCGGCAGCUUCUAUAACGCAGGGCCGGGGGCGGUCUUGAAUUGUUAGAAGUUGUAACAUUAAUUAGCAAAAUUUUCAGCGGCAUCCCUGAAGUUUAGCAUAGAAUUAGAUAUAUCCCCUUGUUUUCAAAAUUAGUCUCUGAUUCCCAUGUUGUUUACUUUAUUAUUUUUUGUUUUCAUUUCAAUUGGAUUUAUAACUUUGUAAUGUUGCGCCUUGUAAAAUGUAUGCUUAAAACGCGUGCUUCUUAUUUUUUAUAUACUGCUAAGAGAAUUUGAGAAUAGAAAUAUAUAAAAUGGUGUCUCAUUUAUUAAUUAUUUAUAUCCUCUAAAUAGCACCUAACAUGCAGCUCACUUCAAUGAUAAAAUUAAUUAAACAAAAUAAAAAAAAAGCAUUUUUAACACCAGUACAAAAACAUAACAAGUGUACAAGAAGACUCAUUAACUUAUUUUAUGAUAUUAAAUUCACGCAGAUACCACCAAUGUUUCUCGACCAUGUUUGAAAGAGACCACCAACUCAUGCUGACUUGGAAGAUUUUCUUUAAGUAUAUAAGUGAAAGUUAUUACUCUAGUCUUCAAAAUUCUUAAACCUAAUCUAACUCAUUACAGCUGCAUGCCUUGCUCCUUUUAUUAUAUGUAUAUAUUUUAAGAUGAAUACAAUAACUUUUUAAUAAGAAGAAUUUUAUACUUUUCAAGCUUAAUAUUAACGAUAUUUUAUUUUAUUUUAAUUACUUUGAAUUGUUUUGGUUUAAUGACUUGAACAUAUUGAUUGUUUGCUAAAGUUGAAUUUUUAUUUGUCUAAUUAAUUGACGAUAGCAAUUGUAUAAAAUUUACUUAAAAAGAUAAAAUCUUAGUAGAUUACAGAAAGAUUUAGUAAUGACAAACAUGUAGCAGCCAAUACACAUUACCAUCCCCAACAGCUGUAAUAUGGCCAUGGGCAGUCUUAAUUGUUAGAAGGUGCAAAAUUAAUUAGUAAAAUGUUCAGCGGUAUCCUUGAAUUUUAGCAUAGAAUUAGAUAUAUCCCCUAGUUUUCAAAAUUUGUUUUUGAUUCCCCUAUUGUUUAAUAUAUAUAUAUAUAUAUAUAUAUAUAUAUAUAUAUAUAUAUAUAUAUAUUUAUUUAUUUAUUUAUUUAUUUAUUUCACUUGGAUAUAUAACUUUGUAAUGUUGCGCCAUAUAAAAUGUAUGCUUAAAAUGCAUGCUUAUUACUUUUUAUAUGUUGUUAAGAGAAAUUGAGAAUAGAAAUAUGUAAAAUGGAGUUUCAUUUAUUAAUUAUUUAUAUCCAUUAAAUAGCACCCAACGUGCAGUUCGUCUCAAUAGUAAAAUUAAUUAAACAAAGCAGAAAGAUUUGUUUUAGCAUCAGUAAAAAAAAAAAAAAAAAAGCACAAAGCGAGAAUCACAAACUUAUUUUAUGAUAUUACAUUCACGCAGAUGUCACCAAUGUUUCCCGAUGACGUUUGAAAGCGAUCACCAUCUCAUGCUAAUUUGGAAGAUUUUCUUCAAUUACAGGGACUUUCCUGAAAUUUUCAAACCACUUAUGCAAGCUUGGGAAUUUGUGAGAUUCAAAUAGUUUCAUUGUUAUAGUGCAAUUUAUGCACUAGUUUUGCAUUGUUUACUUCCCUUAAUAUCGAUGUUUUGCACUUAAUAAUAGUGAUUUACUUGUGUUUUACUUUUGUAGGUGCAAUUCUAUUGAUUUGUGAUAAAAUUGAGCUAUAAGAUGAUGUUUAAAGAUGAUUGUUCUCUUGGAGAAAUUUAGGGCGUCAGAAGAACUUUGUUGACAAGGCGUGGGCGCGUGCUGUCAACUGCGGACCUGCAAUUUUUAGUUUAACGUGUUUUGUAUUUUUGGUUAUUUUUGUAAUUAUGAAUUUAAUAUUUCAGAUAUUAGUAUUUUAUUUUAAAUAGAACUCUAAAAGAGAAAAGAGAGAGAGUAUUUAAGGGAGGAAUCUAUUGUGAAAACGAAGAGAUUGGGGGAAAAAGAAAGAAACCCUAGAUCUAAACUUUUCUCUUCUCUCUAUGAAGAACUAAACUUAUUUUUCUGGUUGAAGGUUAAUAAAGCUUUGAUUCAUCACUACUGCGAGAUCUUUCUUAUGCUUUAAUUGUUUUAUUACUUUUUGGGUAUUUUUUUUAUUUUCUGAAUUAUUAUUAUGAUUAUGUUUGUUAAUUAGAUAAUUGGCCACUAUUUAAAUAUCAACUUAAUCUAUUGUCAAUUAAAUGAUUCAUCGUAUGAAGAUUUUAAUGUUUGUGACAAAUAACAUAGCAGAGAGUUGUGUUGUGAGAAUAAACAAUCUAAUUUAAAUGAACCAUCGUAUGUGUUUGUUGAUUAGGAUUUGGGUCUCUCUGGUUUUUCAGGCUGUCAAUUGAUUAAAUCCUAUGAUCGUAUCUAGGGUUGUCUAUUGAUUAGGGAAAUAACCAACGGUCGUACCUUGGUUAUCGACUAGUUAAGGAGAGAUUGGCUAUUAGAGGGUCUCAGUAGCUAUAACCGGUCUAUUCAUAAGAAAUAAUAAUUUAUAUUUGAAUCAAUGAUCAGUAGUCGAAUCAAGCUGAGUUAAUUCCUUUAACCAGAGCUUUCUCCAAUUUGAAUUACAACUUUAAUUUGCAUUCUUGUUAUUUUAAUUUGAUUUUUAUUAUUGUCAACAAAACCCCCAUUUUAUGUUUUACGUUUCAAAAGGAUUUAAAUAAUUACCGAUCUCUGUGGACAUGACCCUACUCAAUCACUGUACACAAUUUAUUUAGAGUAAGUAUUUAUUUUUGUUGGCUUCGACAACCAUAAAAUUUUGGCGCCGUUGCCGGGGAUUGGUGUCAUUUAUUUAAUCUUUUUUACGUUUUACUUGGUGUAUGGUUCGUUCUUCUCGUACAGGUACACUUUCGUUUGAUCCUGAAAUUGAGAAGACAGCUCGCCAGCUAAGACAGCAGACGAAGCUAGCUAAGUAACGAUCCUCGUCGCCUUUGAUUUCUGAAACAGAUACGGUGCCUGAUUUGGUUGAAUCAUCUAGCGAUUCAGAAGAACAAGUGAUGGAUAGAUUUGCACCUGUAGAAAGAACUCUUAGAGAGUUAGUUGAACCAGACUUGAAUCAGCAACCACUUUGCAUUCAAUAUGUAGACUUGGAGGUAAAUUUUGAAUUAAAGUCUGGUCUCAUUCAUUUAUUACCCAAGUUUUAUGGUUUUGCAAGUGAAGAUCCUCAUAAACAUUUCAAGGAGUUUCAUGUUGUAUGUUCAAGUAUGAGACAACAAGGCGUGACUGAAGAGCAGAUUAAGCUGCGUGCUUUUCCUUUCUCUUUAGAUGACUAGCUAAAGACUGGUUGUACUACUUGCCUCCUGGAUCGAUUACAACGUGGAAUGGUUUGAACAAGCAGUUCCUCGAGAAGUACUUUCCUGCUUCAAGAGCUGCCAACAUCAGAAAAGAUAUUUGUGGGAUCAGACAACUUCCUGGGGAGACUUUGUAUGAGUAUUGGGAGCAAUUCAAACAAUUGUGUGCCAGCUGUCCUCAGCAUCAGAUUUCUGAUCAACUUCUUAUUCAGUAUGUUUACGAAAGACUAUCAUUAAUGGAGAGGAGUAUGAUAGAUGCUGCUAGUGGAGGCGUGUUGGUGAACAAGACCCAUACUCAAGCAAGGGAGUUGAUCUCAAAUAUGGCUGCCAAUGCACAACAAUUUGGCAGUAGGCAAGAUCCCACUUCAAGGAAGGUGAAUGAGGUAAAUAUUUUUUCUGUUAAACAACGUUUAGAUAAACUUACUUCUUUUGUGGAAAAGUUUGUUGUAGGUAAUGUGCAAUAGGUAAAGACUUGUGGCAUCUGUUACAAUAUGGGUCAUUCAACUGAUAUGUGUCCUACGCUUCAAGAAGAACCCGUUGAACAAACCAAUGCAGUUGGAGGAUUUCCAGGCAUGCCUCAGAGGAGGUAUGAUCCUUAUGCACAAACAUACAAUCCGAGGCGGAAGGAUCAUCCCAACUUUAGCUAUGGAGUUAGGCCGUCAGGAUUCCCACAACAGUAUCCACCAAGAUAACUAGCACAUCCACAGUCAAACUCCAAGUCAGGUAUAUCUCUUGAAGAAAUUGUUAAAUCACUUGCGACUAACGCUCAACAAUUUCAACAGGCAACUACAACAAGCAUUCAGAAUUUGGAGAGCCAAGUGAGUCAAUUGGCAACUACGAUGAGCCGUCUAGAGUCUCAAGUAUUAGGGAGAUUGCCUUUACAAUCUGAGGUGAAUCCCAAGCAAAACGCUAGUGCCGUCAUCCUUAGAAGUGGGAAGGAGUUGUAAGAGCUUAGUAAGAAAGUGACAGAGCAUGUAGAACCUGAGCUUGAAAAGAAUGAAUUGAUGCUUAAAUCUCAAGAUACGCAACCCACCAGAGCGAAACCCCUACCUAUUGUGAUACCUCCUCAUUUUCCAAGCCGGUUUGCAAAAUCUAAGAAGGAGGAACAAGAGAAAGACAUCCUUGAGACAUUUCGCAAGGUUGAGGUAAAUAUUCCCUUAUUAGAUGCUAUAAAACAAAUACCUUGAUAUGCUAAAUUCCUUAAGGAACUGUGCACCUCUAAGAGAAAAUUAAGAGGAGAUGAAAGAGUUCACAUGGGGGAGAAUGUUUCAGCAGUUCUCCUAAGUGCAAGGAUCCAGGUAUGUUUACUAUCCCUAGCAAAAUUGGUAGUGUUAGAGUUGAGAAGGCUAUGUUAGAUCUAGGAGCUUCUAUUAAUGUCAUGCCUUGUUCUAUCUGUUCGUCUUUGAAUGUUGGUGCAUUAAAAGAAACUGGCGUGAUAAUUCAAUUAGCUGAUAGGUCUAAUGCAUAUCCUGAUGGGGUAUUAAAAGAUGUCUUAGUACAAGUUAAUGAGUUAGUUUUUCCUGCUGAUUUUUAUGUACUUGAUAUGGAAGAGGAUAACUCCUCUAAUUCUGUCCCAAUUUUGCUAGGAAGACAUUUUCUUAAGACUGCUAGAACUAAAAUGGAUGUACAUAAAGGGACUCUUAUUAUGGAGUUUGAUGAAGAGGUUAUAGAGUUCAAUAUGUAUGAUGCCAUGAAAUAUCCCAGUGAGGAACAUUCGGUAUUUUCUAUGGAUGUUAUUAACCCUAUAGUGCAGGAAGCUUUUUAUUUGGAUGUUAAAGAUUCAUUGGUAGCUGCUUUAAAUAACAGUUUGGACCUCAAAGGAUUGCAAAAGGAUGAAAAUGAGUUUGUUUUAAAUUUUGUAUUGCAAGAGAUAAUUUAUGAAUUAAAUUCUUUGAGAACUUUAACUCAUCAUAUGUCUAAUAUUGAAUUACCUUCAUCUCAUGCAAAACUUCUUCCAUCUAUUUUGCAGGCACCGAAAAUAGAGCUUAAACCAUUGCCGAGUCAUCUAAAGUACACGUUUCUAGGAGAUGAUGAGACACUUCCGGUGAUCAUCUCUUCAAAGCUUAGUACUUUAGAGGAAGAGAAACUUAUUAGAGUGCUGAAGGAUUACAAAAAGGCUAUUGGGUGGACAAUUGCAAAUAUUAAAGGGAUAAGUCCGUCCACGUGCAUGCAUAGAAUACUGCUGGAGGAAGAUGCCAAACCUUCAAUUCAAGCUCAACGUCAUUUGAAUCAACUCAUGAUGGAAGUAGUGAAGAAAUAAAUUCUAAAACUUCUUGAGGCAGGUAUAAUCUAUCCAAUUUCGGAUAGCAAAUGGGUAAGUCCGGUACAAGUGGUACCGAAGAAAGCUGGUAUAACAAUUGUUGAGAAUUCUUAAUGUGAGUUAGUACCUACCCGAGUUUAGAAUGGGUGGAGGGUUUGUAUUGAUUUUAGAAAGCUUAAUUCACUCACUAGGAAGGAUAAUUUUCCUAUUCCUUUUAUUGAUCAGAUGCUUGAAAGGUUGGCAGGAAAAUCUCACUUUUGUUGUCUUGAUGGCUAUUCAGGUUUUCAUCAGAUACCAGUUGCGCCUGAGGAUCAGGAGAAGACUACCUUCACAUGUCCUUUUGGAACCUUUGCGUACCGACGUAUGCCAUUUGGUCUUUGUAACGCUCUCGCCACUUUUCAAAGGUGCAUGGUCAGUAUUUUUUCAGACUAUGUAGAAAACACUAUAGAGGUAUUUAUGGACGAUUUUACGGUCUAUGCUGAUUCUUUCGAUGAUUGUCUCUAUAAUCUGAAGAAAGUACUUGAAAGAUGCAUUGAAACAAACCUUGUCUUAAAUUAUGAAAAAUGUCAUUUUAUGGUAGAUCAAGGCAUUAUUUUGGGUCAUGUAGUCUCUGCUAGAGGCAUUGCGGUAGAUAAAGCUAAGAUAGAUGUUAUUAAAUCUUUACCUUAUCCCACAUGUGUGCGGGAAGUUCGUUCUUUCCUUGGUCACGCAGGUUUCUAUAGAUGAUUUAUCAAUGAUUUUUUGAAGAUAGCUUAGCCUUUAUGCAAGCUUCUUCAGAAAGAUGUGACGUUUGAUUUUAAUGAAGCAUGCAAAGUAGCAUUUGAUAAGCUCAAAGAGUUAUUGACUUCAACUCCAAUUAUACAGCCACCCGACUGGAGCCUCCCUUUUGAGAUAAUGUGCGACGCCAGUAAUUAUGCUGUUGGUGCUGUUCUCGGACAAAGGGUUGGAAGAGCUGCUCACGUGAUAUAUUACGCAUCAAGAACACUUGAUAGUGCUCAGUGUAAUUACUCAACAACGAAAAAAGAACUUUUAGCUAUUGUUUUUGCUUUAAAAAAAUUCCGUUCAUAUUUGUUGGGUACUAAAGUGAUUGUUUUUUCUGACCAUGCAGCUCUCAGAUAUUUACUCGCCAAGAAGGAAGCGAAACCGAGACUUAUCCGCUGGAUCCUACUACUUCAAGAGUUCAACUUGGAGAUCCGUAACAAGAAAGGAACAGAAAACUUAGUUGCAGACCACCUUAGUAGAUUUACCACGUGUGAAGAAGCAACACCUUUGAAGGAUGAUUUUCCAGAUGAGCAUCUCUUUGUAACUAAAGGUAUGGUUCCUUGGUAUGCUGACAUUGUCAAUUACUUAGUUACAAGAACACUACCUAGUGAUCUGACGAGGUCUCAAAAAGAUAAAAUUAAGAACGAUGCUAAAUACUAUGUUUGGGAUGACCUUUACUUAUGGAAACAUUGCUCUGACCAAGUCAUCAAAAGGUGCGUGUCUGAGUUUGAAAUUCCUUCUAUUCUUCAGUUUUGUCACUCAUAUGCAUGUGGUGGUCAUUUUGGUCCCAAAAGGACAGCAUCCAAGGUGUUAGAAUGUGGUUUAUUUUGGCCUACUUUAUUUCGUGAUUCAUACAUGUUUUGUAAGUCGUGUGAGAAUUGUCAAAAGACUGGUAAUUUAAGUCAUAGAAAUCAAAUGCCACUUACCCCUAUUCUUGUGUGAAAUAUUCGAUGUGUGGGACAUUGAUUUUAUGGGACAUUUUCCCUCAUCUGUUGGCAAUGCUUACAUUCUUUUAGCAGUGGAUUACGUUUCUAAGUGGGUAGAGGCUAAGGCCACCCAGACUGACAAUGCUAAAGUUGUUGUAGAUUUUGUCAAGUCUAAUAUUUUAGCCAAGUUUAGUGUACCAAGAGCGGUGAUAAGUGAUAGAGGCACUCAUUUUUGUAAUUGAGUGGUGAGGUUUUGUUCAAAAGAUAUCAUGUUACUCACCGAGUGUCUACCGCCUAUCAUCCACAGACAAGUGGACAAGCUGAGAUAUCAAACAGAGAAAUCAAGUUUAUUCUUGAAAAGACAGUUAGUCUAAAUCGAAAGGAUUGGAGUUUGCGAUUAGAUGAUGCAUUAUGGGCGUAUCGCACCGCAAUUAUUGUAACAAUGCUGAAGAGGAAAGCAUCAACUUCCAAGUCAUCUAAAAAGACACCCGUCGCAAAAAAAUCCAAGAUUGCCGCUCCCACUACGGUUCCAUGGAACACAGUUUCAGAUUUACGCCAAGCCGUAAGACAAAGAUCGAAACAUGGAAAAGGCAUGAGUGUUUUGCCACUUGCGGAAUCCAAUCUCGGAGGGUGCCUCGCAUUCGCGACUCAACAAGAGAAAAAGAGGUACAAAGAUAUUUCCAUGCGCAAAAUACUUCCAGCUAAGUAUAUUCAUUACCUGACUCUUGAAAAAUUGAAUGUUAAGGAUAAUUUUGAUUCUUUGAUAGAUAAGAUUGGGUUGCGUAAGUUUGUUGAUGUUGAUUGUUUGGGUUAUGUUGAGUUGAUUAGGGAGUUUUAUGCGACUUUUCAAUUUAAUAUACCGAAUGAUUUUACUUUGCAUAUCCUGGAUGUCAUAAAGUUUAGGUUAAUAGGACGAAAUUUUUCACACUCUAUCACGGAUUUUAACCUAGAUUUAGGAUUCAUUGAUGAUGAUUAUUCUUUUAGUGAUGCAUAUUUAGGAACAACUUGUGACUUUAGCGAAAAUUUUGAGCCUUAUGGUCUUUAGUGUAAUUUAUUUGUUGAUCACAAUGCCUAUGACCCGAGUAAAUCAAAGAGUUCUUUCUUACGUGAUCCUGUUUUGAAAUGUGUGCAUCGAUUCUUAGCAUAUAAUUUUUUAGGAAAGAAAGAUCACUUAGUAGUUUUCUCUAAAACUGAAUUUUAUUUUAUCUGGUGCAUGUUAAAUGAUGUGAGGCCUAAUUUAGGUUUUUGGUUAGCGGAUCAAUUUCAAAGUGUGCUUAAACGGUAUAGGACUUUAUUUCUUGGUCCAUACAUUACUCUGUUAGCUAUAAACCUAUGUGUGCUUGAUCCUGACAAUAAUGAUUUGCAUCCUGCUUGCAAAAAGGAAUUUUUGGAUAUGUCUGUGUUUGAAAAAACAGGUGUGGUCGAAUUCAAGGAGGGGAGAUUUCAGUUUACUGAACCAGGACCCACUCAACCUCCAAAGAAGCUUUAUGCUAGGAGUGGUGCUACCUCUGAUGACGAGUUUGACGACGACACUGCUGCCCCGCCAACUAUUCAUUCUACAUCCGCACCACCUUUGAGCAUUCAGUUAGAGAAAAUGGAGCACAAGCUAAACAAGAUGGAGCAGAAUUUGGCCGCAUACUUCAAGAGUGUGGGAUUUAUCUCACCAUUUCCGCCAAGCCCAUAGAUGUUAUGUGGAUCAAAGUUCACAAUUCAGGGAAGUUUUUUUUUGCCUUUAAUCUUUUAUCUUUACGCUUUAAUUUUUAUGUGAGCUUUGAUUAUCUUACAUUAGGGACAAUGUAAGUUCUUGGUGUGGGGGAGGGAUUUUUGCAUUAUUGAUGUCUGGAAAUAUUAUUUUCACUCUACUCAUCCUUAAAUGAGUUUGGAGUUAGUAUGUUUCAUAUAAUAUUAUUUUUCUUUUGUUUUCUUUCUCACUACUCUUUUUCCAUCUAUCUCAAAUUAUUUACAUCUAUUUUUUUUAUUCUAUCAUACUCUUUCAUACUAACAUUUUAUCUUCCACUUUUUAUAUUACUACAUACAUCUUUCUCACUUCUUAUCAUUUUUACCUUUCCUUUUAUAUAUCACUCCUACCUUCUUCUCAUUCUAAACCACUAUUGAUGGUUGAUUCAUUUGAAAAGUGUACAUGAUUUGAUGGCAAAUUUACCAACUUUGUGAGGAUUUUAGCCUAUGAGCAACCACUUUGCUCUAAUAUUUUUGUUAUGUGAAUAUCAAUCUUAGUUUGUUUAUUCUAGAACUUGCUUUGUUAUGCAUGUUGAAGCCGUAUUACGGGAUUUUAUGCAUUAAAAUGAUAACGGCAAACCAUUUACAUUUUUCUAUUCUCGCAUUUUCUUUUUUUUUUCUCUACCCGAAGACCUUUAUUUACUAUCUUUGUUUGAACCUUAACCAUUACCCAUCUAAUUCUCUCCGUCUACUUAACCAUGUUUCUUCUUUUUUGAGCUUCAAUUUAAGGAGAUUUUGGGACUCAUUGUGUGGAUAUAUUUUGUUGCUUUUUCUACCUUGUAUUAAAGUUUCUCAAUUAGAUCAACAAGCAUUAUACUUGAAUUAAAUUGUGCAAGGUUCGUUUCUUUUGUUUGAAAAAAAAAACAAAAAAGAAAAAGAAAAAGAAAAGAAAAAAAGAAAAGGAAAAAGAAAAAAAGAGAAAAAGAAAAAUCGAAAAAAAGAAAAAAAAAAUGUUUACAUUCUUGGUGACUUGAGUAGAAAUAAGCAUUUUGAUAUCAUAAGUUCAUUCAAUGAGUUCAUUCUUCUCAUUUUGAUCUCUUUUUCUUUCGUAGACCUUUCUUUUUCAUUUAACCUAUUUAACCCCAUUACAACCUUUUUAAGACUCUUAGAUUUUUGCAUUUUAUUCAUGUUUUGUGGAUUGUGAUGUGAUAUAUGAGCAAGCUUAUGGUAAUAGCAUUCUUUGAUUUGAUUUGAAUGCAUAAAUGAUACCCUAAACACUUUGAGUGCAUGUAACUAUGGCCAAUGGGCCGUGCCGGCUGUCGGCCCACAAUGGCUCGUGGGCCGGCACGGCACGACCCACCAAUUUGGUGGGCUGUGCCCACCUUUUUUCCAGUUGAGCCCAGCACGGCCCACGGCACGAACCCGCUCGUGUCGUGUCGUGGGCCGUGCCCAAAAAAAGCCCACCAACUUUUUUUUUUAGUGUGCUUAAAAAAGUCCAUGUGCCUAGCGUGCUUUAUUCAAGCCCACGUGCCUGACGUACUUUUUUAUGCCCACCAACAUAAUAAUAAUAAUAUAAUAUUCACAAUCAUAAUCAUAUUAAUUUUUAUUAAGAGAGCAAUUAACAUUUUAUUAUUAGUUUAUCACAAUUUCACAACUAUAUAUUUUAUUUCACAAUAAUCAAUCAUAAUUCAUAACACAACAAUACAUAAAUUUAAUUAAAUUUAAUUCCAUAGAUCAUAAUAAUAAUUAAUUAAAAUUAAAAAUACAAUCCUCGAAUAAUCAUUACAAUAAGUCAUAACUACGAAAUAUUAAUAUAACAAAUCAUAGGUCACAACUUAAAAGUUACAACUAUAAAACACGAACUACGAUCAAUUGACGAAUAACAAGCACGAAAAAAACAUUUAUUAAUCACAACUAUGGAUACGGGAAACGAGCAAGGUUAAUUCUAUCUCAGCUGGUGGCGAGCUAAACAAUUUGACACGUGCCGACGUAAACCCAAGGUGCCGUGGCUGUUUGAAUAAAUAACUUCUCGAUGACAAUAGUUGCACCUCAAGAUCAUCCGCUUGUAAGGACGACGCAAACUAUUAUCUAUUAUUUCCUCCCUUACUGUAGUAAAAUUUUGAAAAAGCUCAUUUAGAAAACGACUUCUGGGCUGAUUUAGCCUAGCGUUUUGUUGAGGUCCAACUACAUUAACACCGUAUUCUUGAGGGUGUUGAGGUUCUUCUGCAUUCAUAUUAUGUUGCUGCGGAUUCAUAAUGAUUUUGGCUUUUAGAAUAUUGGAAAGUUUGAGGAAAAAGAAGAAGAAUAAGAAUUGUGAAGCAUCAUAGCAUAAUGGCGUGUAUAUAUAAUAUUAGAUAGUAAUAAAAAGACAAAAAUUAAUUUUAUUUACUUUGUCGGUGGGAGUAAAAAGAGUAAGUAAAAAAAUAUUUAGUGAAAUAUAAAUAUAGCCGUGAGGCAAGUGCUUGGUUGGCAUGUGGGAAACAAAUCUUAAAUUAUUUAAAAAUCUGCAAUUUGCACGUCUGCAUGUGCACUAUAUGACAAGCUGACAACUACCGUGUUGAAAAUUUGAGUUGAGAAUUUAAAUUCAAAGAAAUAAAGUACUCUACAUAAUGAAUGCAAGCUCCUCCCGUACUACUAGUUUGUUAUUAUAAUAUUAUCUCAUCAACACACUUGUGAUAAGAUUUAUUAACAUUGUGAUAGUUGCGUGAUUCUCUUGUAACAAUGAACCAUAAUUUUUUUUAAUUUAAUAUGUUGUUUUGAAAAAAAAUUAAUUACAAAAAUUAUUUUUAAAAAUAAAUAACAACGGUGCACUUAGAAAAUAAUUUUUUCUAAUUAUUAAAUAAUAAAAAAAUUCUAAAUUAAUUUUAUUACUCACCCAACGGAUAAAAAAAAAUUUGAAUUAAUUCAAUUAAAAAAAUUCUGAAUUAAUUGAAUUACUCACCCAACGGACAAAUUUUUUUUUGAAUUAACAGUAAAAUUGAUAUGACUACUCAAUUUUACAGUAUAAGCAGUCGGACUCUGAUUAUCAAUUAAUGUUUUCUGAUUUUUAAUGACAAAAAAAAUUUAAAUCAAUUUCAUAUUUUCAUUACUCACCCAACGGACAAAAAAAAAUUGAAUUAAUUGAAUAAAAAAAAUUCUGCAUUAAUUGAAUUAAUAAUAAAGUUGAUAUGCCUUUCCAAAAAAAAAAAACAAUAAAGUUGAUAGACUUGACUAGUCAAUUUCACUUUCACAGCAUGGGCAUUCAUGACUCAACAAUUAGACUUAACUAGCUUACAGAAUUUAUAAGCUAUAGACUGCAGCAUCAGCCGUUGGAUGUGGAGUGAGAAACUAAACAAUAGACAAUCGAAUGGUGGGAAUGGGAUGACGGGAGACGUUUGUUACAGUCUUGCAGAAUCGGUACCAUAGAGUCAUAGACAGAUCCCUCAACAAUUAAUUUUUAAUAAUAAAAAAUUCUAAAUUAAACCAAUUGCUCACCUUACAAUUCCAAGUUUCCAACGGACAAAAUGAAUGAUAAAAUGUAACUGUUUAAUUUGCUGCAGCCUUGCAGAGUUGCAGGAAGCUUUGCAGUUGUAGACUUGUAGGUUCGCAGCUUGUUUGUUCGUUUUUGACCGUUAAAAUGUUUACUUUUUUAUUUGCCCGUUUCUAACCGUUAAUAUGUUUACUUUUUUAUUCUAUUUAAACGAUUAAAUUAUUUUCGAAUUCAUCUCACAUUCUCACUUCUCAAUUUCUAAUUCUUUAUCUCCUCGUUAUCUCUCUUAUCUCAUCAGUCAUCUCUAGUCUCUGCUUGCCCAAUCUUCUUUACUACAAUUCCAACGCCUUUAUUUACCAAAACACUAAUUAUAUAAAAUGUCUCACUCUCAUUUCGAGUUAGAUGAGAAUUUUAAUUUUGUUGAAGAGCGAGAGGAAGUUGCAAAUGAAGAAAUUGCUGCACCAGAAUUUGAUCCAAGUAAUAUAUUUAUUGUCCCACCUAAACGAUUGCCACCUACUUCUCAAGCAAGUCAAAGUGGUUCUACUUCUUCAACUGCCUGUCCUACUACUACCUCCAAACGACAAAGAACAUCGAUUGUUUGGUCAUGUUUUACUUUGGAAAAACAUCAAAUCAAAAAAGGUGAAAUGGUGGAUCAAGCAGUGUGCAAAUAUUGUCAAUCUGCUUUAAGUGACAAAAGCAAUGGUGGAACUAGACAUCUUAGACGACAUAUGGAAACUCGUCAGACAAAACACGCGCCACAAGACCCAACACAAACCCAACUCUCACAAUAUGGUUCUGGAUCUUCCGGUAUAACAUCAUUCAGAUAUUCACAACAGAACAUGCGAGAAGGAUUGGCUCGGUAUAUUGCUGUAGCAGAACAACCUUUAACAUUUUCAGAAGAUGAACGUCUAAUAAAUUUUUUGCAAAGGUAUGUUCAACCUCAACUUAAGAAAGUGCCUAGAAAUACAUUAAAACGUGAUUUAACUAAAAUUUUUCAUGACAUGAAAAAACUUUUAAUUAAUACUUUUAUCAAUUUUAAUGGUGUUAUUUCAAUUUCUUCUGAUUGUUGGACUGGUAUUAAUAUGGUUGGUUAUUUUUGUGUGACUUCGCACUCUAUACAUGAGAUUAAUGGUAAAUGGAGGUUGGAAAAAAAAUUGCUUGCAUUUCGUGAAUUAGAAUAUCCUCACACUGGUUCAGUAAUUUAUGCAGCUAUAAUGUCUGUUUUAAGAGAAUAUGAAAUUACUGAUAAAUUGUUUAGCAUAUCAUUUGAUAAUGCAUCUGCCAAUACAGUGGCAAUUGAUAUGUUUUUGCGGAAUAUUUCUACUCUCAUGCCUGCACGUGGUUCAAAAUUUUUUCAUUUGAGAUGUGUGUGUCAUAUUAUUAAUUUAAUUGUUCAAGCUGGUAUGACUCAUAUAAAUCAUUAUUUAGAAAAAAUUAGAGCAUCCAUUUUAUAUAUUAGAGCACCUUCAAGACGUCAACAAUUUUUGGAGACAUUGAAAAUUUUUGGAUUGAAAAGGAGAAAAUUCAACCUUGACAUGAAAGUUCGUUGGAAUUCUACGUAUUUAAUGUUGCUUUCUUGUCAAAACUAUUCUGAAGCAAUUUCUAGUUUUUACAAUGCGAGAAUGAAUGAUGAAGAUUAUCAUAUCACUGAUUAUGAUUGGAAUGUUGCAUUUAAAUUUAUGAAUUUUUUAAAGGUAUUUUAUGAUGCUACUCUUGCAUGUUCUACUGUUUAUGAGCCUACUUCAUGUAGAGUGUUAAUGCACUUGUACAAUAUAAGUUAUACUUUUAAGACUUUUAGAGAGAAUAUUAUGUUUAAAAAUAUUUGUGAUACCAUGGAGGAAAAAUUUCAAAAAUAUUGGAAAGAUAUUCCCCACCUAUUUAUUUUUGCAGUAGUGUUGGAUCCUACAAUCAAGGAAGUUGGUGCAAAACUUUUAGUUGAGGGUAUUAGUGAAAAUUUACAAACCGGACUUGAUACAAAUUUUGAUACAAUUAUGCCCUCUAUGCAUGAACUUUUUAAUUUUUAUCGAAAUAAAUUCGAAUUAAGCAAUACAUAUUCUAAUGUUCAACAAGCAUCGACUUCUUAUAAAAAUCCAGCUCACCUUUUGUUACUCAAAGGUAAGGGUGUUGCCUCUCGUAUUGAUACUAAUCGUAAUGAAUUACAAAGAUAUUGUUAUGCCAAUCUUGAAGAUUUAGCAACUCCUUCACAAUUGCAAAAUUUUGAUAUUUUAGAUUUUUGGAUGGGUAAGAUAUAUUUUUUCCCUAUAUUAUCCAUUAUGGCCCGUGAUCUACUAACCCCUCCAGCUUCAACUGUAGCAUCAGAAUCAGCUUUUAGUACAUGUGCCAGAAUUCUAGAUGAACAUCGGUCAAGAUUGUCAUCAGAGACAUUAGACUCUUUGUUGUGUUUGAAAGAUUGGGAAGAUGCUGAACGCCGAGUGCAACAAGAUUGGCAAAAUGCUUUAAUUAAACAAAUUGAGAGUUUGAAUGUUGAUCAAGAUGAAGUGGAUCCAGAUUAUGCAGAGUACUGAACAUUGAAGCCACUUCCAAAUACUAGAAAUUUUUUUUUCUUGUAACUUUUUGAUACAAUUUUUAUUAGUGAGAAGGUUGUAAAUUUGCAAAUGAUAGAUGGUUCAGUAGGUGCCAACCUAGUUGGGAUGUACUGUUAACUGUAGUGAUGCAAAUUACACCUAAUUUUAUUUGAAUUACUAAUAUUAUAAUUGUACUUUAACUUCAUUUAAUGAAAAUGUAAUUUUUAAUUUAUCAUAAUUUUUCUUGUGUAUAAAAUGGAAAAUAUUUCAUUCACAAAUGAAACGUAUCUCUAUUAAAUAUUAACUAAGUUAUGAUUUAAUAUUAAUAUGAAAAAUAUUUCAUAUAAAAAAUAUUUUAUUAUUAAUUUUGUAAAAAAAUUUAUUUUUUAUUUAUAAUUUAUAAAUUUAUUAUAUUUAUAAUCUUAUUUAUUAAAAUCAUGAUAUUUAGUUAUUUACUUAUUCAUUUAAUAAAUUAUAAACAUAAAUAAAUAAUUAAAUAAAUAUCAUAAAUAACAUUAUUCAUUUAAUAAAUAUCAUAAAUAAAAUUAUGAUAUUUAUAAUUUUAUUUAUUAAAAUCAUGAUAUUUGCUUAUUCAUUUAAUAAAUUAUAAACAUAAAAGAUUAGAAUAUUUAUUUAAACUAAGAUUUAAUAAUUUAAAAUAAUUUUUAAAAGUCUAUGCUAAAAAAUAUAUUAAAACAUUUAAUUUCAAGAUAUUGUACUUUAAUUUCAUAACAUUUUAUAUUUACUUUUUGUUAAAAAAAAUUACUUAGAUAUAUUUUGGCCCACGUGCUAUUAAUGGCUCACGGGCCGCGUGCUAGCCCACUAAUGAACCGUGCUUAUUACGUGCUUUUUCGCGUGCCGUGCUUUGGCCCAUCACUAAUCGUGCCGUGCUUUAAGGCCCGUGUGCCUAAAAUUCUAGGCCCGACACGGCCCACGUGCAUGCCAUGCCGUGCCUCUGCCUCACCGAAACGUGCUCGUGCCGUGCCGUGCCGUACGGACACGUGCCGUGCCACGUGCCGCCCGGCCCAUUGGCCAUCUUUAAGUGCAUGGAGUGAAGUCAAUGAGAGGGCUAUUAAAUCUUGUUGCACUUGAAUUUUGAAUGGAUCUUCUUGGUGGUUGAAGGUUUUUAUUCUAGCUUAUGAGAUUCUAUGCUUUAAAAUCCUUGCCUCUCAAAUGUUGAUUAACUUAAAUUCUUGAGGCAUGCUUGCUUAAAAUUGUUUUUGGAUGAGUUGAGAUGAGAAUUGAGUGGAGAUUUGGGAUUAGUCUUGAGUUAUAUGCUUGAGGACAAGCAUCAUCUUGGUGUGGGGGAAUUUGUUAGAGUGCAAUUUAUACACUAGUUUUGCAUUGUUUACUUCCCUUAAUAUCAAUGUUUUGCACUUAAUAAUAGUGAUUUACUUGUGUUUUACUUUUGUAGGUGCAAUUCUAUUGAUUUGUGAUAAAAAUGAGCUAUAAGAUGAUGUUUAAAGAUGAUUGUUCUCUUGGAGAAAUUUAGAGCGUCAGAAGAACUUUGUUGAUAAGGCGUGGGCGCGUGCUGUCAACUGCGGACUUGCAGUUUUUAGUUUAACGUGUUUUGUAUUUUUGGUUAUUUUUGUAAUUACGAAUUUAAUAUUUUAGAUAUUAGUAUUUUAUUUUAAAUAGAACUCUAAAAGAGAAUAGAGAGAGAGUAUUUAAGGGAGGAAUCUAUUGUGAAAACGGAGAGAUUGGGGGAAAAAGAAAGAAACCCUAGAUCUAAACUUUUCUCUUCUCUCUAUGAAGAGCUAAACUUAUUUUUCUGGUUGAAGGUUAAUAAAGCUUUGAUUCAUCAAUACUGCGAGAUCUUUCUUAUGCUUUCAUUGUUUUAUUACUUUUUGGGUAUUUGUUUAUUUUCUGAAUUAUAAUCAUGAUUAUGUUUGUUAAUUAGAUAAUUGGCCACUAUUUAAAUAUCAACUUAAUCUAUUGUCAAUUAAAUGAUUCAUCGUAUGAAGAUUUUAAUGUUUGUGACAAAUAACAUAGCAGAGAGUUGUGUUGUGAGAAUAAACAAUCUAAUUUAAAUGAACCAUCGUAUGUGUUUGUUGAUUAGGAUUUGGGUCUCUCUGGUUUUUCAGGCUGUCAAUUGAUUAAAUCCUAUGAUCGUAUCUAGGGUUGUCUAUUGAUUAGGGAAAUAACCAAUGGUCGUACCUUGGUUAUCGACUAGUUAAUGAGAGAUUGACUAUUAGAGGGUCUCAGUAGCUAUAACCUGUCUAUUAAUAAGUAAUAAUAAUUUAUAUUUGAAUCAAUGAUCAGUAGUCGAAUCAAGUUGAGUUAAUUCCUUUAACCAGAGCUUUCUCCAAUUUAAAUUACAACUUUAAUUUGCAUUCUUGUUAUUUUAAUUUGAUUUUUAUUAUUUUCAACAAAACCCCCAUUUUAUGUUUUACGUUUCAAAAGGAUUUAAAUAAUUACCGAUCUCUGUAGACACAACUAUGCUCAAUCACUAUACAAUUUAUUUAGAGUAAAUAUUUAUUUUUGUUGGCUUCGACAACCAUCAUUCACUCCCAUUACAUCUUCAAGGACCUGCAGCCAAUAAGCAAUGGCUCCAAAUGCUAGGUCCGCUAAGCCAAUAUCGUCUCCAUUGAAAAAUUUCUUCUCUCCUGGGCCAUGUUUUUCAACGGUUUGAAGCAUUUUCAAGGCUGCCUUCAUUGCAUUCUCCAGGUCUUGUCCAGUGCUGAAAAACAUUUUCCAAACAGCUACUCCCUGCCACAAGAUUUUAUAUCUAAUUCUUAUCACCACAUGAUUAACAAUAUAAACGAGGUAAAAAGAAAUUAGAUAAUAGGUACACACGCAUCAAAGUAUCUUUCAAAGCCUAGACGUUUCAAACUGUCAAAGUAUCUAGAAGAGUUUACCCACUAAUUUUUAGACUAAUUUAUUAUAAUUUUUAGAGCUUAUUCAAGUAGAAUUUUUGUUAGUAAAAUUUAAUUGUUAAUGAAAAUUUUCAUUAAUUUUUUUAAAUAACUUUAAUAGACAAGUUUAUAAAGUAAAGUUAUGAAAUAAAUAAAUAAAAUAAUAUUAUAAAAUAAAUGAUGAACAUUUUAAACUAUUUAACUUUUUAAAAAAUCCUCAAACUUCUAUUUCCAAAAAAUUAAAUUUAAAUUUUUACUAGUAUAGGUAAAAGAAUUUAUUUAACCCCAAAAGUUCUAAAAAUAAAACUAAACAAUAAUAAAAAUUUGAAAUGAGAUUUUUUGAUUAAAUAAACACUUAUUAGUAAUAAAUAAGUCAUAUCAAACAAAUACUUAAUGAUAUAAAAGGAAAAAUAUUAAAAAAAAAUCCUCUUAUUGUUUUAGUAAAUUAUAAUUUUGCUUUCAUGUUUCGAAAGUCCUCAAAAUUCCCCCUAUCGCUAAAACAAUUAUAUUUUAAUAUUUUACCCUUGAUGCAGUAAAAUCCACGAUUAAUUAAGAAAAAUUUCUAAAGGUAAAAAAUUUAAAGUAAUUAACCGAAUUUUUUUGAUAAUUUUCUCUAAUGUAAAAUAAAAGGUUCAUUGAGCUUAGUCGGCCGUGAAUGCAUUUUGCACAUGCGAGGACAUUAGUUUGAGCAUUAAUAGUAGAUAAAAAUUAAUGUUUAGGGAGUCAUGUUUCUCAUAUACAAUGAAAAAUUAAAGUAUAUAAAGAAACCCGACAAGAUUAAUUAAAUUUAUAAACGUGUUAGCAAGAAAAGUUGUGAUGCGAACCUUGUCUUCGGCAAAUUUAAUCCAAAAACGAGCUUGAGCUCUAUCAUAAGGAUCACUUGGCAUCAACGAGGGAUUGUGUGGCCACAUCUCUUCAAUGUAUUCGAGAAUAACCAUGGACUCGAAAACUGGUUUUUCGCCAUGAACGAGCACUGGUAUCAUCUUGUGAACUGGGUUAUACUUCAAAAGCGAAGCACUUUUGUUGUAGAGAUCUUCUUCAAUGUAUUCAUACGGGAUGCCUUUCAAUUUCAGAGCCCAUACUACCUUGUUGCUAAAUGGACUCGCCCAUCCCCUGUGGAGCUUCACUUCAGCCAUGUGUCUGAGAUCGAAUUUGAAUAUGUGUGUGGUUGUUUUGCUUAGCUGAUGAGUUAUUGCAUACGUACAUCUGAAUUUAUAAUGAUUAAUAUUGGAAUAUCGAGUGCGCUUGCUUGAGCAGGGAGCUUCAUAUCUCCAAUUUAUUUAAUAAAACGAUUCAAUCAAGUUGAAUUCAAUGAACUAAUGCUGCGACAUUUUAACAAUUCUGUUAUAUAUUCAACGAGAAGAGGUAUCGUAUUUGACGGGAAUCUCUUGAAACAGUGCUGAAUUAACAAGUAAUCUUAUUUAAUUUGGUCAACUGGUCAGAUAUGGAUUAAUUAUAUAUUUGGCGUUUGUUUUAGGUGCCCAGCUAGCCCUGCUGCUGUGUUUUUUAUAUUAUGAUAUUCUCCUGAGAACUUUGGAGGACUCAUUUACUUUACAAUUUUAGCAUUUUAGGCCCAAUAACUUCAUAUAUAUGACGUUUUGUCCCCCGGCUCCUCCUCUUCUAUAUAAAUCCGAACACCUGAAAAAUGACCAGACCGGAACAACUCUCCGUCUUAAGUCUAUGCAAAUUUUACACACAAGAGAAAGAGAGGGAGAGGGGCGGCCAUGAGAGAUAAUGAUACAGAAAAGAAUAUGGAAGAGAGUUUAUUAAUACCAAAAGAAAGUUUAUCAUCAACAUCCACAACAUGGGAUUUGUUGAGUGGAGAAGUGAAAAAGCAGGGUUACAUAGCAGCACCAAUGGUGGCUGUCACUUUAUCACAGUAUUUGCUUCAAGUUUUUUCCAUGAUGAUGGUUGGUCAUCUUGGUCAACUUGCUCUUUCUAGCACCGCCAUGGCCAUCUCUCUAGCUAGCGUCACCGGCUUCAGCGUCCUUGUAAGUUCUAUAAUCCAUAUAUAGUUAUUUACAAUAUCAAGAUCGUGACACAAGCUUGUUUGUUCUUUCUUUUGAUAGGUAUUUGCAUCAUUGCAUGUGGGAUUUAAACAAACAGAUAUGCCAAAUUUCGGAUGUUAAAAAACGUGCAAUUAACUAAUACCCUGUUUGUAAAAAUGCCAUUAAUUUUUAAAGGACUUGAUUUACUCUUUUUUUAAAAAAAAAAAAAUUCUACAGCUAACUUGAAUUGUGUAAUAUUGUCUUUGAAACAGUUAGGAAUGGCAAGUGCUCUGGAAACAUUAUGUGGGCAAGCAUAUGGAGCUCAGCAAUAUCAAAGAAUUGGAACUCAAAUUUACACUGCAAUAUUUUGUUUAUUCUUAGUAUGUUUUCCGCUUUCCUUUCUAUGGAUUUACAUGGGAAGGCUGCUAGUUUUGGUAGGCCAAGACCCCCAGAUUUCACAUGAAGUAGGCAAGUUUAUAAUCUGGCUUCUUCCAGCUCUGUUUGCUUAUGCAGCAAUGCAGGCGCUUAUUCGAUAUUUUCAGUCUCAAAGUUUGAUCAUUCCCAUGUUCUUAAGCUCCUAUGCCGCUCUUUUUUUGCAUAUUCCCAUCUGUUGGGGUUUGGUAUUCAAGUCUGGACUAGGAAACCUUGGAGGAGCAUUGGCAAUUGGUAUAUCGUAUUGGUUGAAUGUAACUUUCUUGGCAAUUUACAUGAAGUUCUCCACUGCUUGUGCAGAAUCCAGGGCUCCAAUUUCAAUGGAGUUGUUCCGAGGAAUUGGAGAGUUCUUCCACUUUGCUAUCCCUUCUGCAGUAAUGGUUUGGUAUGUUAGUUAUCUUCUGGAGCUUCAUUUUCCCUUCUCAUAGACAUCGUUGACACGUCAUAAAUUUUCAUGCUUCUUUUGUUUAUAAUUUUGCAGCCUAGAAUGGUGGUCAUUUGAAUUGCUCAUUUUAAUGUCAGGGCUGCUGCCUAAUCCACAGCUUGAAACUUCAGUCCUAUCUGUAUGGUAUGUUGACAUAGACUUUGUAUGUGAAAGUUCUAUACAGAGAAGCACCUACCAAAGGAAAUAGAUUUUUUUUCUUUUUUUCUCUUUUUUCCCGACUGCUCAUUAUUUGUCAACUUCUCUGGGCAGUCUCAGUACUAUUCAAACCCUCUCUGCAAUCCCAUAUGGACUUGGUGCUGCAGCGAGGUUUGUUCAUAACAAUCACUUAAAUAAUAAUUGUUUUAUAUCAACUAAUUAGCAGAUUAACCAUUAUUUCCUUCUAUAGUACUAGAGUUUCAAAUGAACUAGGAGCUGGGAAUGUGCAAAGAGCCCGUGUAGCUGUCUAUGCUGUGGUCUUUAUGGCAGUCAUGGAGACUAUCAUAGUAAGUGCAUCUCUCUUUGCCAGCCGGCGUGUUUUUGGUUAUGUUUUCAGCAAUGAGGGACAAGUUGUGGAUUAUGUCACAACCAUGGCUCCUCUGGUUUGUUUGUCUGUCAUCAUGGAUAGCUUACAAGGAGUCUUUUCAGGUUAAAUUAACUUCUUCAACUCUGUCAAUUGCUAAAUAGUUCUCUUUAAGUGGAAAUAAAAUUUUUCAGGUUUCUAAAUUCUUUUUAUUAUUUUUAAGGUGUUGCAAGAGGAUGUGGGUGGCAGAAUAUAGCUGCUUUUGUGAAUCUUGGGGCUUAUUAUUUGUGUGGAGUCCCAACUGCUGCCAUUUUGGGUUUCUGGUUAAAGUUUAGAGGAAGGGGCCUAUGGAUUGGGAUACAAGCUGGUGCUUUUACACAAACACUUCUGCUUGGCAUCAUAACAACAUUUACAGAUUGGGAAAAACAGGUCUGUUUCUCAACAUUUAAUCCCUUAAAAAUUAGAGAAGCUUAUUGGACUAUAUAUGUAAAUAUGUAGCAAUUUUUUUUUUUCCCAAUACGUAUCUGAUACCUUUUGACUGAAAGUUCAAGAUUAAAAUCACUCAGCUUGAUCUGAAAUGGUUAGUAUUAUCAUCUUCUGCAGAAAUGGUUUUGCUCAUUGAGAAAAUGAUAUUCAAUAACACAAAUGCAAACUCAUUUGAAAAUUUUGCCAUUGAGAAAAUGAUAUUCAAUAACAGACAUGCAAACUCAUUUGAAAAUUUGCUUUUUUGCAAGAAUUAUAACCAUUUUCUAGUUUGUUAAUUGUUACAUCUUCUGUGUUUCUAAGGGGUUUCUCAUGUUGCAGGCAAGUAAAGCAAGGAAAAGAUUAUCAAAGGGAAGAUCUUUAGAAGAAAAUAGAAUAGUUUGUGAGUGAGCAGAGUCAAUCAAUGAGCUGAUAUAUACAUUUUCCAGUUGAAAGAGAUAAUCAUUGCUUGAGAAAAUGAGCUGAUCAUAUGUCAAUUGUGUUGAAAAGUCAGAAGCAAAUGCCAACUUUGCAACUGUUAGCAUGAAGGCUUUGGAGAAGCGAAAUCCAAUUUGGUUUUUGUUAGCCGAAAAGAAAGAAUGGAAAAAGGGGAUGUAUUGAAAAUAAUAAUAAUUAUUUAUUAUAUUUUCAAUUAUUUUAUUCUUUGCAUAGUGCCAACAUUUUUCCUAUAAAUAGCUUAGGAUUUCAUUCAUUUGAAAUCAUCCUAAAAUUGUUAAGCUUAUAAGUUUCUAAGCUUUUGAGAGAAGUGAGAGAAGUGUGUCUGGGGAAUUUAUCUUUCCUGCAGAGUGUGAGAGUACUGGGUAUAUUUGGGUUUCUGGGAAGUGAGAUUCGUUACUCAAAUAUUGUAUUCUAUUAAUUGUUAAAUAAACAAUUAUUCUUUCUUGCCUCCGUGGAUGUAGGUUUAAUUACCGAACCACGUAAAUUCUUGUGUCCUUUAUUUUUCGGUAAUUUUUGGUGCGCUUGAUUCCGCAUUCCGCGCACAACAAGUGGUAUCAGAGCCGACGGUUCGUACUUGGGGGGAUACGGUAUUGUUCACGUAUAUGGUACUAUUCCCGUAUACGGUACUGUUCACAUACGGUACUGUUCACGAAUACGGUGGAGACAACCAUUUGUACUUGGGAGACAGUCUAUUGUAAGUAGUGUGUAUUUUUGCAUGUCUAGGAAAGUUCUGUCAACAAAGGCGAUAAGAGUCUAAGGAUUCUGGUUUUUAAUUGGGACCGAGUUCCCGUCCAGUUUCCUGGGAACUUUCCUGGUGCAUUUAUUCACGCGAAAUUAACAUCAUAGAGGCUGUUUUUCCAGUGGAAAUAGUUCGUUGAAAAAAUGGUAGAAGGUGAAACUUCCAGAAUUGGGGAGAGAUCUACCGAGACUAUUUCAGGAGACACUUCAGGUGGGAGGCGAGAUUUGUCAAAUCGCUAUUCAGCACCUAUUAUAGGAGGCCAGAAGAUCGAUGUUGAAAAGUUUGAUGGGAAAAUCAACUUCGGCAUGUGGAGGCGCGAAGUUAUGGAUGCCCUUAUUCAAAUCGAUCUCGAUGUUGUCCUGAAAAAUAAAAGACACUUGUAUGAUGAAGAAAUUUGGGAUCGUAUGAACGAGAAAGCCUGUGGUCAGAUCAGAUCUUGUUUGACCAAGGAGGUGAAAUACUUGGUGAAAGAUGAGGAGUGUGCAGUGACUUUGUGGCGUACAUUGGAAGAGAAGUACCUGGUGAAAAGUCCUGAAAAUCGUCUUCAUGCAAUGAGCCAAGUAUAUGGCUUUCGAAUGAAGUCUGGGGUGUCAAUGCACGAUCAUGUUUCAAGAUUUGAAAAGUUACUUGCUGAUUUGAAGAAUCUUGAUGAAGAUAUUAAAGAUGAAGUCAAGGCUAUGAUUAUGUUACACUCACUACCAGAGGAAUAUAGCCAUUUUGUGACUACUUUGAUAUAUGGGAAUUGUGUGAUCGUCUUUAAAGAUGUUUGCACAGCAUUGACUAGUUUGGAGAUUCGGAAUAAUGAUAAAAAUUCUGAACGAGCAUCGUCUGAAGCUUUGGUGAGCAGAGAUUGGGCGAUGGAGAAACAGAAGAAGCGUGGUGGAAAGAAUUCUUGAUCCAAAUCGAGAAGCAGAAAUAUAGCUCGAGAUGAGUGUGCCUUUUGUCAUGAAAAGGGCCAUUGGAGAAAAGAUUGUCCAAAGGCUCAAAAGAGAGAUGGGAAGAAACCAGCAGCAGCAAACAUGGCACGGAAAGAUGAGAACUCUGAUUAUUCACUAAGUAUUACUCCUGCAGCAUAUGUGGCUAGUUCGAGUGAGUGGAUACUUGAUACAGGAGCAACCUAUCAUUUGUGUCCUAUUAAGGAAUGGUUUACGAAUUUUCGUAAUCUGGAAUCCGGUGCAGUUAUGAUGGGGAAUAAUCAACCUUGUCGCACAAUGGGGAUAGGAACAAUUCGGCUCAAAAUGUUUGAUGGAAUGGUCAGAGAACUCAAAGAGGUUAGAUUUGUUCCAGAGAUAAAGAAAAAUCUAAUUUCUGUGGGUGCUUUGGAAGCUAAAGGUUACAAAGUUACCAUUGAAGAUGGCACAAUGAAGUUUACACAUGGGGCUAUGGUGAUUCUGCAAGGGGUUCGGCGUCACAAUCUGUACUAUUUGAAGGGAGGUACAACUGAUGAAGCAAAUGUUGUUGAGGCGCACAGUGACACCACCAAGCUAUGGCAUGUACGACUGGGACAUGCAGGAGAGAAGUCUUUGCAAACUCUGAUGAGGCAUGGACUCUUAAAAUGUACCAAAACUUGUAAAUUAAAUUUCUGUGAGCAUUGUGUAGUAGGCAAGAAAACAAGGGUCAAGUUUGGUACAGCUAAUCACGAUACUCGUGAGAUCCUUGAAUAUGUUCAUAGUGAUGUAUGGGGACCAACCAAGACUGCAUCAAUUGGUGGAAGCCAUUAUUUUGUUAUAUUUGUUGAUGAUUUCUCUAGACGUGUAUGGGUGUACACCAUGCGAGCAAAGGAUGCGGUUAUAGAGAUUUUCGUGAAGUGGAAGAAAUUGGUGGAGACUCAAACUGGCAGAAAGAUCAAAGUAUUACGAUCUGAUAAUGGGGGUGAAUAUACUUCUGAUCCAUUCUUGCAAGUAUGCCAGAACGAGGGUAUUAAAAGACAUUUCACGGUGAGACAUACUCCGCAACAGAACGGUGUGGCUGAGCGUAUGAAUCGUACUUUACUGGAGAAGGUACGAUGUAUGUUAUCUAAUGCUGGUUUAGAUAAAAAGUUUUGGGCUGAAACUAUGAGCUACGCAAGUCACUUGGUAAAUCGGUUGCCUUCUGCUGCAAUUGGAGGUAAAACUCCUAUGGAAAUGUGGUCUGGAAAGCAUGCACAAGACUAUGAUUCCCUUCGUGUAUUCGGGUGUCCAGCUUAUUAUCAUGUCAAAGAUGGUAAACUGGAUCCUCGUGCUAGAAAAUCUAUCUUUGUGGGAUUCAAAGGUGGAGUAAAGGGCUUCAAGCUUUGGGAUCUCGAAGACAAAAAGUUUGUGUGUAGCAGAGAUGUCACAUUUGAUGAAGCUUCAAUGAUAAAAGCUUCAAGUUCUCAGCAGGUGGAGAACAAGACCACAGAGGUAUUGCAGCGGGUGGAGUUUGAUGCAACUCCAUAUGUACCAGUUAGUUCUACAUCAAAGAAUGGUUCAACUAUGGAGGUGACACCUAAAGUUGAAGAAGAGGUUGUUUCUUCUGAUGUCCCACAAAAUGAAGAAACAAUUGAUGAUGUAGAUGAUGAUGAUUUUAUAGCAACAAGGAGGCCAAGAAGAGAGAUAAAGAAACCCGGAUGGCUUACUAAAGAUAUGGUGGUAGCCUAUGCACUUCCAGUUAUUGAUGAUGACAUUCCCAAUACUUUCGGUGAAGCAUUACGCAGCAAUGAAAGUGAUCAGUGGAAGCUAGCCAUGGAGGAAGAGAUGAAAUCUCUCCAUCAAAACCAGACUUGGGAUCUUGUAAAGUUACCAAAGGGGAAAAGGGCUAUUGGCAAUAAAUGGGUCUACACCAAAAAGCAAGGAUCUCCGAAUCAAACAACUCCUCGAUACAAGGCAAGGCUCGUGGCAAAAGGUUUUGCUCAAAAGGAAGGCAUUGACUACAAUGAAGUUUUCUCUCCAGUUGUAAAACAUACUUCCAUUCGUAUCCUACUUGCCUUAGUUGCAGAAUAUGAGUUAGAGUUGGCUCAGUUGGAUGUUAAGACGGCGUUCUUACAUGGAGAUUUGGAGGAGGAAAUCUAUAUGAUUCAGCCUUGUGGUUUCAGAGUUGCUGAAAAGGAGAAUCAUGUGUGUAGGUUGAUUAAAUCUUUGUACGGACUGAAGCAAUCGCCAAGGCAGUGGUACAAAAGAUUUGAUCAAUUUAUACAAGGGCAGAAAUUCACCAGAAGUGAACACGAUCAUUGUGUUUACUUUAGAAGACUAUCAGAUGGAGCUUUCAUCUAUUUGUUACUCUAUGUCGACGAUAUGCUUAUAGCUUCGAAGAAUAGAGAUGAGAUCGAAAGAUUAAAGAAGCAGCUGACUUCUGAGUUCGAGAUGAAAGACUUGGGUGAUGCACAAAGAAUACUUGGGAUGGAGAUUCAUAGAGACAAGAAGAAUGGGAGCGUAUGGUUGACUCAAAAGUCUUAUUUGAAGAAAGUGCUAGAAAGAUUCGGUAUGGAUGACAAAACUAAACCGGUAUGUACACCUCUAGCUCCUCAUUUCAAAUUAAGCUCUUCUUCAUGUCCUAGAUCUCAAUAGGAGCGCGAUUACAUGGCUCGUGUUCCAUAUGCUAGUGCUGUGGGUAGUCUUAUGUAUGUUAUGGUAUGCACAAGGCCCGAUAUAUCUCAAGCAGUGAGCAUGGUUAGUAGAUACAUGCACAAUCCGGGUAAAAAUCAAUGGCUUGCGGUAAAGUGGAUUCUCCGAUAUCUGUAUGGGACAGUUGAUGUUGGGUUAUUGUUCAAGAAGGAUUGUGGUCAACAAUGUGUUGGGUAUUGUGAUUCUGAUUUCGCUGGAGACCUUGACAAGCGAAGAUCAACAACGGGCUACGUAUUCACAUUGGGUGGAGGUCCAGUUAGCUGGAGGUCGAUUCUACAAUCGACAAUUGCUUUGUCCACUACGGAAGCAGAGUAUAUGGCAGCAACUAAAGCUGUAAAAGAAGCUAUCUGGUUUAAAGGCUUGUUAGGUGAUUUGGGAGUAAUCCAGGAGAACAUUGCGGUCUUUUGUGAUAAUCAAAGUGCGAUAUUCCUUGCGAAGAAUCAAACAUAUCACGCUCGGACGAAGCACAUAGAUGUGAAAUAUCAUUAUGUGAGGGAGAUUAUCGAAGGUGGUGAUGUGUUAUUGAAGAAGAUUGAUACCAAAGAUAAUCCAUCAGAUAUGUUGACGAAGGUAGUUUCUGGAGUUAAGUUUCAACAUUGCUUGAAACUAAUUCAAAUCCUUCGAUUGUGUUAAGAUAUGUCCUUCGGGAAUUAUGAACUACGGUUGGCUUGAUCCCAAAUUUUGGGUACGUAGGCAGUCGGAUAGAUGCAGUCAAUGUGGAUCCUUUUGAGGAUCAUGUGAGGGGUGAAGUUUGGCGGAUCAUUGUCAAUCGGCUCAGAUUUGGAUAAAUUUUCGCCGAGGUGGAGAAUUGUUGAAAAGUCAGAAGCAAAUGCCAACUUUGCAACUGUUAGCAUGAAGGCUUUGGAGAAGCAAAAUCCAAUUUGGUUUUUGUUAGCCGAAAAGAAAGAAUGGAAAAAGGGGAUGUAUUGAAAAUAAUAAUAAUUAUUUAUUAUAUUUUCAAUUAUUUUAUUCUUUGCAUAGUGCCAACAUUUUUCCUAUAAAUAGCUUAGGAUUUCAUUCAUUUGAAAUCAUCCCAAAAUUGUUAAGCUUAUAAGUUUCUAAGCUUUUGAGAGAAGUGAGAGAAGUGUGUCUGGGGAAUUUAUCUUUCCUGCAGAGUGUGAGAAUACUGGGUAUAUUUGGGUUUCUGGAAAGUGAGAUUCGUUACUCAAAUAUUGUAUUCUAUUAAUUGUUAAAUAAACAAUUAUUCUUUCUUGCCUCCGUGGAUGUAGGUUUAAUUACCGAACCACGUAAAUUCUUGUGUCCUUUAUUUUUCAGUAAUACAACAAGCGCACCAAAAAAUUGAUGGCCAAGAAGGUUCCCCAAUCUGAUCUACGGAGCAUGGCAUUUCAUAAAACUCUGUUUCUAGAGAAAAAAAAAAAAAUUAACAGCUUCUUAGGAUUGGAGCAUCAGGUGACUUAGCAUUUCCAGUAUGAAUGAAUUAUAAGAUAGAUGAUGCUGCAAAAAUGAAUAGAGAUAAAAUUAAGCAAGAGAAAAUGUUUGAAUGUUAUUAUUGAAACCUUUUCCAGUGAUUGUAGAGAUAAUUUUCUUUGUAUUGAAACUUUCAGCAUCUGAAAGAUAAGGAAAAUAUUAAAAGAAAAAAGAAAAUUCUUAAAUCUUUUCCAUGUCACUCCAGCAAAGUUGAAUUGUGAUUCUAAACCCUACACCAAAGUGUAAGGUGGCCUGUGGCCUAUAGGUAAUACACAAUUUGACAACCCCAUAUAUUUAGUAAUCUAGGUGGAUGCCAUUAAUUUUUUUUUUUAAAUUUUUGUUCAUUUUUAAUGCAAACAACGCCUCUUUCAUUGAGGCAUUGGAAUAUAUAAAGAUUUGUAUACUGAUUUUGGACCAUAAUUCACAAAUAAUGCGACGCAUAUCUUUCUUUCAGUACUUCUUCAGGAGGAUAAGAUACAGACAUUGUUGUCUUUUUACCUGAAGCAAGUGCAUGUGCAUGAAUUGUUGUUGUCUGUUAAUCUGCUGCCACUUUGCUGCCAAAAAACUUGAAAAAUAAACCAGGAAAAUUUUCAAUAAGCAAAGCCAAACAACUAACCCCUGUUUUAAGUUAUUUUCCUAAGAAAACUUUUAAACACUCAAAUAAAGCACAUAAGUAAAGUAUUUCUGUCACAUUAGCUUUCGAGUGAGGUUUGAUUUACAUUUAUAUCAUAUAUACCAAGUGUUUUUUAUUCUUUUAAUUAAUGUAUAUCACAGCUUGGAAAUUCUAAAAAUUAAUCAUGCUUAAUCUUGAGCAACAAUAUCUGUAAUCAUCAUACGAGGUCAAAAGUGAGGAAAAAAAAGGAAAAGAAAAAGGAAAGAGUUAGUUUUAUGUAUAAAAGUGAAAGGAUCUGUUAUAGACUAUUUCUGUUGCAUGGUUUUCGGAGGCAUAGCAUUGUCCACAGCAUUUGGGCUUUGCUUCUGAUUCAAUGGCAUUUAGAAUUUGGUUUCAUCUGAGAUCAUAUAUAGCUUGAUCCUGAUAUCUUCCAUUUUGGAGGCAUUCAGUUAAAUUGAAGAAGUUUGAUGUUCCAGUUCAAAUUGGGAUUGCUGAAGAUAAUAUAUAUAAUUCUGUAGAGGUUUUCUAAUUUUUAUUUUUAGUAAUGUAUUCAUGUCCUGUCAUUCUUCUUUCUGCUUAAAUCCAAUUGCCCAUGUUGGAAUUUCUUUUCAGCUUUUGUAUUCUUUUUCCUUUUUGUUCAAUAAUGCUAUAGACGAUGCUCUACCAUUUAAAAGAUAUAAAUAACAAAUUUUAUAAAUUUUUACUUCGUCAAGGUGUGAAACCUUAUAAAAUUUAUAAAUUUAACUUAUGAACAGAGAAGCAUAAAAAAAAUGUUUGGAGUUGCUUAAUACCAUAGAAACAAAAGCAGAAAGAGAUGUUCAAGAACAAAACCCAAAAAUUUUCAUCAAGUGGAGCAUCGAUCAUGCCAGCAUAAUAACAUAAUUACAUAAUGCUCGAAGAGCACGCAUGACUUUCUCAAAAAAUAAUAUCACUUAAAUGAUCAAAAAACAGAAAUAAUUAAUUGAUUAUCCAUAUAUAUAAACAAGCCUAGCUCUCAAUGUGAAAUAUAUUAAAUCAGCAACUAUAAGAUUUUCGGUGAUGAUAUUUCCACCCCAUAAAUUUUAUAAACCCACCCAUUUUUUUUAAAAAAAAUUAUUAUAAUAAGUUCACAUCAUUUUUUUAAAAUUUAAAUUAAGAAGAAAUUAAAAAAUUAAUCAAUUAAAUCUAUAUUCAUUUCUUUUUUUUUAAUUAUGUUUCUUUAUUAAAUUUCAUCAAUAAGGUUGCUUUAACAUAAAUUAAUAUGACUAUUUUACCCUUAUAAGGUAAAAGUACCAAAAUAUCUAAAAAUUCACUUUAACUUUAAUAAAAUUUUAUGCAAUUUUUUUUAAUAUUUUAAUGAUAUAUAAGUAAUUGUUAGUACAAUUAUUGUUUCUCCACUAAACUAACAAAAUAUAAUUAGGACAUGUGGUGGAAUGAAAAUAAUUAAAUUUUAUAUAAAAACCUAAGCAAUUAGUUACGAUAAAUAUAUAUAUAUAUAUAUAUAUAUAUAUAGUAAUUUGGUUAUUUUAUAUUAUAAGGGUAAAAUAGUCAAAUUAAAUUUAUCUUGAGGCAACCUUCAAAAGUUAAAGAUUGUUAAAAGCUUAAGUCCAAAAAAUAAAAAUAAAAAUAAAAUUAUAAAAUUGAUUUAAUUAAUUAAUUAUUCAAAGCUUUUAUUAAUUUGUAAUUUUAUAAAAUAAUGUAAAUUUAUUGUAAUUAUUUUAUGGAGGUGGAGGGGGUUUAUAAAAAUAGUGGGGUGGAAAUAUUCACACCCUUCAAUUAAUAGUUAGGAUAAUUUUUAGAUACUUCCCCUAAAGUUUGGCUUUGCUUCACUUUUAGAUCAUUUUUAGAGAGAAUGUAUCAAUCUAUUGAUAAGAGUGAUGAUACAACCAUAAAUUUUUAUACAAAUUUAUCUUGUAUAAAUUUAUUUGUCAUUAAUUCAUUGGUUGAAUAAAAAUGUAAAAUAAUAAAAAUAUAUCACGUGGGUCAAGAGAUAUUUAAUUCAAGUAAUUUUAUCAUAUCACAUUAAUUUAUACAAAAAUUUAUAACUAUAUUAUUAUUUAAUUGAUAAUAUACCCCUUGUCCGUGUAUAUAAGGGUUAGGCACUGAUUAAGUAGUUGCAGUAUUUUUUUUUAAAAAAUCUUACAAAAGCUAUUAUACUGUAACUAAUCAGCUAGUGAAACCCGAGGGGAUAGUAACCCAUUUUCAUUGUCAAUGCCUAGCUUCAUUUUUUUUUUUUUUUCUCACUUGAUGAGUGCUUACCUUCAUUUCGAAGGUCGUGACACCAACUGAUUUUAGCAAAAGCAGAGAUACUUUGUGAUGCAGUAAGCUAACAAGUUUCUGAAAUCAACUAUGUUUUGAACCAAAUUUCGGCGACGACCAGCAGCUGAAAAGCCGGUGAUUAAAGGGCACACUAGGUGCGUAAUUCUAUCAAAUCUUAAAACUGAAGUUAGGUUUUAUUAUUUUCUUGCAUUUUGUUGAAAAUUGCUGUUAGUUAGGUGCUUUAUUCUUUGUUCCCAUUAAUUGAGAAAAAUGUUUAGGGUUUAUAGAAAUUGAAGUAGUGACCGAAUAUAUCUGAAUUGAUUUUUGAGUUGAUAGUCAUUCGAAAUGUUGUGUAAACCAUGCAAAUGAUUUAUUUUUUGAUGAUUUUGGACUGUGGGUUUUGAAUGCUCACUGAAAUUUGCUUGAUAUGUUCUUUAAAUUGAGAAAAAUCCAAGCUUCUUCUAAGAAUACAGAGGUGUUGCUGAGAAAAUGCUUAUGGUGUUGUUUUGUUUCUUUUUUUAUUUUACAAGUGGGCAGUUCAUGUAAGAUUGAGACAGUUGCUCUUGUUGCUUUUUGAUGUUUUGUAUAGACUGAUUCCAAUCACUGAUUUCUGUUGGUAAAUGGAUGCUAUUUUUUUUUUUUCCUUUCUUCACAUAAAAAUUUGUACUUCCCAACAUAAAAUUCAGAUGCUUGCCUAUUGUUUUUUGAGGUUCUCAUUAAGGUGUAAGAGAUAAAUUAAUUAUAGAGCUUGUAGGCAGUUGGUUUAUUGAAGAACCAGUACAGUUGAGAAAGUGUCUUUUGGGACAUCCAUUUUAAUACAAAGAUUAACAGAUUUAAUUACAUAAACACAAGACUUCAUUUGUUUAUCAAAGUAGUACUUCUGAUGCUUUCGUAUAAUGAAUGCCAAAGAGAUGACAUUUGCAAAAAGGCCAUUUGAAUGUACCAAUUGCUAUCCUUGUAAACCUCUAUUGUGAUUCUGUUAUCAUUAUAUGUUGUUUAAUGAUCUGAUGAUUUUGAGAUAUCAAGAUGAGUUUAUGGUAGUACAUGUUCAUUUAGCUACUUUAGGUACUAAUACAUGCAUUUAUUGUAUAAUGCCUACUUAGCAGCCAUAACUACACUCAUUGUUGAAGCUACAGCAACACAAAUGAGAAAAAACAUGCUGAGGAACAACAUUGUCUUUAUAUAAUUGCAUUUUACUCCAUUUUGUUGUGCUUUUUGCAUCAGUGACUUCAAAUCCAUCAUAUCCUUUUGCAUACUCAUCAGCAGUUCAUAAUUUGCUUGACAUGUUCCUAAACCAGCAAAUAUAACGCCUCGAUCGAUAUCAUUUGAGGAUGGCAUCCAAAACUUGAAAUAGCCACAACCAUUUUUGCUAUCCAUACAGCAAUAACAUAGCUUGUUUGGGUUGUCAUCUGAUUCCGCUACCUUCAUAGCAGCUCUUUUGUAGCAUUUACAAAUCUUGUUUGAAAAUCGAAUGAAUUUAAAAUAUUAUCAUUUAUUUUUUUUUGUAGCAUUUACUAAUCUUAUGAUAUUCAGUAUUGUUUUUAUAUAAAUUAAUUUAAAAUAUUAUCAUUUAUUUAUCUUAUUAUGUGAUUUUACACUAUCAAAUUAUUUGUUUUAAGGGGCAUUUUGGUCUUUUCAACACUCAUUUGAGUUUUGUCUUAUUAUAAGAAUAUGUAAUGUCAACAGCAAUUAUCAUAAGGGUAUAAUGGCCUUUUCACUGCUCUACAAACCCCCCCCCCCCCCCCAACCCCGCAGCCAAAAACAAUUUCGCCCCAAAUAUAAAGAUCAUCUACCGUGUCCAAUAAUUUUGGCAUUCAUUGAAAUGUGUACUGAAGGGCAUUAUUGUAUAUUCACUCAACUACCUAACGGGUGCCUAACCUUCAUACAUGGCCAGGGGGUUUAUUGUCAAUAUAUGGAUACAUUCUCUCUAAGUGUGUCAAAGCCAAACCUCAGGAGAGGUUUCUAAAAGUUUUCCUGAAUAGUUAAUAAUUUUGUACAACAGAUUCCUGGAUACCCCUCAGGUUCACUGAUUCUACGUUAUGGCUGACUUUCAAGAAAUUAAAUUCUACAUUAUGACCCCCAGUGAAACAUUGUUGCCGAUAAAAUUAUAAAAUAUAUGUGUAAUACUAGUCAAACCUAAACCUACGUCGUUUAGCAAUUUACAAAAUGAGAAAGACGACAAAAACCGGAUGUUGGACCGGCAACGAGCCAACGAGAUAAGCUCAAGUUCACUGUGUUUUUUAUGAACCCUCUGAAGACCCAAAACUCUAGGUUUGUUUUUUACGUUCCCUAACUGUUUGACUACAUUUUUAUUCUUUGCUACGUUCGUUAUGAACUGUUCAGGCUAAGUGCUCGACGAAAUUCCUAAGUGAGUGUGUAUAAUGGUUUGCUCUUGUAUUUAUUCUGUUAUAGAAGGUUUUGCUUUGGGUGGUUAAAUAGAUGAGACUAGACAUUGAACUUUAUGCACUUGUAUGUUUUCAAGUAAUUGGUUGUUCAGGCACAUGUACUUUGAAUUGCUUCAUUCAUCUUCAGAGAUAUCAUAACUUUUGUUGUUAAUUUGUCUAAAGUGAAGGCUUUUUUAACUUUUAUUUCUUUGAUUUAUUUAUUUAUUGGUGUAUCGAGGUUCUGUGUCUAAACUUUUAUUUGAUAAGUUCUUUCGGACUACUAAUUAGAAGAAAAAAGUGCUAGAGAGUGAGUAUGAGAGGGAAUGAUGUUUGGGCAAGGGGUGAUUGGUUCACUUGGCUCAUGAAGAACCCCAACUAUAAUGGCAUGUAUCAAUUUCGCAGCCUAAUUGGCAGGUAAGCUCAUUUCUUGAUUUCCUUCAUUUUUCACUUCCAUUUUACUGUUUUCAGGUAGCAGGUAAUUUAAAUAAAAGUAAAAUCAGUAGUGAUUUGCUUCAAGUGCAUGUGGAUAGUAUAUCACAUGUGAGAAGAUUGUAUUUGUUAUAUGAAAAUCCUUAAUAACUUUAAUUAAAAAAUAUAUUCUCAAACCUGAUUGUGGAAUGUACUAUUUCUUAAUAUCUGAGUUUGGAUCAACACAUUUUUUGCCAUGCAAUUUGACAAGUUGUCAUGUCCUCAUUCUGCGCUAUUAUAAGUUUUGCCAAUCUGCAUAGGUAUUUUUAUAGAUUGAGUUAAUCUAGUUUCGAGAACAUGCCUUACUAAAGGGCGUUGAGUUUCUAAGUGAAGGCAAGUGCAACUAUAAUUAUCUAUUUCAUAUCCUCCUUGUUACCUCUAAAUUCUUUCAAUAACUUGGGGACGUUAAUCCUAUUAACGACAGCCACAUAUUAUAAGUCGAGAAAACUGAUUUUUUGAUUAUUGAAAAAUUAAAUUUUUUGUAUUAUUCUAUUGUGAUCUCAGUAACCUACCUGUUGCGGUUGUCUUGUAUGGAUCAUUGUUUCUCUUUUAAGCUGUUAUAUUGACAAUUUUUAGCUCUUAUUGCAGAUCUUAAAGUCAUUGCAAGCACAUGCUCCAUUGAUCUCCAUAAAUUCGGAUACAUAUGUAUAGUUAGCUAUUCAAACAACCACACUGGUAUUCAACUUCAAUAUUCAGAAACAUGGCUGAAGUGAAGCUUCAUGGGGCAUGGGCGAGUGCAUUUUGUUACAGAGUGAUAUGGGCUCUGAAAUUGAAAGGCAUAGCAUAUGAUUACAUUGAAGAAGAUCUCUCUAACAAAAGUGCUUUGCUUUUGAAGUAUAAUCCAGUUCACAAGAAGGUCCCAGUGCUUGUUCAUGACAAAAAAUCCGUUUGCGAGUCCAUUGUUAUCCUUGAAUACAUUGAAGAGAUGUGGCCACACAAUCCCUCCUUGAUGCCAAGUGAUCCUUAUGAUGGAGCUCUGGCUCAUUUCUGGAUUAAAUUUGCCGAAGACAGGGUUCGCUUCAGAACUCUAGCUAAUGCGUUUAUAAGUUCAUUAUUUUCAUGUUUAUUUGUUAUUAGAGAAAAUGAUCAGUCCUCCAUUGUAUGUCAAAAUUAAUCAUUUCUUCUUUUAUGUUUUAAAACCUAUCAAAAUCUCCAUUGUUGUUCAAAAAAUUCUGUUGACUUUCAACUUUUUGUGUCUUUUACUAAUUUACCUCUGGAAAAAUUUUUAUUAUUAAGAAGUUGAAAGUUUAUUAGAAUUUUUUUAAUGGCAGGGGAAAUUUUGAUGGCUUUUGAAAUAUGAGGGAGAAAGGAAUUGAUUUACCAAAACAGCAUUGGGGUUUUGUUGUUCAUUUCCCCUGUCAUUUGAUGUAGUGGUUAACCUUUGGUAUAAGGAUGCUUGACAAGGGUAUUUAGGUCCAAGUCUUUUAGCUCAUACGUAUUAUUAAUCAUGUGGUGAUAUUUUGGCAGGGAGCUACUGUUUGGAAAAAGUUUUGUAGCGUACAAGAUCAAGAGAGUACAAUGAAAGAAAUCUUGGAAAUGCUAAAAACCGUUGAAGAACAUGGCUUAGGAGAGAAGAAAUUUUUUCAUGGAGACAUUGGCUUAGUGGACAUAGCAUUUGCUUCUAUUGUUUAUUGGUUGCAAAUAAUUGAAGAUGUAGCAAGAGUGUAACUAUUUGAAUCUCACAAAUUCACUAGCUUACACGUUUAGUUUGAAAAUUUUAAACGAGUCCGAGAAAUUGAAGAGAACCUUCCUAAUCGGGAUGAACUGUUGGGUUUUUUCAAACGUAGCCGUGAAAAGUUGGUGGCCUCAUCCUCAUUGCAUUAGCACAAAAUUUGAUCAUGCAAUUGUAUUGUUGUCAAGAGGCCGCGCUUUGCUUAGUUUUCUAUUGUCUUUUGUGCUCAAUUGGGAGGCCGCCGGUUUGCUGGGUGCUUUCAUAUGGAUUUGAGUUAUAAAAGGGACUUGACUUUAUAUUUAUGAAUUAUUGCAUGUAUUUCGUUAAUUAUUAAUGGACUAAUAGCGGUUAUGUAUUGUUUGGAAGGAAGUUUGAAUGCUAAGAUGUACUAAUGACUUAAUGACGUGUGGCAAAAAAAUCAGUUAAGUAAAGUCAACUUGAUUGAACGAAUGAUAAUAUAGCUCUCAAAAGUUAGAAGAUAAGCUCCCUAUGGAAAAAGAUAGUUUUGGUAAUAUGUCUAACAUUAAGGGGUAUUAUCGAAACUUAAAUUUUAAUGGUUAGACCCAGUAUGUGAACAGUGUGCCAUUAUUUUUAGGGUUAUAUUUUGCUAAGAAUAACAAGCCAAUAGAACUUUAGAGACUUUUUUCUAGAUCUAAUUUCUUGAGAGACUUCUUCAUCUUCUUCAUCCUCUAUUUUUAGGGUUUCUUUCUCCAUUUUAACACCACCAUAGAAAAUCUUAACCAUCUUAUCCCCCAAAGAAACCUCUUCCCUUACUCUUAUCUUGGAAAACUCUCUAAUCUCUAUGAGACUCAUAUCUCUCCCAUGUCAUUAUUCCUCAGAAACAAUCUUUAAUAAGAUUUUGUCAAUAUUACAAUGCAAAUUAUGUAAUACUUCAUUUAUAUAGUGGAUUGGAUAUGAAUUACUCUUAUGGAUGUAGAUCAAAGGGCCAACCACCUAAAAUCUUGUGUGUUCUUUAUUGUUUAUGCUUAUUUUCUAUUUAUUAGGAUGAUGAUAAUGCUCAGAUCGUAUUUCAUAUAUGAGCUCACUAGAGGCAUACCACGAGCUCUAUUGAGUUCCCCAAAUAAGCUCUCUAGUUAAAGCUAUCCUUAAAUAUGCUAGAGCUACUCCCUAAACUCUCUUGAGCUCCGCAAAUCAACUAUUUAAACUAAAUCCCAUGAGCUACACAAAGCUUACCUCCCAACAGCAAAAUACCAAGCUUACCUCAAUUCAUCUUCCAGAUCACCUCAGUUAUUUCUUUUAUCCCUAACAGUAGAAAAACACACUUAGAUUUUUACUAGCUCAAUCUCACCUCAAAUAUAAAUUUAAUUAUUUAAAUUGUCUUUGACCUAGAUCUAGUGAGGACAAUGAUUCAAAUCAGAUCCUAGAGGAAAUCCGGUCAAAACAUGUAUCUAUGUAUAAUAUUGAACAUCAUCCUAACGAUCAAUCCGAAUGCACUUGGAUUUGUUCUUAAUAGUACACAAAAGUGGAAAAAGCAUAGCAAGCAACACUUGCACACACGAGGCUCAAUACAAGUACGAACGUCACAAUUCCAAGCAACAAACAAUGAUCAUCAGUACUAAUUUUUUCUGCAAGCCACCAAAUUGGAAAAUACCGCCAAGUAAUUAAUUAACCACUCUGACUUGCCAGCUUAAGCUUAUCCAAUGCUGAGAGUUCAUUAUUCUUCAAGGAUUGGUUAUUGUAAAUGUCUUUUAGAGUAAUUUCAGGAUAGAGCGGAGGAUUUACUUCUGAUAGCAACUCUUUAAUUGGACCAUAUCGUCUCGAGCAACUAUUAUUCAUGAAAAAACUUCCGAUUGAAAUUCUGGAGCCUUCCUUAUUUGAUAACACUCUAUGAUAGGCACUCUUGAACUUAUCGUUGGUAAUCAGCUGCAUGAACACAAACAUGUUGGUAAUCAGCUGCAUAAACACACACUUCAUAUAAACGACAAUUAAGUUAUCUGAUAGAGAUUCAUGCUCAGGUGUAGACGUUCACAUGAAAUUUCGUGAGGACGAUUCUUUCACAGUAUUGUGAAAGUGUGUGUCCGUACAAGAUUUAGUGCGAAUGUCGCACCAGAGAAUUUUCAAUUCGAUGGAUAGUAUUUCUUAAUAAGUUAUCUAACACACACUUGCCUGCAUCAUGUAGCCUAAGUUUACAACUAGAGCUCCCGGAACAGGGGCAAUGUCAAACCACUGAUCUUCGUGAAAGACUUGGAGGCCACCAAUUUGAUCUUGUAUGAGCACAGUGACAAAUCCAGGGUCAGAAUGUGUUGCUAUGCCGAUGGACAAUUCUGGUUGAGGGCAUUCAGGGUAGUAACUAUUCCCAAUAGUCAUUUCCUCUACACAACCUAUGUUUUCCACAUUAGGUUGUUGUAUGUGAUCAUUAUCUCUCUGCAAAUUAAUAAAGACAAAAAAUAAUCACUACUAAAAGAAAGGGAGAAUGACAUUUCGACUUUUAGAAAUUGUUUUUUUAUUGGGUUAACAUCUAGAUGAAAUGAGAGUAAUAAAAACUUAUUAGGAACCCAAGUGAUGCAAAAAGUUCUAAGAAAGAGGCAGGUGUUAUCCACUGUAAAAGAAAUACAAUCUAUUGGUCAUCGUCCACAUACCUGCAAGCUUCAGGCAAAUCUUCAGGAUUUGAAAAAUCGCGACCCAUAACACAACUCAAAGUAUCUUUCCAAAAGAGAGUUGGUGCACUAUACAAAUUUAAAUUUGAACAAUAUUUAAUUUUUUUGGAGUAAUCACGAGAAUAAUAUUUCUGCUUAACCUCAACAUCUUGUUCAAAAAACCUACGGAUCCCAUCAAUGGCUUGAUCCAAAAUGCUUGUUGGGAUUCCAUGAUUGAUCACUUGAAAGAAACCCCACGCCUCACAAGCACUUCUAAUUUGGUCAAUUACCUGAGAACGCAAGCUUGAAUCCUUGUUUAUUCUUUGAAGGUCUAUGAUUGGGAUGCUGAUUUUGGGGUCCCUGCAGAUUGGCUUAUCAUCAAACUUAUAUUUAGUGUGAUGAUCUUGAAUGAAGAUCUGUGGAAUGGUUGUGAUCCCAGCAUCUACGAGUCCCUUAACACCAGCUUUCGUGUCAUCAAAAGCUUUCAACUCGCUAACUCUGUCACAAGUAAUGCUUCCCAUUGCUUGGUGAAUUAUCUAUUACUCGGUGAAUUAUGAAGUACAAGUGCUGACUUGCUGAUGAUUGCUUUUGGGAGAUACCAUUUAUAUGAUUGCUAGCUUGCCACGUGCAACAUGUUGACAUAUAACGUCACCACGAUGAUAUGGAAAUUUGUAAAUUUGAUUCUGCAUUAUUUAUCAUGAUUAAAUUAAUUAUAAAUUAUCAAUAACAGUCAAUUCCGGGGAUCACCAACCAGUGGGUGGCACAGCACAAUAAUAGACUGGGCUGUGGCUUUGUUUUAUGUGGACAAAAUUUCAAUUAGCUACAGGAUAUUGCUGCUUGAUAGUUAACGUUUCACCUUCUCCAUUUGGACAUACUAUUAUGGAUUUACAGUGUUGCUUAAAAGCUAGAUCUUAAAUGAAAAGAAAGCUUUAAUGGUGAAAUAAAUAUUAAAAAAAAUGAUAAAGAGACUAAAUGUCAACAAAAAUAAUGGUAAAAUAAACCUGUUUUAUCAUGUUAAUAAUAGUGGUAUAUAUUUAACUUUAAUAAAUUUGGCCAUUUCGAUUUUUAAUUUGGCACCUUCCCUGCUCAGUCAAGAAAAAGAAUACUAUAAAAAUUAAAAUAGAAAAUUUGGUAAGGACAUAUCUGCAGAGAUGUUAUAUAUCAAAGCAAUGUCAAAGUUAUAAUACUUCCCUUAUUAAUGAGAAGAGCACUAGCAUAUACAAGAUCGACAAUCACUUAAAUCAAAGCAAUGUCAAAGUUAUAAUACAUGGGAUCUAAUGCGUACAAGCAAUGGUUUCUGGUCACAGCAGCUUUAGGCUUUCAGCUACAGUAUAAAGUGAAACUGUCGCUUGAAAAUAAAAUUCAUGUUCAGCAGCCUCAUUUUAGAUGGCAUCGGCAUCUGUAGUAUCGUUUGUCUGUAGUCCCUCAUUAUCUACAAUCUGAUCGCUCCCUAUAGUAUUGUUUGUCUGUAGUCCCUCAUUAUCUACGAUCUGAUCGCUCCCUAUAGUAUUGUUGGUCUGUAGUCCCUCAUUAUCUACGCUCUGAUCGCUCCCUAUGUAGAGAAUCGACAACAGCAAAUUGUAGCACACGUUCACAGCACUAAUAACUGUUAAACUCUUAUAGUACUUGUCAAGCCUACUAUCACCCAAGGUUUCGCCAAACUCGCCUUUGUUUGCCAAAAUGCAAAAGAUGUUAAAAAUGCCUCCAAUUCCGACGAAAAAAUAACUUGUUGCUGAUACAUGGUACUCCGUCCGUUCAGGAAAAUGAGAGCUCGAGUAUUCAUCACAACCAUGCCAAGCAAGCCCUUCCAUAAGCCCCAAUAGACAGAAUUGUGGAACAAGCCAAAACAUGCUCAUAUGGGGUUUGUGUUGACAAUUCAAACAUUUAUCUCGCCCUUCCAACCUGCGAACCUCAACCUGCCAUGCCACUAUACAGCACACUGUAGACAUCACCAUUCCAAUGAAUGUUCUCAAUACUUGAGCUUGUCUCUGCUUAGUUUCCAGAGCAAUUUUGGAAAUUAAUUUUUUCAACAGAUAAGAGAUCGUCGCACAAAUUAUGGCUUCAAAAGUUAGAAGAAAGAUUAAGAAUCUUUCAGAAAUCAUGUUAGCUCCCUGCACAGGAAAUAAUGUAUUUCCUGCAGAUAGAACCAAUCCAAACACAAUGAAGCUAGACCACAAUGGCAGCAAUUUAAGAAGAGACUUUGAGUCCCUGACCUGGGCCACAGUGCAAAGUGUGCCUGCCUCUUCUUGUUCUCUAGAAGUACUUGAUGUCUCUAUAAUUGCCGCUUUGUCUAUCCAUCUGCAAUUCAAACAAUUAAUUUAUUGGUAAUUCUUUUUAGGAAAAUAGAAAGCGACAGCUCAUGGUUUGGUAGAAUGAUCACACAAACUCUUUUAUAAAUACACCCUUUUGGACAAAUCUUGGAGCAGAGUGACCAUUUCUAAACACAAAACGAUAUCAGUGUGUCCAUAAAGAGGUCGAUGUAAUUAUUACUAAAAAUAAGUGGGUCUCCCCGACAAUUUUGCCAGACCACGGCCGGCUGUGGGUGUAUACAUGUUAGGUAUAUACCUGAGCAAUUUGAUUCUGGGUGACAAGUGUAGUACGUUUCCCUCAUCAUUACUGAAGAACUGCUCCGGAGAAAGAGGAUAAUUGAGAUGCUUUUUCUUCAGGGAGGUUUUAACAACACGGAUUAUAGCAAAACGGUCAACAGGAGGUAUUUUUGUACUAUGAUAGAAAGGAAUACCCAACAGCAGGAGGAUCAAACUGCCCCCCAUAAACAACAAUGUGAACAUGAAAGUCUUCUUCCAUGUCUUAAUAUUAUUUGCAUAGAAUGCCGCAGCUACACCACAGCACCAGGCAAGCCGCCACCACACUCUUUUCUGAGCCAUUACUUGAUUCUCAUCUGGAUUGACUGUUCUCCCUCCAGCACCAUGUGCUCUUAAUUGAUCGGCAAGAAAUGGUCCCAAGAGAGGCGCCACUCCAACUUUACCCACUGCUAACAGGAUAAUUCCUAUCACGUUGAGCAGCUCAAAGUUGGUUUCCGAAAAUUCUCUCGCUGUAUAGAACAAUAGCCCCAAUGCCUGCAGUAAACAUUGUUGGAACUAAUUGUACAGCAUAACAUUAUGAUCCUAAAAUUGCUUUUCUUAAUCAUUAUUAUAAUCAGGAGUGGAGCCAAAAUGAACAAAUGCCGCAUCAAUUAUAACUUAACUAUUGGGAUCUCUAUCAUUAUUUUUAUACGGGAAUGUCCUCUUAUUACUUUUUUUUUCUACAUGCUGUGAAAUUUAACAUAUACUGCAAAAUAAUAAUUUUUAAAUUUAGCUUAAAGUAUUACAAAGUCCUGGGUCCGCCCCCGGAUAUAUUUCUUGCAGAUGAUAGACAUAUGUUUUAAUUUUUCCUCUGUUUGGAAGUUUAGCAAAUUAAAAACAUAUUAACUUACAAGGACGUAGGAGGCAGUUGAAAAUAUGAGGAUUCUGAGAGGAUGGCUGGUAUAACAGGAAAUCCAGGCGGCAACAACCGCAAGAGUUGCUGAUAUUCCAUCCUGAAUACUCGUAAAUAUUGCAGCUUUCUGAAGAGUGGAUACUUUUGAAAAUUCGGCGUCGGAGAAGUAAGUUAUCAAGACGCCCUCUACAGCCAAGUCUACCAGUUUGUGGCUUAUCAACAAACCUGGAAUCAAAAUAUAAUCAUUAGAAGAAAUGUUCGUGCUCACUGAAAAAAAGCAUACACAUGAAAACUACAAGAACAACAUAAGAACUGUUGCCAUGUUUUUAUAAUUUAGCCCAACCUAAUCAAAGAUCUUAAGACAUUGUUGUUAAAGUGAGGAUAUUAAUAAAAUACAAAAAAAAAAUUAGUUUUCAAUUCUAAAUAAAUACAUUUUUAAAAGAUAUGAUUACCUGACAUAAAUGCAGCAGACUUACAAAAACAGACGUAAUAUCGUACCCAAGUUAUGAACAUGUUUUGAAGCUUCAACAACUGAGAAAAUGGAAACAUUGUAGUUUCUGAAACUGCUUCUUUUAUCUGCAAAUACUUGUGAGCUGUGAAUCCUGAGACGAUGAAGAUUUUGUAAGUAUACCAAAGUCUUCGCUAGUCUUCUAAAAAGUAGACCACCUAUCUGGUCACAUAAUAAUGAAUUACUGUACAGCUCAAUAAUUUUAGGUGGUAUGAAACACGUUUGAUGAGACGGUAAUAAUUAAACUGUACCAUGAAUGAUCCUCAUUGAGUAUAUAAUCCGUUUCUUUUUUCAAACAAGAUUUAUGCUUUAAUUUUGGGAGGUUUGCUAAGUUCUUUCUUUUUUGUAAUGGUUACGGAGACUGACAGUUUUCUAUUGAAGUUAUUUAUACAUGUAUUUAUUUUUCAACUUAUAUGUAAUACAUUUUGGAAAUGAGUAAUGGUACAGUACAAAUACUUUUAGACAAAAAAUGAUGUACAGAUUUAUGUAUGGUACAGUACAAAUACUUUUAGACAAAAAAUGAUGUACAGAUUUAUGUAAUUUUGAAAAAAAGAUACUUUCAUCCUUAUGAUUUGGGAAAAAUUUAUCUAGAAUUUAAGUUUUCAGUAAGGGACACUAAAAUUUAUUUUGAUUAUAAUAUUCUCAAUAGAUAGCAACUAAAAUUAUCGACUUCAAUUUUUUUAAUAAAUAUAAGUAUAAUUUAAAUAGUUUUAUUUGUCCGGUCGACCAAUAAUAUUAGAAUGUUUCUUAAUAUAUAAAAUAAUUUUUAAAAUGUAAAAUAUUAUAUUUAUUUCUUUAAUAUAUUUUAUUUAUUAUAAAAUUUUUAAAUAAAUCUAUAGGCUAAACAGAUUUACGUUUAAUAAAAUACAUCUCAUGUACUAAUAGAAUUAAAAUUAUUUUAUAUAAUAUUGAAAAUAAUUUAAAUUUGAAAUUUUUAUUUUAAAAUUAUGUUUUGAUUUAUUCUGAAAUUUAGUUUAAUAUAAUUUAAUAUUGUAAAGUAUUAAAAUAUUUUAAAAUUAUUAAAAUAUUUUAAAAUUAUUAAAAUUAUUUUAAAAUGUAUAUAUUGUUACAUUUAUUUGAAUAUUACACUUCUAUUUAUUAUAAAACAUUGAAAAGAAAAUUUUAGUCAAAAGAGAGUUUUAGUUGCCCUUACUAAAAAAUGGAGUACAUAACCAUUUCUUUAAACUUUAAGAAGUGUACAUAUUGUUUUUCCUAUUUUUUUUUUAUAAUCACUUGAGUUAAAAGAAUCAUGUGGCCCAAAUAAAUUAUUUUUAUUUAUAUUUUCGAUCAGCAGAUAAUAUGUCAUACCGGUUUGUAUAAGUGUUUAUGAACAGGAAAAAGCGAGGUCAGGCACUAGACGGGUUGGCGAUCAAGCCCUCCAACCCAUGUAUAGUGCUAGUUGGGUAAGUUGGACUUUUCUCAAAGACCCAUUUUCUGUCUUUGAAAUAUUAGUAUGAAAUUAAAAAAAUUAAAAAAAAAUUUAAUUGAAACAACUAAAAACAGAAUACAAAAUUACAAAUAAUAACUAUCCCUCUGACUUCAUUGUUCAUAAUAUAUAUAUAUAUAUAUAUAUAUAUAUAUAUAUAUAUAGGAGGCUGUUCCAAUCCGGAAUUCCGGAUUGGAACAAUAUACGGGAUAUUAAGAGUUGGGUUGAAAAUUUUCAACAUCAAACAAAUACAGUUGGUUUUCUCCACCCCUAAGAAAUUAGGAGCUGGCUUUUUACUUGAUUUUAAGUAGAGAAAAUGAUCAAAACGACCUUAUUGUUUGUUAAAUUUAAUCAUUUCUCUUUUAUAUUUCAAAAUCAAUUAAGAAACCUUUAUAUAUAUAUAUAUAUAUAUAUAUUGAACAUAUGGCAUCUUUCACUAUCUUAUCCCCAUAAAUUUUUUAAUCGAUCAACAGUGGGUAAAAUAGUGAAAGCUGCAAUAAGUUGAAAGCAAAUAAUUUUCAUCCCUAGAAUUUUUCCACCAAAUCAUGGUAAAAGAAUAAAAAUCGCAAUUUUUAUAACAAGGCAGCAAAAUAAGAUGAUUUAGAUGGCAUCGGCAUCUGGAGUAUUGUUGGUCUGUAGUCCCUCAUUAUCUACGCUCUGAUCGCUCCCUAUGUAGUGAAUCGACAACAGCAAAUUGUAGCACACGUUCACAGCACUAAUAACUGUUAAACUCUUAUAGUACUUGUCAAGCCUACUAUCACCCAAGGUUUCGCCAAACUCGCUUUGUUUGCCAAAAUGAAAAAGAUGUUAAAAAUGCUUCCUAUUCCGACGAAAAAAUAACUUAUUGCUGAUACAUGGUACUCCAUCCGUUCAGGAAAAUGAGAGCUCGAGUAUUCAUCACAUCCAUGCCAAGCAAGACCUUCCAUUAGACCUAAUAGACAGAAUUGUGGAACAAGCCAAAACAUGCUCAUAUUUUCCAAUUGUUUGAGCUUUUCCAAUCUGCGAGCCUCAACCUGCCAUGCCAUUACACAGCAAACUGUAGUCAUCACCAUUCCAAUGAAUGUUCUCAACACUUGAGCUUGUCUCUUUUUAGUUUUUGGAACAAAAUUGGAAAUUAAUUUUUUUGACAGAUAAGAGAUCGUUGCACGAAUUAUCCCUUUAAAAGUUCGUAGAAAGAUUAAGUAACUUUCAGAAAUCAUGUUGGCUCCCUGCUUAGGAAAAAAUGUAUUUCCUGCUGACAGAACCAAUCCAAACACAAUGAAGCUAGACCACAAUGGCAACAAUUUAAGAAGAGAUUUUGACUCCCUGAUCUGGGCCACAGUGCAAAGUGUGCCUGCCUCUUCUUGUUCUUUAGACGUACUUGAUGUCUCUAUAAUUGCCUCUUUGUCUAUCCAUCUGCAAUUCAAAGAAUUAAUUUAUUGGUAAUUUUUUAGGACAAUAGAAAGCGACAGCUCAUGGUUUGGCAAAAUGAUCACACAGACGCUUUUAUAAAUACGCCCUUUUGAACAAAUCUUGGAGGUCCGUGUGACUAUUCCUGAACACAAAAGGGUAUUAAUGUGUCCAUAAAGAGGUGUAUAUAAUUAUUAAUAAAAAUAAGAGGGUCUCCCCGACAAUUUUGCCAGACCACGGCCGGCUGUGGGUGUAUACAUGUUAGGCAUAUACCUGAGUAAUUUGAUUCUGGGUGACAAGUGUAAUACGUUUCCCUCAUCAUUACUGAAGAACAGCUCCGGAGAAAGAGGAUAAUUGAGAUGCUUUUUCUUCAGGGAGGUUUUAACAACGCGGAUUAUAGCAAAACGGUCAAUAGGAGGUAUUUGUCUACUAUGAUAAAAGGGAAUACCCAACAACAGGAGGAUCAAACUGCCCCCCAUAAACAACAAUGUGAACAUGAAAGUCUUCUUCCAUGUCUUAAUAUUAUUUGCAUAGAAUGCCGCAGCUGCACCACAGCACCAGGGAAACCGCCACCACACUCUUUUCUGAGCCAUUACCUGAUCGUCAUUGGAAUUUUCUGUUCUCCCUCCUUCACCAUGUUCUCUUAAUUGAUCGGCAGGAAAUGGUCCCAAAAGAGGCGCCGCUCCAACUUCACCCACUGCUAACAGGAUAAUUCCUAUAUGUUGAGUAGCUCAAAGUUGGUUUCUGAAAAUUCUCGGGACGCUGUAUAGAACAAUAGCCCCAAUGCCUGAAACAAAAAUUGUUGGAACUAAUUGUAUAGCAUAACAUUAUGAUCCUAGAAAUGCUUUUCUUAAUCAUUAUUAUAAUCAGGAGUGGAACCAAAAUAAAUUAGUGUCACAUCAAUUGUAACUUAACUAUUGAGAUCUCUAGCAUUAUUUUUAUAGGGGUAAGGCUCCUAAUAUCCUCUUAUUAAGUAUAUAUAUAUUUUUUACAUGCUGUGAAAUUUAACAUUUACUGCAAAAUAAUAAUUUUUUAAUUUAACCCAAAGUACUACAAAGUCCUGGGUCUGCCCCUGAAUAUAUGUAUUGCUUGCAAUGGUAGACAUAUGUUUUGAUUUCGUCUCUGUUUGGAAAUUUAGCAAAUUCAAAACAUAUUAACUUACAAGGAUGUAGGAGACAGUUGAAAAAAAUGAGGAUUCUGAGAGGACGAAUGGCAUAACACGAAAUCCAGGCGGCAACAACCGUAAGAGUUGCUAAUAUUACAUCCUGAAUAAUCGUAAAUAUUGCAGCUUUCUGAAGUGUGAAUACUUCUGAAUAUUCGGAGUCGGAGAAGUAAGUUAUCAAGACGCCCACUAUAGCCAAGUCUACCAGUUUGCGGCUUAUCAACAAACUUGGAAUCAAAAUAAUCAUUAGAAAAAAUGUUCGUGCUCACUAAAAAAAGCAUACACAUGAAGACUGCAAGAACACGUGAGGGAACUGUUGCCAUGUUUUUAUAAUUUAGCCCAACCUAAUCAAAGAUCUUAAGUACACCUCUCUUAACUGAAAUUAAUCGAGGGGAUUAUCUAUUUAGGAAUCUCAAAGUUCAUGAGCUCUUAAUACACACACAGUAUAUACAUACAUACAUCAUCAUGUUGUUAAAGUAAUGAUGUUAGUAAAAUACAAAAAGAAUAUACGUGCAUGCUAUUAAAUUGUAUGAUUUAAUAAAAUGAGUACAGAUAACUAAAUUACAUGAUUUUAUAGUAUUGAAAAUUAAUUCUAUUAAAUCAUACAAUUUAAUAGUGUGUCUAUAUUAAAAAAAUAAAUAAAGACCCCAUAUAUAUGUAUACAAGUUUAUAUUCUAAAUAAAUACAUUUUUAAAAGAUAUGAUUACCUAAGGCCCCACGUGCAAAAUUACCUGACAUAAAUGCAGCAGCCUUACAAAAACAGACGUAAUAUCGUACCCAAGUUUUGAACCUGUUUUGAAGCUUCAACAACUGAGAAAAUGGAAACAUUGUAGUUUCUGAAACUGCUUCUUUUAUCUGAAAAUACUUCUACUUGUGAGCUGUGAAUCCCGAGACGAUGAAGAUUUUGUAAUUAUACCAAAGUCUUCGCUAGUCUUCUAAAAAGUUAGUUUAUUCAAAUUAAAAAAUAAUAAGUCGCACUUCAAGACCAGCUAUUGGUCACAUAAGUCAAAAUAAUGACUUACUGUACAGCUCAAUAAUUUUAGGUGGUAUGAAACACGUUUGAUGAGACGGUCAUAAUUAGACUGUACCAUGAAUGAUCCUUAUUGAGUAUAUAACCCCUUUCUUUUUUCAAACAAGAUUUAUGCUUUAAUUUUGGGAGGUUUGCUAAGUUCUUUCUUUUUGUAAUGGUUAAGGAGACUGACAAUUUUCUAUUGAAGUUAUUUAUACAUGUAUUUCACUUUUAGAUAAAUAAUGUUGUACAAACUAAUGUGAUAUUUUUUAGAAAAAAGUAUAUGUAUAUCCUUAAGAUUUUAAAAAAUGGUCAUAUACAUUCUGAAUUUUUAAUAAGGGACACCAAAACACUUUUUUACUAUAGUAUCCUUAAUAGAUAGUAACAAAAAAUAUUGACUAAAUAUUUUAAUAAAUAUAAAUAAAAUUUAAAUAGUUUAAUUUGUCUAGUAGACUAAUAAUAUUAGAAUGUUUCUUAAUAUAUAAAAUAAUUUUUAAAAUAUAAAUUAUUAUAUUUAUUUUAAUAAUAUAUUUUUACUUAUUAUAAAAAUUUUAAAUAAAUCUUUAGGUUAGAUUUUAAAUUUAAUAAAAUACAUGUCAUGUACUAAUAAUAUUAAAAUUAUUUUAUAUAAUAUUGAAAAUAAUUUAAAUUUUUAAAAUUUUAUUUUAAUAUUAUAUUUCAAUUUAUUUUGAAAUUUAGUUUAAUAUAAUUUAAUAUUGUAAAGUAUUAAAAUAUUUUAAAAAUAUUGAAAUUAUUUUAAAAUGUAUAUAUUGUUACAUAUAUUUUAAUAUUAUACUUCUAUUUAUUAUAAAAUAUUAAAAAUAAUAUUUUAGUCAAAAGGGAGUUUUAGGUGUCUCUUAUUGAAAAAAUGGAACGUACAUAACCAUUUUUUCUAAUUUUUAAGGGUGUACAAGUCAUUUUUCCUACUUUUUUAUAAUCAGUUGAAUUAAAAAAAGUCAUGUGGCCACAUAUAGUAUUUCUUACUUAUAUUUUCAAUCAGCAAAUCAUAUUGUGUCAUAUCUGUUUGUAUACGCAUUUAUGAACAUAAAAAAGUAAGGUUAGGCACUAGUCGGGUUGGAAAUCAACCCAUCCAACCCAUGCAUAGUGCUAAUUGGGUGAGUUGGACUUAUCUCGAGACCCAUUUUCUGUCUUUGAAAUAUCAAUAAGAAAUUAAAAUAAUUAAAAAAUAAUUUAAUAGAAACAACUAAAAAUAGAAUACAAAAUUACAAAUAAUAACUAUCCCUCAAACUUCAUUGUUAAUAAAAAAAAUUAUUUGUAUAGGAUACUAAUCACACCAUAAAAAGUAAUAGGGUGAAUUCAAGAGUUGGGUUUGAAAAUUUUCAACACCUAGGAAAUAUAGUGCAUUUUCUCCACCCCUAAGAAAUUAGGGGUUGGCUUUCUACUUGAUUUUAAGUUGAGAAAAUGAUCAAAACUACCUUAUUGUUUGUUAAAAUUAUAGGUUGAAUUUAAGAGUUGGGUUUGAAAGAUGCAAUGUGUUCAUAUAUAUGGAAUGUGCUUUCUUUAGCACUUAGCCGAAAGCUUCAAAUUUCCAUUAAUAAGACGGUUAAUGAUGAAUUCAAAGAGCCAAUAAGAUUUCAACAAAAUACAUUUUUUCAACUUUGUGUGCAAAUUAAUUACGUCUGUAUUUGGAUGGUUAAUAUAAACUAGUCAUAUAAUUAACCACGCAUUAAUUAAUCAAAUUUUUAUUAUUUAAUAUCUUUGCAUCAGAUGAUCAUUGAUCAAUUAACAAGAUAUUUUCCUUUUGUGCAUGUAUCCACAUUGGACGUCAAUAUAGUAAUUUGUUAUGAAAAAAAAUUCAAUCAAAAUUAUUUUUAAUAUUUUUAAUUUUCUAUCUAACUUAGUGCUUGUUUAGUAUAAAAUAUCUAACGCCCAGCAGUAGGAUAACUCCAACAAUUUCCCUCACACAUCGGGCCUUGGGUCAAAAGAUAAACACUCGUUCUCUUUAUUAGAUUGUUGGGCUGAGAUUGUUGAUGAAUGUGGACUCUGAUACUAGUGUUAGGUAGUCUUAAACUUCUCUCAACCCCAAAAGUAAGCUUAGGGGUGAGAUUUUCCUGACAUUUAUAAAAUCACCAAUAGCCCUUUUCACAACCCAUGUGGGACAACUUCGAUAGUUUGAUUGUAUUUUGAGUAUAACUUUUGAAGAUUAAAUAAAUUAUUUUGCUUCUAUUAGUAAAACCUUAAAAAUUAGAUUUUUGAGAGUGAUGGUCAUAGUACUUAAAGAAUAAAUUGUGUAGAAUAACGUUUUAUAUAUUUAAUGAUCUUAUUCCAUUCCUUUUAUUUUUUUGAUUUCUUUUAUUUUUUAACCUAACAAAAACCUAGUCCCUUCUCCACCCAUUUGAGUAGGGUGCGAAUCUCAGAUCUCUUGCUUUCAACCAGAUGAUACCCAUAAAUUAGAUCAAAUCCUUUUCAUAAUAUCACUUGCCGCAAUAGUAAAAUUAAACUAAGCAAAAGUACUCUUUUUAACACCAAUACAAAAACAAAACAAUCAUAAAGCGAGACACAAAAUAUUAAAAUAAAAAUCAUAAUAUUGCAUCUAUCCACAUGCCACCAACAUUUUCCAUCAACUGUUUGAAAGAGAUCCUCCAUCUCAUCCUGCUUUGGAAGCUAUUCUAAGGAGACUUGCUUGAAAAUUUUAAACCACUCGUGUGUAAGCUAGGGAAUUUUUAAGAUUCAAAUAGCUUCACUCCCUCUGUGCCUCCAUUUUGUAUAACUUUUUAAAUAGAGUUUAUUUAAAUAGGCAUUCAAUUAGUAGAGUUUUUACAAAUAGAUCUUUUACCAAAAAAAAAAAAUUGUUUAGUUCAUCAGUUGUCCAAAGAGAUUUUAUUAAAAAUUAAAAAUUAAUUUCAAUGUACAAGUUUUCUAAGUUAUGUUGUGAAAUGGAUACGAAUAAAAUAAGAAUAUAAAAUAAAUAAUGGGCAUAUUAGAUAGUUUAAUAAUUUAAAAAAGCUUUCUAAUCUCUACUCCAAAAAAUUCAAAAUUCAAAUUUUUGCUAAUAGAGUCAAUAUAAUUUAUUUAAUCCCAAAAACUAAAUUCAAAAUAAAAUAUGACCAUUAAAUAAGCUAAUACUAAACAAGCACUAUACCUUUGAAGGACUUGCAACCCAUCAAAACUCUAGGUCCACUAAGCCAAUAUUGUUCUUGUCCAGUGCUAAAAAACAUUUUUCCAAACAGCUCCACCCUGCCGCAAUAUAUAUAAAUAAUAUGGAUAAGAUCCUCUCUUUCUUUCUUUUUUUUUUCCCCCCUCUCAUAUUCUUCAACAAUGUUGAAUUAACAAGUGAUCCUAUUUUUAAUUUAAAAAAGGAGUCAUGUUUUUAUUAAUUUUCAAAUUACAUCUAUGUUUUGAUUAAUUAAAAAGGCCAGCUAAUGAGAUCAUUAAUUUGGUCAACUACUCAGAUAACCGUGCAUCAAUUAUACAAUAGGCAUUUCUUUCCCAAAAUAAUAUAUUUGCGUCAUGCAUGACGAUCACGGAUCACUUGUAUUAGAGAGCUUAGGUGCCCAGCAAGUCAAGUUGCAAGCUGCUGUCUUUGGCCAUACCUUUGAAGCACAAAUACUUCUUUUUAUUCCUGUUUGAUAGUACGGUUAAAAUCAAGGCAUCAAUCAGGAAGUUGCGCAGCAAGUCAGGUUGCCCAGCCGCUGUCUUUGACUGUACCUUUGAAGCACAAGUACUUCUUUUCAUUCUUGUUUGAUAGCACGGUUAAAAUCAAGGCAUCAAUCAGGUGGGUGCCCAGCAAGUUAGGUUGCCGAGCUGCUGUCUUUGACUAUACCUUUGAAACGCAAAUACUUCUUUUCAUUUUUGUUUGAUAGCAUGGUUAAAAUCAACGCAUCAAUCAUGUACUUAUUGUGAAUCGUUGAAGUAGAUGUACAAUGCAUAAUAAGUAAUAUUUAUUUAAAAAUUGAAGCUUCUAGAUAAUUUCGAUAUAAAUUAAGUUCAGUUUUUACUUCAUCAAGGUGAAACAUCAUAAAGCUUGUAAAUCUAACACAUGAACGUAAAAGCUUUAAAAAAAUUUGAAGUUGCUUGAUAACAUAGAAAUACAAGCAAAAAGAGAUGCUAAAGAAUACAGCCCGAAUUUUUCAUUGGGUGGGAUUAUUGAUCAUGCUAGCAUAAUGAUGAGUUGCCCGAUAAUACCCAAGACUUUCUCGAUAUUAUCAUGUAGAAGGUCAGGACCGCCCACCUACAACUGUUGUUCAGCACUCAGAGAGACUUUUCACCCAGUUCUUAUGGGGUGACUCUGAGACUGGGCAAUAGAUUAAUUGUUGUGGAUGGAUGGCAGUUUGUUAUCCAGUUGAUAAGGGAUGCCUGGGUAUACAAUCUUUUAAUGAUAUGGUUGAGGAUUUUGAGCUUAAGCUUUGGUUGUGUUUUUAGGAGCAGCUUUCAUUAUGGGCUUCUUUUAUGAAGUCUAAGUAUUGUACAGCUGCACAUCCGAGUAUGGUUUAGUUUUGAUAUCCUACCUACCCUCUUUGGAGGCACCUAUGCUUGAUUCAAUAUGUUGGUGAGCUUCAUGUGUGUUGGCUGUUUGGCCGAGGGUUGUUUUUGGUAUGAUUGUUAGCUGGGCUCUUGUCCUUUGGCCUUUUAUAAUCAUGUGGUGGCUUUUCUAGGGCCGAUUUCGAGAUUAUUAGCAAGAUACAGUAUGAGAUAGGGGUAAGCUUCAGGAUGUCCUGCCCUUUUUAAUUGUUGUGCAUAUUCUUUUGAUUCCUAUCUCUAGUGGGGAACCAGAUGUGAUUUUGUACGUGGGACAUUUCUCCUGAUGGUAGUUUUUCCUUGAGGACUACUUCGGAUAUUGUGCAUUGGAUAAGGCCGAGGGAUGAGGCUUUUUUUGUUAUUUGGCAGCGACAUAUCUCUUCGUGGAUAUCCUUUUUUUCUCUAGAGGUUGUGACACAAAUUCUUGACCACAGAUGAUGCCUUGUGUUCGGGGGAUUUCUACAUACUUUCUUAGUAUCUUUGUGGUCGGGCUUCUGAGACUUCUAGGCAUUUAUUUCUUGAUUGCCCUCGAGUUAGGCCGGUUUGGGUCCAUUUUCUAUGUACUCUUGGUUUGCGCUAUGUUGCUUUUCUGUUCCCCUAUACUUUAUUUCUUAAUUGGUAGUGAUAUGCCCUUUCUUGAAGCCAUAUUCAAGUUCUUCUUCCUUGUUUCAUUUUGUGGUAAGUUUAGAAGGCUUGUCAUGCAUUGAAGUUUGACUCAAUGGCCUUUUUUGUUGAUGCCAUUAUUUAUCGGGCGAUGUUGGAUCUUAGGCUUGCUGGUUUUGCCUUUGGUCUUAAACCAUUCCAAUUGUGAAGAGUUUUAGGUUCUCGGUUUGCAGAGUGCUUGAGAGUUGUUGUUUCAUCUAGGAGGCCGAUUCUUUUAGUUUAUUGGUUGUGGCCACCACCUGGGGCGGUGAAGCUGACUAUCGAUGGUUGCUUUAGGAGUAAUCCUAGGAUCUCUGCUUUAGAUAGUAUUUUACUUGAUCAUCGAGAUGUGGCUUUGGCUGUUUUUGGUUCCUUCCUUGGGCGCUAACCGAUCCUUCAUGCAUAAUUCAUGGUUGUUUUUAGGGGUUAGAGUUGGCUGCUCAGCUCCAUUAUUCUGUGCUUGAGGUAGAGUCAGACUCAGCCAUGGCGGCUUCUAGGAUUUUUUUGUAAGGCCUUGUUCAUUCGGACUAUACCUAUUCUUUGCGUCGAGUGUGUAGUUUGACAUUUUCUUCUACUUCGUGGUUAGUCAUGUGCUUCGGAAGGCUACUUCUACUGCUGAUUUCGUUGGCCUGCACUCUUCAAGGUCAUCGGUGUUUCUUGGGUUCUCAGGAUAUCUCUGCUAGCUUAUCUAAUAAUCUCCGUUUGGAUAUGUGGGUAAUUUCUCAUAUCAGGCAAUAGGAUUUCUUAUUUCUGUAUUCCAUUUUUUAUCUUGUAUUUUUCUCUUUUCCAUUCUUAUGUUCUUGCAAUUGCGGUUUUGAUUUAUAUUCAUCUCCUUAUGUAUUUGAUUCAUUCUAUGAUUUAUAUGAAAGAUAGGGGUUCCACCUAACCCCACAUUUUUUGUGGUUAAAAAAAAAGAUCAGGAAUUCAACCUAAGUAAUCAAGGUGAAACAUCAAACAGGUUGUAAAUUUAACAUAUGAACGUAAAAGCUUAACAAAACAUUUGAAGUUGCUUGACAACAUAGAAAUACAUUAUAAAAGAGAUGCUAAACAACACAAAAAUUUGAUUGGGGGGAGUAUUGUUCAUGCUAGCAUAAUAAUGACGUGCCUGAGAAUACCUAAGACUUUCUUGAUAAAUAAUAUCAUUUAAAAGGUUAGGAAUCACAUAUGAUUGUCCACGUAUGAACAAACCUAGCUCAAAAUGUGAAAUGUGUUAAGAUUUUCAAACAUUUAAAUUAAUAAUUAAUAAUUUCAGACAAAGGAUACUUGGAAACCCUAAAGUUCACUGAUUCUAUGUUAUGGCUCAUUGUCUCUCUUGACAAUUUAAUUUCUAGAUUAUUUGGCUCCUAUCUAUUAAAAGACAACACCGUUACUAAAAUUAUAAAUUAUAACAGUUAAACCUAAACCUACGUCGUUUAGCAAUUUACAAAAGAAAAAAUAUAACAAAAGCCAAUUGUUGGAGUAGUAACGUGCCAACGAGAAAACCUCAAGCCAUGUAAUAUCCAGUGUCAACAACUAAAGAAGAACAAACCACCACCCUCAAGGCCGUCGCUGCACUAACGCUGGACCCGAUUUGAAUAGUUAGAAGUUGUAACAUUAAUUAGGGAUUGAGGGUAAAAUUUUGGACUUUGAUUUAAUAAAAUUGAUUUAAAUGAGUCCCAAUAGAAAUAUGAUUAUAAAUAUAUCAAUACAAUUAUAACAUGUGUAAAAGAAAAAAGUUUAUUUUCACACAAAACAAAAAACACAACCCUUGGAUGGGUUGUGUGAUGACUCUUCUGCAAAAAUUAUUUGAUCUCUCACUUUAUGAAGUACGAUUUGUCAGGUUUAAUUAAACCUGUUCCACUCCUUUUAUGUUACCACUUUAUUUUAAAAAUCCCAAAAAAUCUCCUAUCAAGUUUAAUUGCUUCCAGUGGUUUCUUCCUGCUCUGACUUUUGAAUUUCAAAACCAAUCAAAUUUUUUCAACUGUAGGCUUCACGUCUUUUUUUUUUUUUUUGACAACUGGACGUUUUCAUUCAUACUUUAUUCUCUUUCAUUUUGCAAUCCCCAAAAAAAAAAAAACUUUUUCUCUUCCUCUUCCAAUCUCUAACGCCCCCUCAUCUCCCUUUUUUAUUUUUUUUUUAUUUUGUCUUUUGCUUCUUUUUCCUUUGGCUUUAUUUCUCAUUACUUUUUGGCUUCGAAUUUUUCUUCAGCUUCUCAUAUUCUCCUGGGCGCCAUUAUCAUUCCACAAACAGGUAAAAGAAUCUUCAUUUACUUCUCUUUUUCCUUUCUUCUUCAUGGCCCACCAUUAUUCUUUCUUUUCCUUUUUGCUUUUCUCCCUUUUCUCUCCUCUUGGCUGGACUUCUUUUUUUUUUUUUUUUUUCUCGGCUGGACUCCUUCUCCUCUUUUUUUUUUUUCCUUUUUCUUUCCUCUUGGCUGGACUCCUUCUGGCAUGAUUUCCGGCGAGAUUUCUGGCGGUUGCCGCGGCGGUCUCCUGUACCCGAUCCGUCUGGUAUGCGGUCGCGUCUUGCGGCUCCCGGUGGGUUUGGCGCGGUGCUUCUCCGGUUCUCCCCGCACAUUGUUUUCUUUACUUCUUUUUCUUCCUCUCUGCGUUUUCUUUGGCUUUCCUCUUUUUUUUUUUUUUUUUGACUUCCUCUUCUUUGCUUUUUUUUUUUUAUCUCCAGGCUUCUCCCUUUUUUUUUUUGUACGUCCAAGCUCCUUCCUCUUUUUUUUUUUUAUUAUCUCUAACAUGUUUUAUUGUGUCUAUGACAGCCUCUGCACUGCUCCAUCUUUUGAGCAACUUUUGGCGAUUUGUGACUUCUCUUGGCGAUUUAUAGUCUAAAACUUACUUAUUGGCGACUGAAAUUUGCUACUCUCGGUGAGAUAUAGGUAUAAAAUUUUUCAUACCUAUUUUUGACUUCUUUAUUUUGAAGAAUGAUGUUGUGGCUUUGUUUCUGGUUUUCAUGCAAAGUGUUGGCAUUUUCCUUUUUUGUUUAUGCUUUUAUUGGUGGAUGUUGGUGUUUGGCUUGUGAUGGAUGAGGUCUGAAGUUGUGGGGGUAUAUUUUGAUGUGGAGUUUUUCUUUUUCAACUUGUGUCUUGUGUUUUUAGGAGAACAAGAUGGGGAGAAAAACUGUUGGGAAAAAGGGUCGUAAUGUGGUCAGGGAGCCGGGGGAGUCGAGUGAGGAGGCUCCCCUUUCUGAUUCAGCCCCUCAUAUAUCCCUUAGUGACGAUGAUGGGUCCCCUUCGGCUAGUCCCAAGUUAUCUCGAACCAAAACUAGUAAAAAAUUAAAGAUUAAAGGCAAACACCCAGCCAAGUCAGCCCAUAGAAAAACUCGUGCAAAGACAUCCAUACCCAAAUCUCCUAUUCCUGUUAGCAUUCCAGAACCUCCCCUGAUCUCUCCCUCUGUCUCUGUAGCUCCUAAGCUCUAUGCACUAGGGGGUAGGCUGGCUACUCCGAGAGAUUUAGAAAGGGUUAAAGCCAAAUACAACAUACCUCAUUCUGUCCACCUUAGGGUACCUCGCAAGGGCGAGCGCCCCGAGCACCCUCAUUCUGAUGGUGUUGCCCUUCAUACCGACCUUUUUGACUUAGGUCUCCGUUUACCUCUUCAGCCAUUUUUUAGAAAAAUGUUCACUGAGAUGAAAAUUGCUCCCGGACAGUUAUCCUUACCCGGUUGGAGAUUGCUCACGAGUCUGGAGGUUUUGUGGCUAGAUAUUUUUGGGGAGGAUAUUUCUUAUGGAGAUUUGAGGGGGCUUUAUCAGUUGAAGAAGCCCAUUGGUUUAUCCGUAGCCUAUUUUGCUACUUGGGGGGUUCAUGGUAAUUUGGUGAGACCGGAUCCCUUGCUGAAAAAGGGCUACAGAUAUGGGUGGUUUGUGGCUGAGGGCGAGUGGGGGAAGAGCAUUCCAGCGGGGAAUGAAGUUGUGCAAGUUCGAAACUUCUUCAAUGAAGAUAGUAUGUGUUUCUUUUCUCUUCUCUCCCUUUCUAUGUAUAUAUACACCUCUUCGCAUGAAUUUUCUUCUUAUUCGUUGUUUUUUUUUUUUUUUUGGAUUUUUGCAGACAUCACUUGGAUCAAAGGAACGUGCCCAAUCCAUGAAGUGGGGAGGAAAAUGAAUGGUGUUAUAGAGAAGUUCCAUAUUUUGCAGAGUGAGGGUGAUGUUCUGUGCACUUCCCGGUUGGCGAGAGCUGGUCUAAUUAAGGAGAGUUUUCAGUCUUCUUCAGGAGGCGAUUCACGUAUGGCUAUGUGGUGUUGCUGGGGUACCCCGCCUUCAUUGGUUCUGUGGGGUGCCCCCAUUAUUUGAACAAACUUUUUUUUUUUUUUUUAUGCUUUGGUGGCCAUCUCUUAUUUUUUCUUAAUGUGCCUUUUUACCAAUGACGACUCUAUUGUUUAUUUUCCUGAUUUGUCUCUUUGUCUUACCUCUUUUUUUUUUUGUUGGAUAGGCAUGGACCCUUUUGGCGAAGAUUUUGAUGCCUUCUUCAGUCGCAUGAGCGGCAGCUCCUCCGGUACCCUGGGUACCUCCGUAAAAGGUGACCGACCUCCCGUCGUUCCAGGCGGCAAAGGCAAAUUGCCCGUCUCCUCUCUUGGGGGUUCUCGGGGUACCCCGACUACCCACAAGAGAAAGCUUGGCUCUCUUUUCUCAGCUCCUAGAGACCUUAUGGAGGGCGAGCUGGAUCCGGUGGCUAACAAGCGGAUAUCGCACCUGACUGAUUGCUUCCUUCAUUCCUCUGAGAGUAUUUCCACAGACAUGGCAAUGGAGGCGGAUAAAUUAGAUUUAAAUGAGCGCUAUAGCCGAGCGCUCAAAGCUUGUCAUGACGUGAGCGCCUCUCACUCUUUUCUUUUCCUCUUCUUUUUUUUAUAUCGUCCUGACUCCUUUUCAUUUUCUUUAUUAUUAUUUGUGUAGGCGGCUUUCUACCUUAGCCACGGUCUCCGAGACCUUAGUGGUAUCUCGGCUGCACAGACCGAGGUAGAGACACUGCGAGGUGAGGUUAGGCUCGGCCAGUCUCGGGAAGAGAAGCUAGGAGAGGAGGUCAGGGCUUUGCAAAGGUGCUUGGAUGACCACGCCCGGGAGAACAAUCGAUUGUCUAGGAAGUUGGAAGAGGUGGAAUCUAAGCACGGCGAGCUACUAUCUCGCCAACCGGAGAUGAUGGACAAGGCCUUCACUCUUAUCAUGACUGAGGUCUAGAGCGUUGAGCCUGAGUUGGUGGUACCCCGGGUGGAGAAAUGAGUGGACAAGUCGGCCAUCCUGAAAGCGAUAGAGGAUAAAAGGGCUACCCAAGCUCCACCAUCCUAUAGCCCGCAGCAAUCUUCGGGGGUACCCCAGGUGCCCCAGGCACCCCAGGCGGAUCUCCCUUCGGCUAGCGCUAUUCCUAUAGAUAGUAGCUAUUUGGCCGCGAGUGUUCCUAUUGACGCCCCCGUUGAGGGGAACGGUGGGGAGGAUGUCCCCCCUUCUUCUUGACCUUACUUGCUAUUUACAGCUUUAUCUCGAGAUGUCUUAGUGACUUUCUUCCUUUGCUUCUGUACCUUUGUAGUAUGAUAUCAUCCUUUUGAUGUAUUGGGAUACUUGUCUUUUGGAAGGUUGCCUCGGUAAUCUUGCUACUUAUUUGUAUUAAACUUUUGCAAUAGACUUUAUUCGGCUUACCAUUGAAUUCCUUGCUUAUGAUUGAUUUGUGUAGACUCGUGGGGGUUCCUCGGGUACCCCAGGUACCCCCCUGAUGUAUUUUUGGCACUUGCAUGGUGAUUUCCGUAGAUGUGCUCACUGCUCGUCUUAAUAAAGAUCAUGGCGUAUCUCAAAAUGAUUUAAUAAUUUGCACAUUAUCAUAAGAUAAAACAAAAUUCAUAUUUGGCGCAACUAGGAUUAAAUAAAGAUUAUGGCGUAUCUCAAAUAAACUUGUGGAGUUUCUUGGGUAUCCCGGGUACCCUUUUUUUUUUUCGAGGACUUUUUUGGCCCCCUUUCUUGCAUAAAUGGUAAAAAAUAUGCUUAUUUUGCCAUCCGCUUCUAGUCAAUAUUUAAUAAAAUAAUGCGAAUAGAGGGGCAUGCUUGCCUACCUCGUUUCGUUUAUCUAUUCUUUACUUGGCUCAAGCAAAAGAAUGGAGGUGUGGGCGUGUGCAUACCGUAACGGAACCUCAUGGCACUAGGGUAUGCUGGUUUACCUCGCCCUCGGGCCUUCUCUGACCCUCCCUCUUUAAAUUUGUUGUAUUAUUUCUUAUUGGCGUUGACCUCGAACAGAUCUUCACGAUCGAAUCGAGUCAGAUACCUCAGGUUCCCCUAAUUAUCUUGAAAUGGAGUAAUUAUAGUUGAAUAAGACAUGGCGUAAUAAGAGAGAGUCACAUUAAUGGCAAAAAUUUAACCAUAAUCACAUUCGGUAAUCAAAAGGAGAACAUUACAUAAAAUUGACUCAUUGUCCCAAUGAGAAUAGGAAACCAUAUAGAUAUCCACUCUCUAGGACUUAGGGAAUUAAAAAUUUCACUUGCACAUGUGGGGUACCCUAAGUACCUUUCAUGGCUUUACCACAUUGCACACAUAGUAAAGAAAAUAAGAGAUAGAUAAAGUGAACGAUAAGGUUUAAGACACUGUCCUCAUGUUAGUAGUACUUCCUCAGCAUUGCGGCAUUCCAGGGAUGCUUGACGAUUGUUCCAUCCAUGUGGAGUAGUCUGUAUGCCCCUGAACCUACCGGCUUGUCUAUGCGAUAUGAGCCUUCCCAAUUGGCUCCGAAAGAGCCCUCCGAGGGUACCCGGGUAUUCUGAGUUACCCUUCGUAUGACUAAAUUCCCUUUCUUGAAUGAUCUGGGGUGUACCCUCUUGUCAUAUAAAUCUAAAACGCGGUGCUGGUAUAUUGCAACCUUCAAUUCUGCUUUAACCCUUUUUUCUUUAACAAAAUCAAGAUUGGACGCAAUCAAAGAGGCAUUCUCGGCUUCAUCGAAGUAUGCGGUUCUGUGAGAGGGUAUCCCGAUUUCAGCUGGAAUGACUGCAUCAGUCCCGAAAGCCAGAGAAAAUGGGGUUUCCCCAGUUGAAAUAUUCUGAGUUGUCCGAUAGGCCCAAAGAACGCCGGGUAACUCGUCUACCCAAGCUCCAUUUCUUUCCUCCAGCCUCUUCUUUAGGAUACCCUUGAUGAUUUUGUUGAUGGCUUCCACUUGUCCAUUAGAUUGCGGGUGAGCCAGAGAAGCAAAUCGGUUGGCUAUCCCAAGCUCCGAGCAAAAAUUCUGAAAUUUUUCAUUAUCGAAUUGCUUCCUGUUGUCGCUGACAAUUGCAUUAGGGAUACCAUAUCUGCAUAUGAGGUUCCUCCAAACAAAAUCAGUAGUUUUUCUCUCCGUAAUGCUUGCCAACGACUCCGCUUCUACCCACUUUGUAAAAUAGUCAACGGCUACAAUUGUAUACUUAGCUUGUCCUCUACCAGUUGGUAGUGGGCCAAUGAGAUCUAUGCCCCAAACAGCAAAUGGCCACGGAGAAGACAUGACAGUUAACUUUUCUGGUGGAAGGUGGGGUACCUUGGCAAAUCUCUGGCACUUGUCACAACUCUUGACCAUAUUUUUGGCAUCCUCCCGCAUCGUAGGCCAAUAAAAUCCUUGACGAAGGGCCUUCUGUGCCAAUGAUUGUGCUCCAUAGUGGUUACCGCAUAUCCCUUCGUGUAUCUCUCUCAUGACAUAUUCGGCAUGUUCAUUGCUUCAUUCUUGUUUGAGGGCAGAUCCCCACUUCUGAGGUAUCCUAUGAUUGGUUGCAUUCAGGGUACCCCAGCAGUUAUCGACCCUAUUUCUUCUGGCUCAAAUAGAUUAACACUUGGUGUAGGUACGUACUCAGCAGUGAUUGGACCAACCGACUGAGUUGCACCGAAGGAAGCCAUUUUGGCGAGGUUGUCAGCUUCACAAUUUUCUAAUCGUGGAACUCUUUCCACCUUGACCUCAGCAAAUUGAGAUAUUAAUUCUCUUGUUCUCCCGAGGUACCCCUUCAUAUUUUCUUCCUUAGCGUGAUAUUCUGAGUUGAUCUGACCGACCACCAACUGAGAGUCACUCUUGAUGUGGACUCUUUUUGCGCCUAAGGCCUUCGACAUCCUUAGCCCCGCUAUCAUAGCUUCAUACUCGGCUUCGUUGUUUGAGGCCUUGAACCCGAAUUACAAGCCAUAACAUAGCUUCACCUUAUCCGGAUCGAUGAUUAUUACUCCCGCACCGCUUCCGUGCGAGUUGGAGGAACCAUCCACAUAAAUUUCCCAGACAUGCUCUUCUUCAAUAGCUGAUGUAGUUUCGCCCGGGUACCCCGAGAUCUCCUCACCCCCGGAGUCAUUGGCGAAUUCUGCAAUGAAAUCGGUGAUGGCUUGGGCUUUAAUAGCUGAGCGUGGCUUGAAGAUGAUGUCGAACUCACUCAAUUCAAGAGACCAGCGAAGAAGUCUUCCAGACAUGUCUAACUUCUAGAGGAUUUGUCGAAGGGGAAGGUUUGUUACAACGGCAAUGGUGUGGGCCUGAAAAUACGGCCGCAGUUUCCUCGUAGAGAUUACCAAGCCAAAACCAGCUUCUCUGUGGCGGGGUACCUCUUUUCCGCAUCCACCAUUGCCCUACUAGUGUAGUAAAUAGGCCGUUGCACCCCGUCUUCAUCUUCUCUAAGCAACAUUGAGAUAGUGGCGUGCUCAGAAACAACGAGAUACAACAGAAGCACUUCUCCAUGCUUAGGCUUGGCGAGCAAUGGUGAAUUAACGAGAUACUCCUUUAGCUUCUGAAAAGCCUCUUCGCACUCGGCGGUCCAUUGGAGCUUCUUUCCCGCUUUCAAAGCUUUAAAAAAUGGCUUGCACUUGUCGGUGGCCUUGGAGAUGAAACGACUCAAGGCGGCUAUCCGGCCAGCUAAGCUCUGGACUUCCUUAAUGGUACUUGGUGACUUCAUCCCAAGAACCGCCUGGAUUUUAUCGGGAUUAGCCUCAAUUCCCGCUGUUGUACCAUAAAUCCAAGGAAUUUACCCGAAGUCACCCCGAAUGCACAUUUCUUAGGAUUUAGGCGCAUCUGAUGCUUUCUCAAAAUAUUGAAGGUAUAUCUGAGGUGCCCCGAGUGAUCACUGGUGUACACCGACUUUGUUAUCAUAUCAUCGAUGUGCACCUCCAUGGUACGACCGAUUUGUUAUUUGAAGAUCUUGUUCACCAAACGCUGAUAGGUGGCGCCUGCAUUCUUCAAACCAAAAGGCAUAACCUUGUAGCAGUAUAACCCACGGUUGAUGAUGAAGGCCGUUUUAUCUUGAUCAGGCUCGUACAUUGGAAUUUGGUUGUACCCGGAGAAAGCAUCCAUGAAACUAAGCAUCUCGUGCCCAGCAGUAGCAUCGACCAGCUGGUCUACCCGGGGAAGCGGGAAGCUAUCCUUAGGGCAAGACCUGUUUAAAUCCGUGAAAUCUAUACACAUGCGCCAUUUUCCGUUAGACUUCUUAACCAAUACAACAUUUGAGACCCAAUCGGGGUACACCGCCUCCCUAAUAAACCCCGCUGCUAGUAAUCGGUCCACUUCUUGUUCAAUGGCGUCAUAGCGUUCCUGGUUGAAAGCUCGACGUUUUUGCUUGACAGGCCUAUGAUGUGGAUCGACAUUGAGCUUGUGACAGGCGAUAGAAGGCGGGAUACCCGGCAUGUCCGCGUGAGACCAAGCGAACACAUUUAAGUUUUUCCUUAAGAACUCAAUAAGCUGCUCUCGGUGUUAGUCAGAGAGGUUGGAGCCUACCUUGACCAUCUUGGUUGGGUCCUUAUUGCAGAUCAAAACAGACACAAGAUCCUCAGCCGGUGUUCCUCGCUUUUCAUCUUUCGGUACCCGGGGAUCCAGGGGUACAUUGACUUCUCCCAUUGAUGCUGAAUUGGGACUUUGGGGCACCAGUGGUGCCCUGGGAGCUACCACGUCCACUUCCAUUGGCCCAGCUUCAUACGGCGCUUGGGGUACCUGGGAGUUCGUGGACCGUUGAGCUUUCUUACGUGCAACUCUCCGGCGUCUAGCCAGUGCCCGCUUGGAUAGGCUGGUAAAUGAACUUGUGCUGACGGGGUACCCCUCCAGGAACAUAUUGGUGGCGAUUUGGUAGCUUACUUUCGAUGCGAUCGAGUAGCACCCUCGAGCCGAUUGCUGAUCCUCUUUGAUCGUGAUAAUUUCUCCAGCGGUUGGAAUCUUCAUGGCGAGGUAAUGCAUGGAGAUUGCCGCCUUAGUUGUUGCUAAGAAUGGUCUUCCCAAGAUGAUAUUAUAGGCACCUGGGUGAUCCACAAUAAGAAAAUCAAUCAUAUGAACAAUACGGUGAGGUACCUUACCAAGUGUAACGGGCAGCGUAAUGAUGCCCUUUGGGAUAACCAUAUCGCCGGCGAACCCAAUAAGAGGUGUAGCACAUGGGGUGAUCUUUGGCGAUUCAAUCAAUAGUUGAUCCAAGGCGCUUUUGAAAAUGAUAUCAACGGAGCUGCCGGUGUUUACAAGAGUUCUUGCUACCUUACCAGUAGCAACCUUCAACGUUAUUACUAAGGCGUCGUCAUGGGGGUACGAGACAUCUUCAGCAUCUUGCUCUGUGAAAAUGAUAGAUGGGGGAUGGUGGGGUACCCCAGAUACCCUAAGUUGAUUUUGACAAGUGAGGUUCACUUCUUUUCCAGGGCGAUCCAAAAUUGGUGGCUUGCUGUAACGUUUGAUGGCCCGUCUAGAUUCCCCAGCGAGGGUAGGACCCCCUGCUAUCAUUCGAACAUACACGUCUUUCUUAGACCCCUGGGGUAUCUCAGCUUCUGGAUGAGGGUUAGCAACUUGUUUACCAUUAUCUUGCUCCGAGAACUUCAUUGCCUCACGCAUAUCAGCCACAAAUUCCUUGAGAUACCCACUCAGAAUCAAUGACUCAAUUUCUUCCCUCAAGUGAAAGCAUUCGGCGGUGCUAUGGCCGAAAUCUUCAUGAAACUCACAAUACUUCAAGCUACGCUUCAUAUUGGGGUAUUUCCGAAUUAGCUUAGGUGGGCGAAGCAUCCCCGUAUCCCUAAUAUGGUAAAAAAUUUGUUCUGGAGAUUGAUUCAAAUGGUAGAAAGAGUCAUAUCUGGAUUUUUGUGGUGCUUCCCGUUGUUCUGGCGGUAGCGGUGGGCUAUGUACUCGGGGUGCUCGGGAUGGUACCUGAGGUACCCGGGGUACCCGGGGUACACCAGGGAUAUUCAGUCCUCUCCCACGUGGGGUUGGACGAGGUGGGCUGUGUACCCGGGGUGCUCGAGAGGGUACCUGAGGUACCUCGGCUCUCUUGGGUUUCUCCUUGUUUCUCACAACUUCGACUCUGUCUUCCUCUCGCUUUAGGUUACACUUCUCAUCCAUUUCUAUUUGUUGCAGGGCUCGAGAACGAGCUUCCCCAUAUGAAAGAGGGCGGUGUUUUUGAAAUGACCGCCAUAACUUCCCCAAACGCAAAUUCUUUUCAAAAUGAGUGAGAGUAUGUUGGUGACCAAAUGUACCGGUACGCAACACCUCUUGGUGGAAGCGGGUUACGUACUCGGCUAAAGACUCCGAAUCCCCUUGUUUGAUGAAAGCAAGCUUGGAGGAUGUUAUAUCUUGGGCGGAUGCAUAACCAAACUCAUGAACAAAAUCUUUUAGGAGCUGGUCUAGGGAGGAUACACUACCUGCCUUCAACGAUCGAAACCAUGACUUGGCUGGUCCGGUGAGGGUAUGUGGGAACAUCCGGCACAUAGCAUUGUCGUCCACUCCUUUAAUCAUCAUCUGGUCACGAUAUAACUCAGCAUGUUCCACGGGAUCCGAGGUACCCGAGUAUUGUUGUAUUUGAGGCAUGGUGAACGCUUCCGGGAGAACCGCUGUCCGAAUCUCCAUGGUGAAUGGCGAGUUAUGCACUGCUGGCGCUAGAGCAUUGGUGGGGUUUUGUUUUUCAGAAAGGAGCUUCACUUGGGCUUCGAGGUACUCCAUUUUUUCCAGGAACUCGCGGGGUACCCCAGGUGCACCUGAGGAGGCCGUUGUUGUCGUUCAACUUGUACCGGAGAUCUUCAUGGGCUUUUUGUUUGCGUUUGGUACCCUGGCUACUACGGGAAUAACAAGAGGCAGUAGAGCGUUCUUCCCGGGAGCCGGCGGCUUGACACUUUGAACGGGUGCCCGAUGGCCCAUGCUUUGGUCUACUUCCCUCCGGUAUUUCAAAUCUUGGUAUGAUCUGUUUCUCACCUCGUGGAGGCUGGACAUCUUGAGUUACCGGAGAAGUAGCUGCUUCGGGUACCCGAGAUCCUACUGCUCUGAGAAUCGCAUGAGCUAAAUCCUCAGUGUUUAUGAGUGACGGGCUCCUCGUCAGGUUGAAUACCAGCUGAUUGCUUAACUGAUUUGCCUUUCUCUAGGCGGGAUGCCCUUCUUGUCGAGUCACCCCUCUCAUCACCGCCGUGGUCCUCUGCUCCAUCAUGACCUAGCAUUUGGUUAUCAGCGGGUACGUCAGGUGCCAUGGUUUUGUAAGCACACGUACCGACAAGCUUAGCACCGUGUGGAGGCUUUUUGCGCGCUCCCCACAGACGGCGCUAAUUGUUUGUGGCUGAUUUUGGGUCAAUGAAUAAAAAACCACAAAACCAACCCAAGAGCAAUAAAUUUAUAUUUUGUCGGGGAGCGGGGUACCUCGCUUAUUCGGCACGUACGGGCUAUUUAGGCUUUUUGUGGAGUGAAGGAGGAUUGAGCCGACGGUGGUUAUGGAGGGGAUCUGACUUCAGGUGCGGAGGGCUGGUGCAACUCGCCUUAAACCUGCGAAACAACCAAAAAAGAGGUCAGAGAUGGAGCCGGGGGUGGCCGGCGACCACACUCCGACGCUCAAGUCAGAGUUGGGUUAUCUUAGGUUAGAGAGCUUGCAAGCUCUCGGUAAUAGAGGUUUUGAGGUUGAAGAAACCCUAGUUUUUUCUGGUGAGUGUGUUUCCUCCCUUGAUAAAAAUCAAACCUGAGUAUUUAUAUGGUGUACCCCAGUCGCCGUGCCACCUGGCGCUAUUUUAGUGGCGUUCCCUGUUGUCAUGUCAGGAAUAUUCUUAUUUUUAUGCGUAAGGUGGCUUAGACGUUUCAAAAAUAUCAGUGGAGAGCAAGUUUGUGGCGUAUUCACGUGCUGGGCGUAGUGGAGUGGUCCCGCGUACCUCUGCAAUUCCGUUGUAAUUUUGUAGGUGUAGCAGGAAAAGCUGGUGGUCCCAACUGUCACAAUAUCACACUUUUGGCGGAUUCGCUGGCGUGACAGGCGGCAGUCUUCUCUUUUGCGGCACAAGAUUUCCUUAUUUUUCGACACGUAUCAAACCGAUCUUUUUUAGAUUCAGGGCCCACAUAUCCCUUCACAUAUUUACUAAGAUUUUUAUAUCCUUUCAUGGUGUACCCGAGGUACCCCCGAAGUCCUUAGAGUAGCCGGGGUACCUAGAGUACCCGAGGUACCCGAGACAAAUUAAUCUCUUAAAUAUCGACACGUGGCGCUUCAUCAUUGGUCUCAUAUUUCCUUCCCAAACAACCACCUUGUUGCUAAAUGGACUCGCCCAUCCCCCGUGGAGCUUCACUUCAGCCAUGUGUCUGAGAUCGAAUUUGAAUAUGUUUGUGGUUGUUUUGCUUAGCUGAUGAGUUAUUGCAUACGUACAUCUGAGUUUGAGCAGGGAGCUUCAUAUUUCCAAUUUAUUUAAUAAAAUGAUUAAAUUAAGUUGAAUUCAAUGAGCUAAUGCUGCGACUUUUUAACAAUUCUGUUAUAUAUUGAUGAGCAUAAUUUAUAUACAUAUUUUACCCUUAAUUAUAUAAUUACUAAUUAUUUUUAUUUGUUAUUUUUAAUUAAUUAAAUUAUUUUAUUGAAUAGGGGAUUAAUUGAAGAUUAUGGAUAAAAAAGGAUAUAAGGGAGCUCAAUUUUGGAAGCGUUAAUUAAUUGAUUUUAGAAGCAAUUAGACAUACAUGCAUGUGGAAGUGAAGCCGAGGAAACCGAAGCUAGUAAAUUAAUUGAUCUAGCACAUGAAGAAGAAUUUAAGCAUAACAUUGGCUUUAGCUUAGUUAAGUUACACGUGCAUGGCUUUGUAAUAUUUGGAAAGCAAUUUAAAUGGGACCCGCACUUGGCUUUCAUAAUUGGAAAAGGAAUCCUAAAGCAAUUCCAAAGGUGGUCACGUGUGAGAGCUAAAGGAAAUAAAAGGGCAAGCCUUUUGGUUUUAGGAUUUAAGAGAUGGGGCCCAUUUCAAAGAUUAUAAAAGGGAGUUUUGGCUUUUGGAGAAGGAGGCGGCCAGAGGACAGAAACAAAAGGCUGGAAGAGAGCAAUCGGCAGCAGCAAUAUUUCGGCUUCCCCAUGGCUGAAUUUAUUUAUUUUGUUGCUCCCAAUUCAAGUAUGUCUAGCUAAUUUUCUUAUACUGAGGUUAAGGAUGAAACCCUAUUCAAUGAAAUAAUUAUCUUUUUAUUUAAUUAAUUCCCUAUAUAUGUUCUUUGAUGAUUAUGGUUUUUAUUUCACAUGAUUAAUUGGAUGUUAAUAAAAUCUUUUCAUCAAUUCUGGCGUGCAUUAUUGAUUGUUAUGAUUAAUAUUCGAUUAAUUCUAUGCUUGGAUCUAUAAAGUUUAUACAUGAUUAUCUUUGAUUGUAUGUCUUUCAUUAAAUUGUUUAAAUGGAGUGCUUAGGAAACUUUGACUCUUUGUUAUUCAAUAUGUUUACAUGGGAUGCUUAGAUGUCAUAUUAUUAAGCAGAAAAAGAACCUACAUAAGAUUAAUUUUAUUUGGGCUUAAUUGUUAUAUCCAUGAGAUGACAUAGAUUGAUUUCGAGUUGUCACUCUAAAAUUGAGGAUUAAUUAAUAAUUAGAUAAUUACUAGUUGAAUAGUGGUGGAUUCUGAAACCUUGGUAAUUCUUAUCUCAUUAAAUUCUCCUUUAUUUUAAUUUCCUUAGUUUAAUUGGUUUAAUUUUCUUAAAAAUUCAAUUUGCUCAACUAGGUUAGAAUUAAUAUUAAAUUUUAGAUUUAAAUUAGACUUUUUAAUUUAUAACAAUCCCUGUGGGAUCGACCUCGUUACCACUAUUCUAUUUCUAGAUUCGUGCGCUUGCGAGUAUAUUAAAAUUUUCACAACAAGUUUUUGGCGCCGUUGCCGGGGAUUGUGCUAGAAAGUCAGUUUAAUCUAGGUUGAUUUGAUUCUUCCACUAGUUAUAAUUUAGGUUGUCUUUUAUUUUUUUUAAUUAAAAAAAAAAACAACAACACAAAAAAAAAAACUUUUAUUUGUCUUUAAAUUCAUUGUUUAGUUGUUUGAUUUCUUUUAUUUUUAAAUUUCGUUUAUUCUCAUUUUUGUUGGUUUAUUUUAUUUUAUUUUUUUUUCUUUCCUUGUCUAGUUAGUUUAUGAGUGUUUGGGAACGUGAUUCAACAAAUCGUUUGGUUAAAAGAGAGUCGAAAAUUGAUAGUAGUCAAGCUAGUUCUUUAGAAGUGAUGGAUGACCCAAAUAGAUUAUUACCAAUACUUCCACCAGUGCAAGCAGAGAAAACCCUUAGAGAAUACUUUUCACCACUUGCAGCCAACCAACCAUCUUGUAUUGUGUUGCCACAAACUACAGCAACACACUUUGAACUUAAGCCCUCAGUCAUUCAACUUUUACCAUCUUUCCAUGGGUUAGAGAGAGAGGAUCCAUAUUUGCACAUUAAGGAAUUUCUUGACAUAUGCUCUACAUUUCGUUUUCAAAAUUUUAACGAUGAGUCAAUUAGGAUUCGUAUGUUCCCUUUCUCAUUAAAAGACAAAGCAAAAGCUUGGUUGAAUUCACUUCCUGCUGGGUCUAUUAGUACAUGGGAUGAAUUGAGUAAUAAGUUUCUCACCAAGUUUUUCCCUAUGUCUAAAACAAAUGCCCUUAGGAGAGAGAUAAGUGAUUUUUAUCAAAGAGAGAGUGAGCAAUUUUACGAGUGUUGGGAAAGAUUCAAUGAUUUACUCCUCAAGUGUCCCCACCAUGGUUUUGAAAAAUGGAGACUUAUACAAUGCUUUUAUAAUGGCUUAACCAUGUCAAAUCGUCAUAUGGUAGAGUCUAUGAAUGGUGGGAGAUUUUUGAACUUACAUGAAGGGGCAGCAUGGGAUUUCUUUAAUUCACUUUCUGAAAAUUCUCAACAGUGGGAUUUUUCAAAUCAAAGGGAAAAAUCAUCUCAAGUUUCUAGAAAGGGGCUAUAUGAAGUUAAGGAUGAUUUAGAUAUGAAAUCCACUCUAGCUACACUUUCUAGGAAAGUAGAUGCCUUAGUUAUGAACCAAUCCAUAAAUCAUCAUCCCAGUGUAGCUAAUGAGGUUUGUGCUAUUUGUUCUAACUUGUCUCAUACAGCACAAAAUUGUCCAUCAUUACCAGUCUAUCCAGAUGCUUAUUCUGAGCAGGUACAUGCCUUACAAUCAUAUGAGAAAACCUCCAAUAGUCCAUAUUCAUCCACAUAUAAUCCUAAUUGGAGGAAUCACCCUAAUUUUUCUUGGAAACAAAAUCAACCUUUGUCAAACCAAGGAGGGCAACAAUUUAACAUGCCCAACCAACAAUUUGUCCCUCCUAACCAAGUAUAUCCUCAUGCCCAACAACCUAUGUCUCAAUUUGUUGCACCCCAACAAAGAAAGCCUUCUUUAGAGGAUACACUUCAAAGUUUCAUUCAGUCAACCCAACAAGCUUUUCAAUCAAAUACUCAAGCUAUUCUGAAGCUUGAACAUCAAUUGGGUCAAUUAGCAACUACUGUAGCGGAGAGAGAAAAAGGAAAAUUCCCAAGUCAACCAAUUCCCAAUCCUAAAGGAGUGCAUGAAGUUGGAUCGAGUUCAAGCCAUCUGCAUGAAGAAGCAAAAUCUGUUAUGACCUUGAGAAAAGGAAAAUUAUUUGACAACAAAGUGGAGGUUCCAACAAGGAAGAUAUCUGAGCCUACUUCUUCAGAUCCAGUUCCAUCACAAGAGUCGUCAACAAAUGAUCCAGAAGAGAGUGGCCCGCCAGCUUACAUUCCUAAGGCUCCUUUUCCUCAAAGGUUAGCAAAGGUAAAGAAAGGGACUUCAACAGGUGAGAUUAUGGAAAUCUUCAAGCAAGUAAGUAUAAUUAUCCCUUUACUCGAUGCUAUUAAGCAAGUUCCUUCCUAUGCCAAGUUUUUGAAAGAUUUAUGCACUAAAAAGAGAAAUUUGCAUGUCACUAAAAAGGCGUUUUUAACUGAACAAACUAGCAACUUACUCCAAUGUAAAAUGCCACCAAAAUUUAAGGAUCCUGGUUCUCCUACUAUCUCAUGUGUUAUAGGGAACCAAUGUUUUGAUAAAGCAUUAUUGGAUUUGGGUGCUAGUGUUAAUCUCUUGCCUUAUUCUGUUUACAUGCAACUUGGAUUAGGUGAGUUAAAAUCAACUCCUAUUAUUUUGCAACUUGCUGAUAGAUCAAUGAAAAUACCUCGUGGUAUUAUAGAGGAUGUGUUGAUACAGAUUGAUAAAUUUUAUUAUCCUGUUGAUUUUAUUGUUAUUGAUACUCAGCAUGUACAUGAUCCUAAGAAACACACCCUAGUUAUUCUAGGUCGUCCUUUCUUAGCUACAGCUGAUGCUCUUAUUAAUUGCAGGAAUGGAAAUAUGCAGCUAUCUUUUGGUAAUAUGACCAUGGAAUUGAAUAUUUUUAAUGUUACCAAGCAGCCACAAGAAGAAGAUGAAUUUGUUGAAGCAAAUAUGAUAGAGGAAUUAGUAGAAGAUUCAUUCAUUUCUAACCAUACUGAUGAUCCAUUAGAGGCAUGUCUAACUCAUCCUGAUUUAUCUUUUAAUGAUGACAGUGCAAUUGCAGAAGUCAGCGCUUUACUUGAUGCACCUCUAAUUACGGACACAACUAAAUGGAAGGCAAAGUCAGAAUUACUGCCUCAUUCUGAGAAGAAAAUUGGCCCAUCUGCGGAGGCACCACCAAAAUUGGAACUCAAAGCACUGCCCGACACUUUGGAAUAUGCAUUCUUGGGAGAAUCUGACACUCUACCUGUUAUUAUUUCUUCUUCCCUCGAUCUUGAGCAAAAAGGUAAGUUGUUAGGUAUUCUAAAAGAGCAUAAGGAGGCAAUAGGAUGGACCAUCGCUGAUAUUAAAGGUAUUAAUCCAGUAGAUUGCAUGCAUCGUAUUCAUCUUGAAGAAAAUGCCAAACCUAUUAGGGAGAUGCAACGUAGGCUAAAUCCUAACAUGAAAGAAGUGGUAAGAGCUGAAGUAAUCAAAUUAUUAGAUGUAGGAAUUAUUUAUCCUAUUUCAGAUAGCUCUUGGGUUAGCCCUGUGCAAGUUGUUCCUAAGAAAUCUGGUGUUACAGUAGUUACUAAUGCUAAUAAUGAAUUAAUUCCCACUAGAGUAACUACAGGUUGGCGUGUUUGCAUUGAUUAUAGAAAAUUGAAUUCAUUCACAAGAAAAGAUCAUUUUCCUCUUCCAUUUAUUGAUCAAAUGCUUGAUAGACUUGCAGGUCAUGAUUUUUAUUGUUUUCUAGAUGGAUAUUCAGGUUAUAAUCAGAUCCCUAUAGCUCCAGAGGACCAGGAGAAAACUACUUUUACUUGUCCCUUUGGAACUUUUACAUAUAGGAGAAUGCCAUUUGGUUUAUGCAAUGCACCUGCUACCUUUCAAAGAUGCAUGCUUAGUAUUUUUUCUGAUAUGGUUGAGAGAUUUCUUGAAGUAUUCAUGGAUGAUUUUUCUGUUUUUGGAGAUUCUUUUGAUGAAUGUUUGCAGCAUCUAACAUUAGUUUUGCAGCGAUGUAAAGAAAAGAAUUUGGUUCUAAAUUGGGAAAAGUGUCACUUCAUGGUAAAACAAGGUAUUGUUCUUGGUCAUAUAAUUUCCAGCAAAGGUAUAGAAGUCGACAAAGCUAAGCUGGAUUUAAUUUCUAAUCUUCCACAUCCCAAAUCCGUAAAAGAAGUAAGAUCUUUCCUUGGACAUGCUGGUUUUUAUAGAAGAUUCAUUAAAGAUUUUAGUAAAAUUUCUAGACCCUUAUGCAAUUUACUUGUUAAGGAUGUACCUUUUAUCUUUGAUGAAUCUUGUCUUGAUGCUUUUGCAAAGCUUAAGAAAUUAUUGACUUCUUCACCUAUCAUUCAGGCACCUAAUUGGGAUUUGCCUUUUCAAAUUAUGUGUGAUGCAUCUGAUUAUGCAGUAGGAGCAGUUUUAGGACAAAGAUUAGAUCGUGUGCCUUAUGUGAUUUAUUAUGCUAGUAUGACACUCAAUGAUGCACAGUUGAACUAUUCAACUACAGAAAAAGAAAUGCUAGCUGUGGUAUUUGCACUUGAUAAAUUCAGAUCUUAUCUUAUAGGUUGUAAAGUGAUUAUUUUUACUGAUCAUGCUGCUUUAAAAUAUUUGUUUACUAAGAAAGAUGCUAAGGCAAGAUUGAUUCGUUGGGUGUUGCUUUUACAAGAAUUUGACAUUGAAUUUAGAGAUAAAAAAGGUUCUGAAAAUGUUGUGGCGGAUCAUUUAUCUCGCCUUGAUCUUAAAUUUAUUCCAGAAUCUUUACCUUUGAAUGAGUCUUUCCCAGAUGAGCAACUUAUGAGUGUAAAUGUUGUACCAUGGUUUGCUGAUAUAGUUAAUUACCUUGCUACAGGUCAAAUCCCAGAGCACUGGACUAAGCAAGAUAGAACAAAGUUCUUAUCUAAAGCGAAAGACUUCUUUUGGGAUGAUCCCUAUUUAUUUAAAUAUUGUGCUGAUCAGAUUAUUAGGCGAUGUGUUCCCGAUAAUGAAAUUCAAAGUGUUAUCUCAUUUUGCCAUGAACAAGCUUGCGGAGGCCACUUUAGUGCUAAAAAGACAGCAACAAAAAUUUUACAGUGUGGUUUUUAUUGGCCUACUCUUUUUCAUGACGCUUAUGUUUUCUGUUCUUUGUGUGAUAGGUGCCAACGUAUGGGUAGCAUUUCAAAGAGGAACAUGAUGCCACUCAAUCCUAUUCUUGUGGUUGAGAUCUUCGAUGUAUGGGGUAUUGAUUUCAUGGGACCUUUCCCUCCAUCUUUUGGUUAUCAAUAUAUAUUGGUUGCAGUGGACUAUGUGUCGAAGUGGGUUGAAGCUAUUCCAUGCAAAACCAAUGAUCAUAGGGUUGUAGUGAAAUUCUUGAAGAGUAAUAUUCUGUCUCGUUUUGGUUUUCCUAGAACAAUCAUUAGUGAUGGUGGUACCCAUUUUUGUAAUAAACCUUUCAAAACUCUUUUGGACAAAUAUUCCAUUACACAUAAGGUUGCCACCCCAUAUCAUCCUCAAACCAGUGGCCAAGUAGAGAUUUCUAAUAGAGAGAUCAAGCAGAUUCUAGAGAAAACAGUUAGGCCAGAUAGAAAGGAUUGGUCUUUGAGACUUGAUGAUGCAUUGUGGGCAUAUAGAACUGCUUUUAAAACACCAAUUGGGAUGUCACCUUAUCGACUUGUGUAUGGAAAAGCAUGUCAUCUGCCAGUAGAGUUGGAGCAUCGUGCAUAUUGGGCUAUCAAGAAAUUCAAUUUUGACAUGCAGCAAGCUGGGUCCAAGAGAAGAUUACAACUAGCAGAACUUGAAGAGAUCAGGAAUGAUGCAUAUGAGAAUGCCAAGAUUUAUAAACAGCGAAUGAAAGUCUUUCAUGACAAACAUAUUUUGAGAAAAGCCUUUACACCAGGUCAGAAAGUACUUUUAUAUAAUUCCCGAUUGCAUCUCUUUCCAGGUAAGUUACGUUCUCGAUGGUCUGGUCCUUUUAUAGUUCGUACUAUCUUCCCUUAUGGAGCAAUUGAAAUUGAAAAUCCUAAAAAUGGUGAUUUAUUUAAGGUGAAUGGUCAAAGAUUAAAACCAUUUUUAGAAUUAAAAACACCAGAAGUUGAGGAGAUACUUUUAGAUGAUCCUGUUUAUCAGGAUUAAUUAAGUUCAUCUUUACACUCUUGUUUUAUUUUAAUAGUCGGUUUUCUUUUCUUUAUUUAUUUUCUUUUCUAAUAUAUAUAUAUAUUUUAAUGUUUUCUUUUCAUUUGGCAUUUUCUUUUAAGCUUUCCCAGCCCAUCCAGGUGUGUUCUCUCCAACUUUCUUUUUAUUAUUUAUGUUUAUUAUUAUUAUUAUUAUGAUUAUUAUUAUUAUUUCUCUUUCAUUUGUUUGCAUGCAUAUCUUUUGUUUAUGAAACAUUGAGGACAAUGUUCCGAAUAAGUUUGGGGGUGGGAAUAGUGUGUGCUUUGUUUGUUAUUAAAAAAAUAAAAAAUUAAAAAAAAAAUUUCGUGAAAAGCCAAUGAUAAGAACUUGAUUGACAAUGAAUAUAGUUUUUAGAAAGGGUUGAAUAUUGUCUUAGUUUAUACUUGAUUCUUGUGUUAGUUCCUCUUGAUUGAGAUUCUUUAAACCAUGAGCACUAAUAUCAGUUCUUUCAUAAUUUUAACUUGAAAUUUGAGAUUGACGCAGCCUGAGUUGAAAAUUUUAGAUAGAGUAAAUGACUGUUUGUCUUGAUUCUUAUCUCCACAAUACAAAAUAGUAUACACGGGCGCCAAAGUCAGAAAUAGCUACCUAUAACCCUUAAGAGUGAAGCUAUCCUUGAGUAAUUUGGGCCUAUGUACCACAAGUAUGUAGAGGAUAAUCUACCAUGAGAAGAAGGCUACCUUAAGGGGUAGAGUGAAAGCUCCUGACUAUGGUUAAAAAAAAAAAAAAAAAAAAAAAAAAGAGAAAAAGAAAAAAAAAUCAAAUCAAGUGCAUGUGCUGAAAAAAAAAAUCAAAGGAAAGUGCACAUAAAAGCCUGUGAGAGAAAAAAAAAAUUUUGGAGAUCAAGAUGAUAAGAUUAGUUUGACCUACUCUGUUCUUUGUUUGAGGCGAAGGCUGUUGAUGUUGAAGAUUUUGGGAAUGGAUUUGAUUGAAUUGAUUUCACACACACACUACAAGAAUCGAAAGAGAGAUGGGAUUGAUUAUUGAAUUAAAGUUAGAACUUUGCCAAUAUUUGAAAUUUUCUUUGAGCUAUAUAAUUUUUGCAAUCUUUGAGGCUAUUUUGCAUGUUUUAUUUAAAGUUUUUCGUUCUUUUGAUUUAAUUUAAUUUAUUAUUAUUAUUAUUAUUUUUAUUUUUUUUUUUAAAUGAUGUUUGUGGGUAUCAUCACUGAAGCCCUCACGAGACUAUAACUCGUCCACUAGGGCCGCCUAGGGGUUUAAAGGCUUGUUGCAUACGCUAAAUGCAAUCGCGAUUACCUGCGAAAGUGGUUUAGUUCGGAUUUACUUUUUGUUUCAUUAUUUUUAUUUUUUUUUUAUUUUUUUUUUGUUUUAGUUUUGCUCGAGGACUAGCAAAAUCUAAGUUUGGGGGUAUUUGAUGAGCAUAAUUUAUAUACAUAUUUUACCCUUAAUUAUAUAAUUACUAAUUAUUUUUAUUUGUUAUUUUUAAUUAAUUAAAUUAUUUUAUUGAAUAGGGGAUUAAUUGAAGAUUAUGGAUAAAAAAGGAUAUAAGGGAGCUCAAUUUUGGAAGCGUUAAUUAAUUGAUUUUAGAAGCAAUUAGACAUACAUGCAUGUGGAAGUGAAGCCGAGGAAACCGAAGCUAGUAAAUUAAUUGAUCUAGCACAUGAAGAAGAAUUUAAGCAUAACAUUGGCUUUAGCUUAGUUAAGUUACACGUGCAUGGCUUUGUAAUAUUUGGAAAGCAAUUUAAAUGGGACCCGCACUUGGCUUUCAUAAUUGGAAAAGGAAUCCUAAAGCAAUUCCAAAGGUGGUCACGUGUGAGAGCUAAAGGAAAUAAAAGGGCAAGCCUUUUGGUUUUAGGAUUUAAGAGAUGAGGCCCAUUUCAAAGAUUAUAAAAGGGAGUUUUGGCUUUUGGAGAAGGAGGCGGCCAGAGGACAGAAACAAAAGGCUGGAAGAGAGCAAUCGGCAGCAGCAAUAUUUCGGCUUCCCCAUGGCUGAAUUUAUUUAUUUUGUUGCUCCCAAUUCAAGUAUGUCUAGCUAAUUUUCUUAUACUGAGGUUAAGGAUGAAACCCUAUUCAAUGAAAUAAUUAUCUUUUUAUUUAAUUAAUUCCCUAUAUAUGUUCUUUGAUGAUUAUGGUUUUUAUUUCACAUGAUUAAUUGGAUGUUAAUAAAAUCUUUUCAUCAAUUCUGGCGUGCAUUAUUGAUUGUUAGGAUUAAUAUUCGAUUAAUUCUAUGCUUGGAUCUAUAAAGUUUAUACAUGAUUAUCUUUGAUUUUAUGUCUUUCAUUAAAUUGUUUACAUGGAGUGCUUAGGAAACUUUGACUCUUUGUUAUUCAAUAUGUUUACAUGGGAUGCUUAGAUGUCAUAUUAUUAAGCAGAAAAAGAACCUAUAUAAGAUUAAUUUUAUUUGGGCUUAAUUGUUAUAUCCAUGAGAUGACAUAGAUUGAUUUCGAGUUGUCACUCUAAAAUUGAGGAUUAAUUAAUAAUUAGAUAAUUACUAGUUGAAUAGUGGUGGAUUCUGAAACCUUGGUAAUUCUUAUCUCAUUAAAUUCUCCUUUAUUUUAAUUUCCUUAGUUUAAUUGGUUUAAUUUUCUUAAAAAUUCAAUUUGCUCAACUAGGUUAGAAUUAAUAUUAAUUUUAGAUUUAAAUUAGACUUUUUAAUUUAUAACAAUCCCUGUGGGAUCGACCUCGUUACCACUAUUCUAUUUCUAGAUUCGUGCGCUUGCGAGUAUAUUAAAAUUUUCACAACAUAUAUUCAACGAGAAGAGGUAUCGUAUUUGACGGGAAUCUCUUGAAACAGUGCUGAAUUAACAAGUAAUCUUAUUUAAUUUGGUCAACUGGUCAGAUAUGGAUUAAUUAUAUAUUUGGCGUUUGUGCUUUUGACUUUACGAUGGGGUGGAGUCGUGGGGAUAUCAUCAUCCCAACUGAAGACAUAUUAUGAUAUUCUCCUGAAAACCUUGUGAGACUCAUUUACUCUACAAUUUUAGCAUUUUAGGCCCAAUAACUCCAUAUAAAUGACGUUUUGUUCCCUGGCUCCACCUCUUCUAUAUAAAUCCGAACACCUGAAAAAUGACGAGACGGGAACAACUCUCCGUCUUAAGUCUAUGUAAAUUUUACACACAAGAGAAAGAGAGGGAGAGGGGUGGCCAUGAGAGACAACGAUACAGAAAAGAAUAUGGAAAAGAGUUUAUUAAUACCAAAAGAGAGUUUAUCAUCAACAUCCACAACAUGGGAUUUGUUGAGUGGAGAACUGAAAAAGCAGGGUUACAUAGCAGCACCAAUGGUGGCAGUAACUUUAUCACAGUAUUUGCUUCAAGUUGUUUCCAUGAUGAUGGUUGGUCAUCUUGGUCAACUUGCUCUUUCUAGCACCGCCAUGGCCAUCUCUCUAGCUAGCGUCACCGGCUUCAGCGUCCUUGUGAGUCCUACAAUCCAUAUAUAGUUAUAUACACAAGAUUGUUUAUUCUUUCUUUUGAUAGGUAUUUGCAUCAUUGCAUGUGGGAUUUAAACAAAUAGAUAUGCCAAAUUUCUGAUGUUAAAAAACAUGCAAUUAACUAAUACCCUGUUUGUAAAAAUGCCAUUAAUUUUUAAAGGACUUGAUUUGCUCUUUUUUUUAAAAAAAAAAAAUUCUACAGCUAACUUGAAUUGUGUAAUAGUUUCUUUGAAACAGUUAGGAAUGGCGAGUGCUCUGGAAACAUUAUGUGGGCAAGCAUAUGGAGCUCAGCAAUAUCAAAGAAUUGGAACUCAAAUUUACACUGCAAUAUUUUGUUUAUUCUUAGCAUGUUUUCCGCUUUCCUUUCUAGGGAUUUACAUGGGAAGGCUGCUAGUUUUGGUAGGCCAAGACCCCCAGAUUUCACACGAAGUAGGCAAGUUUAUAAUCUGGCUUCUUCCAGCUCUGUUUGCUUAUGCAGCAAUGCAAGCGCUUAUUCGAUAUUUUCAGUCUCAAAGUUUGAUCAUUCCCAUGUUCUUAAGCUCCUAUGCCGCUCUUUGUUUGCAUAUUCCCAGCUGUUGGGCUUUGGUAUUCAAGUCUGGACUGGGAAACCUUGGAGGAGCAUUGGCAAUUGGUAUAUCGUAUUGGUUGAAUGUAACUUUCUUGGCAAUUUACAUGAAGUUCUCCACUGCUUGUGCAGAAUCCAGGGCUCCAAUUUCAAUGGAGUUAUUCCGAGGAAUUGGAGAGUUCUUCCACUUUGCUAUCCCUUCUGCAGUAAUGGUUUGGUAUGUUAAUUAUCUUCUGGAGUUUCAUUUUCCCUUCUCAUAGAUAUCGUAGACACGUCAUAAAUUUUCAUGCAUCUUCUUUCGUUUAUAAUUUUGCAACCUAGAAUGGUGGUCAUUUGAAUUGCUCAUUUUAAUGUCAGGGCUGUUGCCUAACCCACAGCUUGAAACUUCAGUCCUAUCUGUAUGGUAUGUUAACAUAGACUUUGUAUGUGAAAGUUCUAUGCAGAGAAGCACCUACCAAAGGAAAUAGAUUUUUUUUUCUUUUUUUCUUUUUUUUCCCGACUGCUCAUUAUUUGUCAACUUCUUUGGGCAGUCUCAGUACUAUUCAAACCCUCUCUGCAAUCCCAUAUGGACUUGGUGCUGCAGUGAGGUUUGUUCAUAACAAUCAUUUAAAUAAUAAUUGUUUUAUAUCUGUUACAAAAUCAUUGUAAUCCAUCUCCUAUAAUUCCUCUUCUCUGUAUAUUUUAGUUCUAUUUGUAUACGUUACUAGUUGUACACGAUAGACUAGAAUAUUUUGUAAUCCUAGAUUAGAAGUCUGCACUAUUUAACUCCCACGAGUUGGAAUAAAAGAAUUGAGCUGAGUAUUUCCUUUGAAUCUUAUUUCCUCUGUACCAUUGUUUUCUACUUGGUAUCAGAGCUUUGCUCUUAUUAUCGUAUCCGAAUUCUCAUCUGUUCUUUGUACCAUGGCCGAAAGUAAAUCUGAAUCGUCUACACCAAUCAUACAUGUUCAAUAUGAAAACUCAGGCCUCAAAGCUGGUGUUACUCUUACUGAAACUAACUAUGAUGUGUGGUCCCAAAUCAUGGAGAUGCACAUUGCAGGACGUGAAAAACUUGAAUAUAUUAUGGGUGAAACAGAUCAACCAUUGGAGACUGAUGCUUUCUAUACAAAGUGGUAUGCAGAAAAUCAAAAAGUCAAGGGAUGGUUACUGACAUCCAUGUCACCUGAAAUCAUGAAACGUUAUCUCAGAUUACGCACCGCAAGGGAAAUAUGGAAUGCUUUGGCUAAAGCUUUCUACGAUGGGUCAGAUGAAUCACAAAUCUUUGCACUAAAUCAACGAGCUUUCUCUACUAAACAGGUUGGACGUCCCCUAUCAACAUAUUAUGGUGAUCUUGUAGAGAUUUUUCAAGAGCUAGAUUAUCGUGAUAAGGUCAUAAUGAAAGACCCCGAUGAUGUCACUGCAUAUAAAAAAUCAGUUGAACGCUUGAGAGUGUACAUCUUCCUUAAUGGACUAGAUGCAGAAUUUGAACAACUCAGAGGAGAGAUCCUCAGGAAGGAUCCGGCACUAGACUUUGAAGAAACAUAUGCAUAUGUGCGGCGUGAUGCUAUGCGGAGGACAACAGUAAAUGAAGAACUUGAUCAUCAUGAGUCAUCUACCCUGAUAGCUCGUCGAAACAAACAGGGGCGUAAUAACCAACAACUAAAUUCUAGCUCUUCAAAACAGAUUAUUGAUCAACAUCAAUCAUCUGAAACGCAAAAUCGUAGCUAUGAAAUUGGAACGUCAAAAUUAGAGCGUCUGUGCACGUAUUGUGGUGGAACUAGACAUACCAAGUCAAGGUGUUAUGAACUGAUUGGGUAUCCGGAAUGGUGGGAUCCUACUAAAGCACCCAAACGGAACUCAAAGACAAAAAAUCAAGCUUCUCCUGCUGUGGUUAAAUCUUCGAACAACCCUGAGGAAUCUUCAUCUUUAAUUGCUACUUCAGGUAAUAUUGGUAAGACUCUUAAUACCUCUACACCUGAUAGUAAUAGUGCUUGGAUAAUUGAUUCAGGUGUUACGGAUCACAUGACUUUUGACACUGAUCAUAUUUUGUCUAUGAAAUCAUCCAAACAAACUGUAGUAUCCACAACCAAUGGUACUCCCUCUCCUGUCAUGGGAGAAGGUUCAAUUACUCUUACAAAAAAUUUGAAUUUGGAAUCAGUUCUUGUUGUUCCCUCUCUUAACUAUAACCUAUUAUUUGUUGCUCAAAUAACACGUGUUUUGCAUUGUAUUGUGAUUUUUUGGCCUAACCUUUGUGUUUUUAAGGACAUCCGAACUCGAAGGACAAUUGGUUAUGGUACUAGAAAGGGGAAGCUCUAUUAUCUUGAUUUGACUACAGCAAGUUCAGAUCAAUUAUCUCAAGCAUUCACAACUGAAAGAUCGGGCAAAGCACAAAGUUCUGAAAUUUGGUUGUGGCAUAGGCGAUUAGGCCAUGCUUCUUUUGGAUAUUUAAAAAAAUUAUUUCCAAAGUUGUUCUCCCAUUUGGCUAAUUCAAAUUUUAAGUGUGAUAUUUGUGAAAUGGCUAAGAGUCACCGUGUCUCUUUUCCACCUAGUAUGAAUAAAAGUCCAGCACCUUUUAUGAUUGUUCAUUCAGAUGUAUGGGGUCCUGCAAAUGUUUCCUCUUUAAAUGGUGCACGCUGGUUUGUUUCAUUUAUUGAUGAUCACACACGUAUGACUUGGGUUUGUUUGAUGAAGUCAAAAAAUGAAGUUAGUUCUUUGUUCCAGAAUUUUCACAAGAUGAUAGCAACUCAAUAUCAAUCUCACAUAUAGGUUCUCCGCACUGAUAAUAGUGGAGAAUUUGUUAAUCACGAUUUGAAACAGUACCUCACUUUACAUGGCAUUGCUCAUCAGACAACUUGCUCGUAUUCUCCUCAACAAAAUGGGCUUGCGGAGCGCAAGAAUCGUCAUCUUCUUGAAGUCGUACGUGCAUCAUUAUUCGGUGCCCACAUGCCUAAGAGUUAUUGGGGUGAAGCUGUUACAGUUGCAGCCUACCUCAUUAAUCGUGUUCCGUCAAGUUCAUUACAAUUUCAGACUCCUCUCCAUGUACUUCAUGAGACUAUAAGUGUUCCCACCAUGCCGAAUCAGCAACCUAGAGUAUUUGGGUGUGUAGCCUUUGUACAUCUUCACAAAUCCUUGAGAAAUAAACUAGAACCUCGAGCUGUUCGGUGUGUAUUUGUCGGCUAUGGUUUGUAUCAAAAAGGCUAUAGAUGUUAUCACCCUCCAUCUCGUAAAACGUAUACUACACUUGAUGUUACAUUUCAUGAGGAUGAAAUGUAUUAUUCUAUCCCUGAGACUUCAUUUCAAGGGGAGAAUAGAGUUGAAUUGCAGACUCCAGAUUUUUUAGAAGAUUUUACAAGCAAUAGCUAUCGGGAGAAUUGGGAAACUCAAAAUGGAGUAGCUGAUCACACUUUAGAUGGUGAAAAUCCAAUGGAAGUAGUAACGCCAGCCUCUACAUCACCCGAAGUAACGACUUCCUCUCCUCAAUCUGUACCAUUUAACCAAUUGUCUCUCCAACCCGAAUCAAUCUCUGAAACUCAGGUACACUUUGAGCCUCAGCCCCAUUUAAAAGUGUUGCCUGAUCGAGUUACUAGAGGAAUACCUCGACUAAAUUAUGAACCUACUCUUAGCUCUAAAACUAAAUAUCUUAUGAGUAAUUUCGUGUCUUAUCAUAGGUUGUCAAAGGAAUGUGAAUCUUUUGUGAAUCAAUUAUCUGUACUAUCUAUUCCUAACAGUGUGCAGGAGGCUUUGAAAGAUCCUAAGUGGAAGGAAGCAAUGAAUGAAGAAAUGAACUCUCUCCAAAAGAAUUCUACAUGGGAGGUCGUUGAUUUACCCGAAGGAAAGAAACCUGUAGGAUGUAGAUGGGUCUUCACUAUUAAAUACAAAGCUGAUGGAAUUGUUGAAAGGUUUAAGGCCAAGCUUGUCGCCAAAGGGUAUACUCAAACUUAUGGGGUCGAUUACAUGGAAACAUUUGCUCCAGUUGCAAAAAUCAACACUGUUCGUGUUCUAUUAUCUCUAGCCGUGAAUCUUGACUGGCCACUGCACCAAUUUGAUGUAAAAAAUGCAUUUUUGCAUGGAGACCUCCAAGAAGAAGUAUAUAUGGAAUCGCCUCCAGGAUGUAAAAUGCAAGUUGAAGGAAGUAAACAGGUUUGCAAAUUGCGAAAAUCUCUGUACGGCCUAAAACAAUCUCCUAGAGCAUGGUUUGGAAGAUUUACUAGCUCUAUGAAGGCUUUUGGAUAUCAACAAAGUAAUUCAGAUCAUACCCUCUUCUUGAAAUAUAAUAGAGAAAAAAUCAUUGUUCUUAUCGUAUAUGUUGAUGAUAUGAUAGUAACAGGAAAUGAUCCGGAAGAAAAGGCUGCACUACAAGAUCAUCUUGCUCAAGAAUUUGAGAUGAAAGAUUUGGGUUCGCUGAAGUAUUUCCUAGGAAUUGAAGUGUCAAGAUCAAAGAAAGGCAUUUUCUUAUCUCAGCGAAAAUAUGCCUUAGAUUUAUUAAAUGAAACUGGGAUGUCCGCUUGCAGUCCAAUUAGCACUCCUAUGGAAGAAAAUUUGAAGCUAAGCACAGAUCCAAAUCAAGUUCCAGCUAACAAGGAACGAUAUCAGAGAUUAGUAGGCCGACUAAUGUAUCUUGGGCACACCCGACCAGACUUAGCGUAUGCAUUAAGUGUGGUCAGCCAAUUCAUGCAUUCUCCAAAGGAAGAACAUAUGAAUGUUGUUAUUCGCAUUUUACUGUACUUAAAAUCAUCUCCUGGAAAGGGUAUUGUGUUUACAAAAGGCGAUAACUUGGAUAUUAAAGGGUAUACGGAUGCUGAUUGGGCUGGAUCAAUUGAUGACAGGCGUUCUACAUCUGGUUAUUUCACAUUUGUGGGUGGAAAUCUAGUUACAUGGCGAAGCAAGAAACAAGAUGUUGUAGCUAGGUCGAGUGCUGAGGCUGAAUACAGAGGGAUGGCCAAAGGAAUAUGUGAAUUACUAUGGAUCAAUAAUUUAAUGCAAGAUUUACGUAUUCAACAAGUCAGUCCCAUGAAGUUAUAUUGUGAUAAUAAAGCAGCCUGUGAUAUUGCACAUAAUCCAGUUCAACAUGAUCGAACUAAGCAUGUUGAAGUUGAUAGACACUUCAUCAAGGAAAAGCUGGAAGCAAAAAUCAUCGAGAUUCCUCAUGUCCGGUCGAAAGAUCAACUCGCGGAUGUGCUAACCAAGGCGGUAUCCAUCCAAGCCUUUAAUAAGUGUCUCAACAAGUUGGGCAUGUGCGAUAUAUAUGCACCAACUUGAGGGGGAGUGUUACGAAAUCAUUGUAAUCCAUCUCCUAUAAUUCCUAUUCUCUGUAUAUUUUAGUUCUAUUUGUAUACGUUACUAGCUAUACACGAUAGACUAGAAUAUUUUGUAAUCCUAGAUUAGAAGUCUGCACUAUUUAACUCCCACGAGUUGGAAUAAAAGAAUUGAGCUGAGUAUUUCCUUUGAAUCUUAUUUCCUCUGUACCAUUGUUUUCUACUAUAUCAACUAAUUAGCAGAUUAACCAUUAUUUCCUUCUAUAGUACUAGAGUUUCAAAUGAACUAGGAGCUGGGAAUGUGCAAAGAGCCCGUGUAGCUGUCUAUGCUGUGGUCUUUAUGGCAGUCAUGGAGACUAUCAUAGUAAGUGCAUCUCUCUUUGCCAGCCGGCGUGUUUUUGGUUAUGUUUUCAGCAAUGAGGGACAAGUUGUGGAUUAUGUCACAACCAUGGCUCCUCUAGUUUGUUUGUCUGUCAUCAUUGAUAGCUUACAAGGAGUCUUUUCAGGUUAAAUUAACUUCUUCAACUCUGUCAAUUGCUAAAUAGUUCUCUUUAAGUAGAAAUAAAAUUUUUCAGGUUUCUAAAUUCUUUUUAUUAUUUUUAAGGUGUUGCAAGAGGAUGUGGGUGGCAGAAUAUAGCUGCUUUUGUGAAUCUUGGGGCUUAUUAUUUUUGUGGAGUCCCAACUGCUGCCAUUUUGGGUUUCUGGUUAAAGUUUAGAGGAAGGGGCCUAUGGAUUGGGAUACAAGCUGGUGCUUUUACACAAACACUUCUGCUUGGCAUCAUAACAACAUUUACAGAUUGGGAAAAACAGGUCUGUUUCUCAACAUUUAAUCCCUUAAAAAUGAGAGAAGCUUAUUGGACUAUAUAUGUAAAUAUGUAGCAAUUUUUUUUCCCAAUAAGUAUAUGAUGCCUUAUGACUGAAAGUUCAAGAUUAAAAUCACUCAGCUUGAUCUGAAAUGGUUAGUAUUAUCAUCUUAUGCAGAAAUGGUUUUGCUCAUUGAGAAAAUGAUAUUCAAUAACACAAAUGCAAACUCAUUUGAAAAUUUUGCCAUUGAGAAAAUGAUAUUCAAUAACAGACAUGCAAACUCAUUUGAAAAUUUGCUUUUUUGCAAGAAUUAUAACCAUUUUCUAGUUUGUUAAUUGUUACGUCUUCUGUGUUUCUAAGGGGUUUCUCAUGUUGCAGGCAAGUAAAGCAAGGAAAAGAUUAUCAAAGGGAAGAUCUUUAGAAGAAAAUAGAAUAGUUUGUGAGUGAGCAGAGUCAAUCAAUGAGCUGAUAUAUACAUUUUCCAGUUGAAAGAGAUAAUCAUUGCUUGAGAAAAUGAGCUGAUCAUAUGUCAAUCGAUGGCCAAGAAGGUUCCCCAAUCUGAUCUACGGAGCAUGGCAUUUCAUAAAACUCUGUUUCUAGAGAAAAAAAAAAAAAUUAACAGCUUCUUAGGAUUGGAGCAUCAGGUGACUUAGCAUUUCCAGUAUGAAUGAAUUAUAAGAUAGAUGAUGCUGCAAAAAUGAAUAGAGAUAAAAUUAAGCAAGAGAAAAUGUUUGAAUGUUAUUAUUGAAACCUUUUCCAGUGAUUGUAGAGAUAAUUUUCUUUGUAUUGAAACUUUCAGCAUCUGAAAGAUAAGGAAAAUAUUAAAAGAAAAAAGAAAAUUCUUAAAUCUUUUCCAUGUCACUCCAGCAAAGUUGAAUUGUGAUUCUAAACCCUACACCAAAGUGUAAGGUGGCCUGUGGCCUAUAGGUAAUACACAAUUUGACAACCCCAUAUAUUUAGUAAUCUAGGUGGAUGCCAUUAAUUUUUUUUUUUUAAAUUUUUGUUCAUUUUUAAUGCAAACAACGCCUCUUUCAUUGAGGCAUUGGAAUAUAUAAAGAUUUGUAUACUGAUUUUGGACCAUAAUUCACAAAUAAUGCGACGCAUAUCUUUCUUUCAGUACUUCUUCAGGAGGAUAAGAUACAGACAUUGUUGUCUUUUUACCUGAAGCAAGUGCAUGUGCAUGAAUUGUUGUUGUCUGUUAAUCUGCUGCCACUUUGCUGCCAAAAAACUUGAAAAAUAAACCAGGAAAAUUUUCAAUAAGCAAAGCCAAAACUUUUAAACACUCAAAUAAAGCACAUAAGUAAAGUAUUUCUGUCACAUUAGCUUUCGAGUGAGGUUUGAUUUACAUUUAUAUCAUAUAUACCAAGUGUUUUUUAUUCUUUUAAUUAAUUUAUAUCACAGCUUGGAAAUUCUAAAAAUUAAUCAUGCUUAAUCUUGAGCAACAAUAUCUGUAAUCAUCAUACGAGGUCAAAAGUGAGGAAAAAAAAGGAAAAGAAAAAGCAAGAGUUAGUUUUAUGUAUAAAAGUGAAAGGAUCUGUUAUACAGUAUUUCUGUUGCAUGGUUUUCGGAGGCAUAGCAUUGUCCACAGCAUUUGGGCUUUGCUUCUGAUUCAAUGGCAUUUAGAAUUUGGUUUCAUCUGAGAUCAUAUAUAGCUUGAUCCUGAUAUCUUCCAUUUUGGAGGCAUUCAGUUAAAUUGAAGAAGUUUGAUGUUCCAGUUCAAAUUGGGAUUGCUGAAGAUAAUAUAUAUAAUUCUGUAGAGGUUUUCUAAUUUUUAUUUUUAGUAAUGUAUUCAUGUCCUGUCAUUCUUCUUUCUGCUUAAAUCCAAUUGCCCAUGUUGGAAUUUCUUUUCAGCUUUUGUAUUCUUUUUCCUUUUUGUUCAAUAAUGCUAUAGACGAUGCUCUACCAUUUAAAAGAUAUAAAUAACAAAUUUUAUAAAUUUUUACUUCGUCAAGGUGUGAAACCUUAUAAAAUUUAUAAAUUUAACUUAUGAACAGAGAAGCAUAAAAAAAAUGUUUGGAGUUGCUUAAUACCAUAGAAACAAAAGCAGAAAGAGAUGUUCAAGAACAAAACCCAAAAAUUUUCAUCAAGUGGAGCAUCGAUCAUGCCAGCAUAAUAACAUAAUUACAUAAUGCUCGAAGAGCACGCAUGACUUUCUCAAAAAAUAAUAUCACUUAAAUGAUCAAAAAACAGAAAUAAUUAAUUGAUUAUCCAUAUAUAUAAACAAGCCUAGCUCUCAAUGUGAAAUAUAUUAAAUCAGCAACUAUAAGAUUUUCGGUGAUGAUAUUUCCACCCCAUAAAUUUUAUAAACCCACCCAUUUUUUUAAAAAAAAAUUAUUAUAAUAAGUUCACAUCAUUUUUUUUAAAUUUAAAUUAAGAAGAAAUUAAAAAAUUAAUCAAUUAAAUCUAUAUUCAUUUCUUUUUUUUUUAAUUAUGUUUCUUUAUUAAAUUUCAUCAAUAAGGUUGCUUUAACAUAAAUUAAUAUGACUAUUUUACCCUUAUAAGGUAAAAGUACCAAAAUAUCUAAAAAUUCACUUUAACUUUAAUAAAAUUUUAUGCAAUUUUUUUUAAUAUUUUAAUGAUAUAUAAGUAAUUGUUAGUACAAUUAUUAUUUCUCCACUAAACUAACAAAAUAUAAUUAGGACAUGUGGUGGAAUGAAAAUAAUUAAAUUUUAUAUAAAAACCUAAGCAAUUAGUUACGAUAAAUAUAUAUAUAUAUAUAUAUAUAUAUAUAUAGUAAUUUGGUUAUUUUAUAUUAUAAGGGUAAAAUAGUCAAAUUAAAUUUAUCUUGAGGCAACCUUCAAAAGUUAAAGAUUGUUAAAAGCUUAAGUCCAAAAAAUAAAAAUAAAAAUAAAAUUAUAAAAUUGAUUUAAUUAAUUAAUUAUUCAAAGCUUUUAUUAAUUUGUAAUUUUAUAAAAUAAUGUAAAUUUAUUGUAAUUAUUUUAUGGAGGUGGAGGGGGUUUAUAAAAAUAGUGGGGUGGAAAUAUUCACACCCUUCAAUUAAUAGUUAGGAUAAUUUUUAGAUACUUCCCCUAAAGUUUGGCUUUGCUUCACUUUUAGAUCAUUUUUAGAGAGAAUGUAUCUAUCUAUUGACAAGAGUGAUGAUACAACCAUAAAUUUUUAUACAAAUUUAUCUUGUAUAAAUUUAUUUGUCAUUAAUUCAUUGGUUGAAUAAAAAUGUAAAAUAAUAAAAAUAUAUCAUGUGGGUCCAGAGAUAUUUAAUUCAAGUAAUUUCAUCAUAUCACAUCAAUUUAUACAAAAUAAAUUUAUACAAAAAUUUAUAACAUUAUUAUCUAAUGGAUAAUAUACCCCUUGUCCGUGUAUAUAAGGGAUAGGCACUGAUUAAGUAGUUGCAGUAUUUUUUUUUAAAAAAUCUUACAAAAGCUAUUAUACUGUAACUAAUCAGCUAGUGAAACCCGAGGGGAUAGUAACCCAUUUUCAUUGUCAAUGCCUAGCUUCAUUUUUUUUUUUUUUUUCUCACUUGAUGAGUGCUUACCUUCAUUUCGAAGGUCGUGACACCAACUGAUUUUAGCAAAAGCAGAGAUACUUUGUGAUGCAGUAAGCUAACAAGUUUCUGAAAUCAACUAUGUUUUGAACCAAAUUUCGACGACGACCAGCAGCUGAAAAGCCGGUGAUUAAAGGGCACACUAGGUGCGUAAUUCUAUCAAAGCAUAAAACUGAAGUUAGGUUUUAUUAUUUUCUUGCAUUUUGUUGAAAAUUGCUGUUAGUUAGGUCCUUUAUUCUUUGUUCCCAUUAAUUGAGAAAAAUGUUUAGGGUUUAUAGAAAUUGAAGUAGUGACCGAAUAUAUCUGAAAUGAUUUUUGAGUUGAUAGUCAUUCGAAAUGUUGUGUAAACCAUGCAAAUGAUUUAUUUUUUGAUGAUUUUGGACUGUGGGUUUUGAAUGCUCACUGAAAUUUGCUUGAUAUGUUCUUUAAAUUGAGAAAAAUCCAAGCUUCUUCUAAGAAUACAGAGGUGUUGCUGAGAAAAUGCUUAUGGUGUUGUUUUGUUUCUUUUUUUAUUUUACAAGUGGGCAGUUCAUGUAAGAUUGAGACAGUUGCUCUUGUUGCUUUUUGAUGUUUUGUAUAGACUGAUUCCAAUCACUGAUUUCUGUUGGUAAAUGGAUGCUAUUUUUUUUUUUUCCUUUCUUCACAUAAAAAUUUGUACUUCCCAACAUAAAAUUCAGAUGCUUGCCUAUUGUUUUUUGAGGUUCUCAUUAAGGUGUAAGAGAUAAAUUAAUUAUAGAGCUUGUAGGCAGUUGGUUUAUUGAAGAACCAGUACAGUUGAGAAAGUGUCUUUUGGGACAUCCAUUUUAAUACACAGAUUAACAGAUUUAAUUACAUAAACACAAGACUUCAUUUGUUUAUCAAAGUAGUACUUUUGAUGCUUUCGUAUAAUGAAUGCCAAAGAGAUGACAUUUGCAAAAAGGCCAUUUGAAUGUACCAAUUGCUAUCCUUGUAAACCUCUAUUGUGAUUCUGUUAUCAUUAUAUGUUGUUUAAUGAUCUGAUGAUUUCGAGAUAUCAAGAUGAGUUUAUGGUAGUACAUGUUCAUUUAGCUACUUUAGGUACUAAUACAUGGAUUUAUUGUAUAAUGCCUACUUAGCAGCCAUAACUACACUCAUUGUUGAAGCUACAGCAACACAAAUGAGAAAAAACAUGCUGAGGAACAACAUUGUCUUUAUAUCAUUGCAUUUUACUCCAUUUACAAAUCUUGUUUGAAAAUCGAAUGAAUUUAAAAUAUUAUCGUUUAUUGUUUUUUUGUAGCAUUUACUAAUCUUCUGAUAUUCAGUAUUGUUUUUAUAUAAAUUAAUUUAAAAUAUUAUCAUUUAUUUAUCUUAUUAUGUGAUUUUACACUAUCAAAUUAUUUGUUUUAAGGGGCAUUUUGGUCUUUUCAGCACUCAUUUGAGUUUUGUCUUAUUAUAAGAAUAUGUAAUGUCAACAGCAAUUAUCAUAAGAGUAUAAUGGCCUUUUCACUGCUCUACAAACCCCCCCCUCCAACCCCGCGGCCAAAAACAAUUUCGCCCCAAAUAUAAAGAUCAUCUACCGUGUCCAAUAAUUUUGGCAUUCAUUGAAAUGUGUACUGAAGGGCAUUAUUGUAUAUUCACUCAACUACCUAACGGGUGCCUAACCUUCAUACAUGGCCGGGGGGUAUAUUGUCAAUAUAUGGAUACAUUCUCUCUAAGUGUAUCAAAGCCAAACCUCAGGGGAGGUUUCUAAAAGUUUUCCUAAAUAGUUAAUAAUUUUGUACAACAGAUUCCUGGAUACGCCUCAAGUUCACUGAUUCUACGUUAUGGCUGACUUUCAAGAAAUUAAAUUCUACAUUAUGACCCCCAGUGAAACAUUGUCGCCGAUAAAAUUAUAAAAUAUAUGUGUAAUAGUAGUCAAACCUAAACCUACGUCGUUUAGCAAUUUACAAAAUGAGAAAGACGACAAAAGCCAGGUGUUGGACCGGCAACGAGCCAACGAGAUAAGCUCAAGUUCACUGUGUUUUUUAUGAACCCUCUGAAGACCCGAAACUCUGGGUUUGUUUUUUACGUUCCCUAACUGUUUGACUACAUUUUUAUUCUUUGCUACAUUCGUUAUGAACUGUUCAGGCUAAGUGCUCGACGAAAUUCCUAAGUGAGUAUGUAUAAUGGUUUGCUCUUGUAUUUAUUCUGUUAUAGAAGGUUUUGCUUUGGGUGGUUAAAUAGAAGAGACUAGACAUUGAACUUUAUGCACUUGUAUGUUUUCAAGUAAUUGGUUGUUCAGGGACAUGUACUUUGAAUUGCUUCAUUCAUCUUCAGAGAUAUCAUAACUUUUGUUGUUAAUUUGUCCAAAGUGAAGGCUUUUUUAACUUUUAUUUCUUUGAUUUAUUUAUUUAUUGGUGUAUCGAGGUUCUGUGUCUAAACUUUUAUUUGAUAAGUUCUUUCAGACUACUAAUUAGAAGAAAAAAGUGCUAGAGAGUGAGUAUGAGAGGGAAUGAUGUUUGGGCAAGGGGUGAUUGGUUCACUUGGCUCAUUAAGAACCCCAACUAUAAUGGCAUGUAUCAAUUUCGCAGCCUAAUUGGCAGGUAAGCUCAUUUCUUGAUUUCCUUCAUUUUUCACUUCCAUUUUACUGUUUUCAGGUAGCAGGUAAUUUAAAUAAAAGUAAAAUCAGUAGUGAUUUGCUUCAAGUGCAUAUGGAUAGUAUAUCACAUGUGAGAAGAUUGUAUUUGUUAUAUGAAAAUCCUUAAUAACUUUAAUUAAAAAAUAUAUUCUCAAACCUGAUCGUGGAAUGUACUAUUUCUUAAUAUCUGAGUUUGGAUCAACACAUUUUUUGCCAUGCAAUUUGGCAAGUUGUCAUGUCCUCAUUCUGCGCUAUUAUAAGUUUUGCCAAUCUGCAUAGGUGUUUUUAUAGAUUGAGUUAAUCUAGUUUCGAGAACAUGCCUUACUAAAGGGCGUCGAGUUUCUAAGUGAAGGCAAGUGCAACUAUAAUUAUCUAUUUCAUAUCCUCCCUGUUACCUCAAAAUUCUUUCAAUAACUUGGGGACGUUAAUCCUAUUAACGACAGCCACAUAUUAUAAGUUGAGAAACUGAUUUUUUGAUUAUUGAAAAAUUAAAUUUUUUGUAUUAUUCUAUUAAUGAUAUCAGUAACCUACCUGUUGCGGUUGUCUUGUAUGGAUCAUUGUUUCUCUUUUAAGCUGUUAUAUUGACAAUUUUUAGCUAUUAUUGCAGAUCUUAAAGUCAUUGCAAGCACAUGCUCCAUUGAUCUCCAUAAAUUCGGAUACAUAUGUAUAGUUAGCUAUUCGAACAACCACACUGGUAUUCAACUUCAAUAUUCAGAAACAUGGCUGAAGUGAAGCUUCAUGGGGCAUGGGCGAGUGCAUUUUGUUACAGAGUGAUAUGGGCUCUGAAAUUGAAAGGCAUAGCAUAUGAUUACAUUGAAGAAGAUCUCUCCAACAAAAGUGCUUUGCUUUUGAAGUAUAAUCCAGUUCACAAGAAGGUCCCAGUGCUUGUUCAUGACGAAAAAUCCGUUUGCGAGUCCAUUGUUAUCCUUGAAUACAUUGAAGAGAUGUGGCCACACAAUCCCUCCUUGAUGCCAAGUGAUCCUUAUGAUAGAGCUCUGGCUCAUUUCUGGAUUAAAUUUGCCGAAGACAGGGUUUGCUUCAGAACUCUAGCUAAUGCGUUUAUAAGUUCAUUAUUUUCAUGUUUAUUUGUUAUUAGAGAAAAUGAUCAGUAUCCCCCAUUGUAUGUCAAAAUUAAUCAUUUCUUCUUUUAUGUUUUAAAACCUAUCAAAAUCUCCAUUGUUGUUCAAAAAAUUCUGUUAACUUUCAACUUUUUGUGUCUUUUACUAAUUUACCACUGGAAAAAUUUUUAUUAUUAAGAAGUUGAAAGUUUAUUAGAAUUUUUUUAAUGGCAGGGGAAAUUUUGAUGGCUUUUGAAAUAUGAGGGAGAAAGGAAUUGAUUUACCAAAACAGCAUUGGGGUUUUGUUGUUCAUUUACCCUCUGUCAUUCGAUGUAGUGGUUAACCUUUGGUAUAAGGAUGCUUGACAAGGGUAUUUAGGUCCAAGUCUUUUAGCUCAUAUGGAUUGCUGGGUACUUUCAUAUGGAUUUGAGUAAUAAAAGGGACUUGACUUUAUAUUUAUGAAUUAUUGCAUGUAUUUCGUUAAUUAUUAAUGGACUACUAGCGGUUAUGUAGUGUUUGGAAGGAAGUUUGAAUGCUAAGAUGUACUAAUGACUUAAUGACAUGUGGCAAAAAAAAAUCAGUUAAGUCAACUCGAUUGAACGAAUGGUAAUAUAGCUCUCAAAAGUUAGAAGAUAAGCUCCCUAUGAAAAAAGAUAGUUUCGGUAAUAUGUCUAACAUUAAGGGGUAUUAUCGAAACUUUAAAUUUUAAUGGUUAGACCCAGUAUGUGAACAGUGUGUCAUUAUUUUUAGGGUUAUAUUUUGCUAAGAAUAACGAGCCAAUAGAACUUUAGAGACUUUUUUCUAGAUCUAAUUUCUUGAGAGACUUCUUCAUCUUCUUCAUCCUCUAUUUUUAGGGUUUCUUUCUCCAUUUUAACACCACCAUGGAAAAUCUUAACCAUCUCAUCUCCCAAAGAAACCUCUUCCCUUACUCUUCUCUUGGAAAACUCUCUAAUCUCUAUGAGACUCAUAUCUCCCCCAUGUCAUUAUUCCUCAUAAACAAUCUUUAAUAAGAUUUUGUCGAUAUUAUAAUGCAAAUUAUGUAAUACUUCAUUUAUAUAGUGGAUUGGAUAUGAGUUACUCUUAUCGAUGUAGAUCAAAGGGCCAACCACCUAAAAUCUUGUGUGUUCUUUAUUGUUUAUACUUAUUUUCUAUUUAUUAGGAUGAUGAUAAUGUUCAGAUCGUAUUUCAUAUAUGAGCUCACUAGAGGCAUACCACAAGCUCUAUUGAGUUCCCUAAAUAAGCUCUCUAGUUAAAGCUAUCCUUAAAUUCGCUAGAACUACUCCCUAAACUCUCUUGACCUCCGCAAAUCAACUCUUUAAACUAAAUCCCAUGAGCUCCACAAAGCUUACCUCCCAACAGGCAACAGCAGAAUACCAAGCUUACCUCAAUUCAUCUUCCAGAUCACCUCAGUUAUUUCUUUUGUUUCUAACAGUAGAAAAACACACUUAGAUUUUUACCAGCCCAAUCUCACCUCAAAUAUAAAUUUAUUUAUUUAAAUUGUCUUUGACCUAGAUCUAGUGAGGAAAAUGAUUCAAAUCAGAUCCUAGAGGAAAUCCGGUCAAAACAUGUAUCUAUGUAUAAUAUUUAACAUCAUCCUAACGAUCAAUCCGAAUGCACUUGGAUUUGUUCUUAAUAGUACACAAAAGUGGAAAAAGCAUAGCAAGCAACACUUGCACACUCGAGGCUGAAUACAAGUACGAACGACACAAUUCCAAGCAACAAACAAUGAUCAUCAGUACUAAUUUUUUCUGCAAGCCACAAAAUUGGAAAAUACCGCCAAGUAAUUAAUUAACCACUGUGACUUGCCAGCUUAAGCUUAUCCAAUGCUGAGAGUUCAUUAUUCUUCAAGGAUUGGUUAUUGUAAAUGUCUUUUAGAGUAAUUUCAGGAUAGAGCAGAGGAUUUACUUCUGAUAGCAACUCUUUAAUUGGACCAUAUCGUCUCGAGCAACUAUUAUUCAUGAAAAAACUUCCGAUUGAAAUUCUGGAGCCUUCCUUAUUUGAUAACACUCUAUGAUAGGCACUCUUGAACUUAUCGUUGGUAAUCAGCUGCAUGAACACAAGCAUGUUGGUAAUCAGCUGCAUAAACACACACUUCAUAUAAACGAUAAUUAAGUUAUCUGAUAGAGAUUCAUGCUCAGGUGUAGACGUUCACAUGAAAUUUUGUGAGGACGAUUCUUUCACAGUAUUGUGAAAGUGUGUCCGCACAAGAUUUAGUGCGAAUGUCGCACCAGAGAAUUUUCAAUUCGAUGGAUAGUAUUUCUUAAUAAGUUAUCUAACACACACUUGCCUGCAUCAUGUAGCCUAAGUUUACAACUAGAGCUCCUGGAACAGGGGCAAUGUCAAACCACUGAUCUUCGUGAAAGACUUGGAGGCCACCAAUUUGAUCUUGUAUGAGCACAGUAACAAAUCCAGGGUCAGAAUGUGUUGCUAUGCCGAUGGACAAUUCUGGUUGAGGGCAUUCAGGGUAGUAACUAUUCCCAAUAGUCAUUUCCUCUACACAACCUAUGUCUUUCAGGUAAUUGGGGUCAAGCCCUAAAGCUUCGGAUAAAAGUUCAAACAGAGUGCCCCCUGUUUUCCACAUUAGGUUGUUGUAUGUGAUCAUUAUCUC